UCCUAUUGAUGCUGGAAUGAAUCCACUUAAUUUAUUAUGGCGAAGUUGUAAAAGCAAAAGGUUGGUUAAGUUACCUAUUUCCAUAGGAAUAAUGCCUUGAAGCUCACAAUUAGAGGCAUAAAAGUAUUGAAGGGAUUUUGAAAGGUUCCCGAUAUAAGUAGGAAGAACGCCACUCAAUGGAUUUCCUGAAACAAUUAUUCUUUUCAAAUGCUUGCAAUUCGUCAAAGAAGAAAGAAAGCUCCACUCAUGAUCAGUAGCAGAUCCUGUGAUCAAAUUAUUGUUUACGAUUCGGAACCAUUCAAGGUGUCUUAAGUUGCCAAGCGUUUUAGGGAUUGGGCCAGAGAAUAAGUUAUCUCCCAAGUCUAGUUCCUUCAGCAUGGAAGCAUUGGAGAUAGAGUUGGGAAUGUUUCCUCUAAGUUUAUUUCCCCACAAUACAAGAAUCUCAAGCUUUGGAGCAUUGGUGAUGGGUGGUAAAUUACCUGUAAAAUAGCAUCUUUUAGUAUACAUAUUCACAAAAUAUAUAAUACACUAAUAAUUUUUUAAAAUAUUGUAAAACUUGAAAUAAAAUAAAAAUAAAAGUUUGGCAUGAGAAUAUGGCAUCUAAUCAAUCUUAAAAAUGAGAUUGAGACUGAAUAAUAAUUAGUUAUGAUUUGGGAAACAAAAAUGUUAAAGCCAUUAUUUAUCUUUAUUAAAUUAUAGUGUAAAAUUUAAAGAUUAUUAUUUGCUCAAAAUUUUUGUAUUUUUCGUAUGUUUGAAAUUUAAUCUUCAUAUUUUUUUAUUUUCUGUGAUUUAGUCUCUCUACUUUUUGAAUUGAAAAUUUUAGGUUCAUCUAUUAACACUGUUAAAAAGUUUUUGUGUUAGUAUGGCAUUUUGAAAAAUAAAACAAACUUGAUAUCUAUGUUUUUAAUUAUUCCAAAUAUUGUUUUACUAUUUCAAGAUAAAUUAUUUGUGUCUAGACCAAUAUCUUAAGAACUAUUGUUGUAUGUUUAAUUAUUCUAAAGAAUUGUCGAUUGAGUGUCAGCUUGAUUGGCAUGUACAUUGUUGCUAAUGUAGGAGAAUGUGGGUUUAAGUAUGCUGAAGUGCAUUAUCCCCCUAUUUAAGAAUUGGGGAGUUUGUAAAGUACUAAAUUUUGAUAUAUUUUUUAAAAUAUUAAAAUAUUAUUAAAAUAUUUUUUAUAAAAUUGAUUGUACCUCAAUAUACAAUUUUAAUAUCAAAUUUUUAAUUUUUUUAAAAAUAUUAGCGGAUAUAUACUUUAUUUCAAGUUACACAAUUUUUUUCCAGUUUUUAACCCUCUUUUUUUAAUUUUAAUUAUCUUUUAUAAUUUCUGAUAAUUUUUUACAAUAUUUAACAAUUUCUAACUAUUUUUAAUAAUUUUAUUAUUAAUCACAAAUUUAAAAAUUAACAAAUUUUUAUUUUUAAAAAAAUUAUAUAUUUAUAAUGUAGUUAUUUUUUAUAAUUUUAUUUGAAAUUUUAAAAAAAAAUUGGUUUUUUUAGAUGAUGAUGUCAUCAUGAUGUCAUCAUAUGACACUUGGCAAUUUAUGAUUAGUUGGAUAUCUCAAUCUAUUUUUUUAACGUCCAAUAGAUUAAACCGAGAAUACCUGAUAAUGUUAGAGACUACACUAGGAAUGUUUGAUAAUAUUAGGUACUAAAGUGGGCCAAAAAAAAAAAAGAGCAAUAUGGUGUAGGGAAUAAACUAUGCAUUAAGCCAUUAAAAAUAUAUCUAUAAUAUAUAUAAAUGCAUGGAUUUUGAGAAACUUUUGAACUGAUAAUUAUAUAGUCUUUCUUGUUUACUAUAUUAUUGAAUUUGUUAUUUUAAAUAUUUUUUAUUACUUUUAAGAUUUAUAUAAGAAUUGUGGUUUUACUAAAAUAUUUGGUUAAGUAAAUUCACUUCAUAAGAAAAUUUAGCAUCCUUAUAAAUAACAAUUUUGAUUCUAUUAAAAAUAUUAUUUUAAAAAAUAUAUAAUAAUAAAUUAAUUAUUUUUUUAAGCUUAAUGAUUUUUCGAGUUUCUCGUUACACUUCUAGUUCUAUUUUAACACGAAAGCAAACACAAGAUAACCAUUACCUAAUACGAAAACCAAAUCACCAAUUGAGACAAAUUUUCUGGAACCCGAUUUACAAAAUCAAUUUUACCAAUAACAAAGUUAAUGAUGAAAUUAAGUCCAAAUCUCCAACCUUGAUUCUUACCCUCAAGAAAAAGUAGUCCAAAUAACGAUUCUAAGUCGUCGAGUAACUAAUCGCCUUGUGAACUACACCUAAAACCAAAACAAUUGAUUAACAUCGAUAAAUCACACCAACCAGAACUCAAAAUAAUCGAAGCUAACGAAGGCAAGAUUCCAUAACAGAAGAGAAGUAGGCAAUACUUACGCACGAAUCAAAUUACACUCAACAUAGCAGAGUAUCCACCACCGAUUCGGAAAGGCAUAAAGAACAACAUUCAAGAAUGAACAAAAGAUUGAGAAAAGAACAAGAGCAGGAAAAAGAAACGAAAAUUGAGGGCCUUCUCUACUAAAAUCCACGUGAAAGAAACGAAAGUAAUAAAGAAAAAAAAAAAUAGAACCAGAAAGGGGAAAGAAAAAAAUGGAGAACAUGUAAACAAAUGGGAGCAAAAAUUGGGGAUUGGAAUUAUUUUAAUCAAUUAAUUCCCCACCAUUUAAAAAAACAAUAAAAUAAAAUAAAUAUCUUAAUAACCACCCACUAAACUUAGAUAAUUACCCAGAUUCUUUUCAAGAAUUUGAAUUUAAUCUAAACUUAUCCACUUGAACAACACAAAGCAUAAAAUAUUUCACUUGCUUGCAUGGAAGCUUGAAUACAUGACCAAAGAGUACUCAAGAAUUUAACCACUAAACCAGUAAAUUUAUUCUUGUCAUAGAUUUAACGAUAAUAAUAUUUAAGCUGGAUAAACAGAGAUAGACUUAGAAACAAAAAUAAUUGAAUUUUCCCAAAGAAGUGCAACUUAAACUCAAGACCUUAAACUCACAAUUAAGAGACUUCACCACUAAAACAAACACUUUCUAAUGACAAAUUUUAACAAAUUAUGUAUACGAAAUUUGGGAUGUUACACGGAAAGUGGAGGGAUGGGAGGAAGGAGUGAACAAGUGGAAAUAAAAUAAAUUGAGUAUGAUUAAUUGGAAAGAAAGUGAGAGGAAAGAAGAUAAGAGAAAUGAUCAUUUUCCAUUCCAAUGAAUAAAAAUGAAUCAUUCCAAAUUGGAAAGAUGAGAUGAGAGAAAAUGAUAAAUAUGUGUAUGUUAGUUUAAAAGAAUGCAUUUUUGAAAUGAUUUAUUUUCUUUCCUUUCAUUUUUUCAACUCUACCAAGCAUUGAAUGGAACUGGAAUAAAAAUUGAAAGUAGAAAACUAGAAGGAUGAAAAACAUAAUUUUUUAUUUUCAUUUUUCUAUUUUUCCUACCAAACACAACUAUGAAAUUUUCUACCCGUUAAAUCUUCCAUUCUUUCAAUUUUUGUUACACUCUAGACAGCAAAACUUAAAUGUUGAAAAUUUAAUUCCAUAGCAGAUAGAUUACGAAGUGAAACUAAACGCUAAAAUGAUUAUAUUAUGAAUAUGAAAUCUCCAUUAAUUCUGAAACUGUAUUACCAAUGAAGAAGUAUUGAUUUCUAAUUGUAAAAAUGUGACGACAACAGGUUUACUUUUACAAGUAAGAAUUUUUUGAGCAUCCUUCAUAUUUUUACAAUUAAAAGCCAACUCCAUAGCCAAUUUGCUUUGACAAUGAACUGUGUAUCUUCAAGACUUCCAGCUUCAGUACAGAUUAAGUUGAGCAUUGGAUGAACUUGCCAAGGCUUCUCAGACCAUUGCACUUCUUCCACUAUAUUCAGCAUUUCUUGGAAAUAUUCAUGCAAUACUAUUGGUAACAUGGCUCUUUGACAUUAGAAAAGUAGCAAAAUUUGUGGAACUUUGAUAGCCCCAUUGACAAUAAGGAAUGAUGGGUUCCAUUCUUCUUAUUAAUCUCCCUUUUUUCCCCUUGAUUAAGCACUGGUUAUUUGAAAGCAAAACACAUAGUUGGAUUAGAUUGUAAAAUUAGCACCUAAAAACAUAAUUUUCAUUUUAGCACAGGGUGAUUUAGAUGAAACAACUCUAAUUUUUAAAACAAAUGCUGAACACACAUUAACUGAAAGGAACAAACCUGAAGAGGCAAGGAAGCUCAACCAAGACCACUGUGAUCUAUUUGUCUCAACAUUAAACAAUUAAAGAAGAUUAGAUAGAAACUUAGAGAACACUUCCAAAGAUAUAAGCUUUCUUCAAUUCAUCAAACGAUUACAUAAAUUUCUUAAAUUGCAAUCAAACAUAACAAACCUUAUACUUGACUAAAAGUAAACCAGCUUCCUCAUCAUUUAGGCUUCUCUACCAAGCAAUGUUUCAAAUGUUACAAGGCUCAGCAUGGAACCCAUGGAUAGGUUUUAGGAGGCCUCUCUGAUACAGAAACAAUAUGAAGUGCAUUAACAGAUCAACAACUCCUAUUGGUAGGAAAUUCAAACAUCCUUAGUUUAAGAAAAUUACAUUUUAAUAGAUCAAAUUCAGUAUAGAAUAUCUUUACCUUGUUCUUAGCUUGGCGCCUUUGACUUGUCAGCCAUGUUACAAUACGAUUCAAUUGCUUUAACUCACCUUCUGGGGUUCGAUACCUCAAAAACUUUUAACGCCAAUGACAAGAUAACAAAUAAUUUAACAAGUAAAUGAAAUUGAAAUGCAUACCUUAAAACUCCUUUUUGGUACAAAAGUAAAAACACAUUUUACAGAAAAGAAAGCAAGGAAAAAUCCAAAUAUAGAAGUACAACAAUGUUGAAAUCCCAAGAAAAGAUAAAAGAACAUGAAAAUUAACUAACACAAGCAACUAAGUAGACAAAUAAUCAGUCUAACACAGAAAUAACUUAAUCCCCCAAUGCUAUCAUAGAGUGAAAUUGUUGGAAGGGUCUGCUUCUGCUACUACUUCUGCUGUUGAGAGACUUGCAAAGAGAUCCUAGUACAUAAGGGCAAAUGAGUGAGCAAAGAGUUUACGUAUUAUAUAUGGAACAUGAUUCAUCGAGGAUGAAUCUUAUAUAUAUAUAUAUAUGGUUAAAAUACAAAAAUAAAAUUAAAUAUGGAGUUAAACACGUUACCAAGAGUAAGUUAAUAACCACAAGCAUACUCAUCGUUCGAUGAUGUUUAGAAACCUUUGUUUGAUCUUUUUUAGCUCAACCACAACAUCCUUCAUAUCUUUUCUUUCUUCUGGCAACUCAGCUGAACAAUCCAAAGCUAACUCCAUGAUAGAAGAAAUACAAUUUGCUUUAAUAACAAAAUUCUCAUCCUCUCUUCUUAAUAAAUCAGCAUCCACAAUGUCUAUCAUUCCUUCAGAUAAUAAUCUUUUCACCCAAUGCCUUAUGGUCAUUUCAUCACCAAAAAUUUCAUCUGUUGGCUUUUUCCUAGUGAAAGUUUCUAUGAGGACAAUUCCAUAACUAUAGAUGUCACAUUUUAUAGAAACAAUUCCCGUUGAUCCAAAUUCUGCAUUUCAAGCAUAAGUAAUCCUGAAUUAUUUCUAAUAUGUUUACCACUAUAUAUAGACAUACACGAAAAAUAAUCAUUAAUUAAAAAACUCAAAAAUUCACCUGGUGCCAUAUAACUAAUAGUUGCAAGAGUCAUGGUUUGCUUCACUACAUCACCUUCUCCCAACAAUUUCGCAAUGCCAAAAUCUCCCACAUGAGCAACCAUGUCUUCAUCUAGUAGAAUAUUGCUUGGUUUUAGGUCACAAUGAAUUAUAGGUGUUGGAUGUCCAGUGUGGAGAUAUUCUAGAGCAGCCGCAACAUCUACCAUUAUGUUGAUCCUUUGUAUGAUAUCAAGGAAACAACUGUUUGAAUGUAACCAUUUCUCAAGAUUUCCAUUAGACAUGAAAUCAAGCACCAAGGCUUUGAAGUCAACAUUGGAGCAGCAAGUAAUGACCUUGACAAGAUUACGAUGAACUAUGUUACGCAUAGCUUCACAUUCAAUGUCAAAACUCCUAAAUGCUCCUUCUAUUUGCAAAUUGAAAACUUUUGUUGCAACUUCCAUUCCAUCCGAAAGCCUCCCUUUAUAUACAUAUCCAAAACUUCCUGAACCAAGCAUAUUGUGCUCCUCAAAUCCACUAGUUGCCCGUGAAAGUUCGUCAUGUGAAAUUCUUCUUCAUGUUCCCAAACGUAGUGAAUCAUCCGUAAUUGGUAGAGUUGUACUCCUAAUUCGGAAUCUUCUAUACAUAAUAACUAAGACUAGUAGUAACAUGACAAUACAAAUUAUUGGUAAACCGAACCUUAAAUCAUGCAAUACACCCAUCUUGGAAUUUUUGCGGAUGUCAUUUUUGCAAGGUGGGACUAGCAAUCUUGGUGGACCACAAAGUGCAUAAUUCUUCAUGAAUGAUGUGCUCGGAAAGUUUGGAAAACAUCCUUUGGUAGGAAUUUCCCCUUCAAGUCUAUUGAAAGACACGUUAAAAUACUUUAGAUAUAAAAGCUUUUCCAAAGAUUUGGGAAUAACUCCAGAGAGAUCGUUAUUGCAUAAAUUUAAAAAUGUCAAACUAACCAAACCACCAAAUGAUUCGGGGAUAUGACCAUGUAGUAUAUUAUUUGAUAAAUCUAAUAAAACCAAAGUUUCAAGACCUCCAAAUGUGGACAAGAUAUCUCCUGUGAAAAGAUUCCUUGAUAAAUUUAGUUUCAGCAGACUCCUCAAAUCUCCAACAUCAAGAGCAUGUGAAUCGUUAAGGCAGAUUGAUGAUAAAUCUACUUCUAAUAUAUGUUUAAGUUUCCACAAAGUUGAGGGUAUUGCCGAACUCAAUUUGUUGGAAUUUAAAUAAAGAUAUCUCAAAGAAGUAAUAUUACCCAAACAAGAGGGUAUGGAUCCAUCCAGCUUAUUCAACCCUAAAAACAUCUCGUAUAGUCUCUCCAAACCACGAGGCUUUUUAAGAUAGGUCCUCCUAAUUUAUUUGAGGAAAGAUCUAGAAUUUUUCAUUCCUCCAAUUGAUGUCGGAAUAAAACCACUUAAUUUAUUAUGGUCAAGUUGUAAAAGUAAUAGGUUGCUUAAGUUACCUAUUUCUAUUGGAAUAUUGCCUUUAAGCUCACAAUCAAUAGCGUAAAAGUAUAUAAGGGAUGCUGAAAGGUUCCCAAUAUUAGUAGGAAGAGUGCCAUUCAAAGGAUUUUCUGAAAUAUCUACUCUUGUCAAAUUCUUGCAAUUUGUCAAAGAAGAAAGAAAGGUCCACUCAUGAUUUAUAGUAGAUCCCAUGGUCAAAUAGUUGUUUGCUAUUCGGAACCAUUCAAGGUGUCGUAAGUUACCAAACGUUUCAGGAAUUGGGCCGGAGAAGAAGUUAUCUCCCAAGUCUAGAAGCUUAAGCAUGGAAGCAUUCAAGAUAGAGUUGGGAAUGUUUCCGCGAAGUUUAUUUCGAUGCAACGAAAGAACAUUCAGCUUUGGAGCCUCGAUCAUGGGUGGCAAGGUACCUGUAAAAGUUUCAUCUUUUAGUGUGUGUAUAUAUAUAUAUAUAUAUAUAUAUAUAUUCAUUCAAUACCAAAUUCUCGAUAUAUAUAAUAAACAAAUACAGUUUUAAAAGGAAAAUUGUAAAACUUCAAAUCAAAUAAAAAUAAAAAUUUCACAUGGAAAAAUGCAAUUAAAUCAAUAUUAAAAAUGACACAUAAUAAGAAGUUCUGAAUAGUAAUUAGUCACUUAUGAUUUGUAUUAAAUAAUAAAAAUAAAUAUAACCAUUUUUAAUAAAGUGUGCAUAAAAAAUUAAAAUAAAAUUUUGAUUAAUUGAUAAAUUUAAGGUUUUACAUAUUGAUGUGAGUUCAAAUCUCACCAUAAUUUUUUUUGCUUUUUUUAAAUAAAAAGUAUUAAAUACCUUUAAAUAAUAAAAUUUAUUUUAAAUACAAAAGAAUAUUAUUAUAAUUUCUCUAAUCGAGUUUGUGCUUGGUUAACUCUUGACACUUAACCAAGCACCAACUUAAUAAGACACUUAAAUUACAAUAUAGAUAUUCACAAUCACCAAAAAAGUAAAAACUUUAUAGUUUCUAAUAACAAAUUUUAAUGAUUUAUAUAACAAGAAACUUUCUAAUUCACAUAAUUUUUUUUAUAAAUAAUAUAUUUAUAUAAUCUAAUCUAUUAUAUUUAUAUUAAUUAUAUAUCAUCAGUAAAUUUUUAUGAUCAAUUUACUGAUUAUUAAGAAGAGUAAAAAAUUAAAUUAAAAUAAUGAAUAAUUUAAUUUACAAUAAACUAUUUUUUACAUUUUGUACAUAUGCUUUAUGAUGAUAAUUAAAAAAAUGUAUUAACACUAUUUCUGAAUUAACAAAAAUAAUUAAUAUAUUUUAAUUAUAUUUAUUAUUUAUUAUUUUGAAUAAUAUUGCUUUUUUUAAUUACAUGAAAUAAAAAUAUAUUAAUUAUAUAUUAAAUAUGAUACAUAUGCUUUAAUUAUGGCUUAAAUUUUAUUAAUAUAUUUGAACUAUUAAAUAAACUAAAAUAUUUUAAUUAUGUUUAGCCAUUUGAAUAAAAAACUAAUUAAAAAAUUUAUUUAAAAAAUUAAAUGUGUAAAAUCAAGUGGAAUAUCAUAAUCUAUAUAUAUAUAAAUUUAUAAUGUGAGAAAUGAUUAUAUGAAACUGAGAUAUCAUGCCAUUUGUAUUUCUAGUAAUUUAAUGUCAUUUUAUUAUUUUCAUUUUAAAUUUCAGCAUAUCGUGUUGGAUUGAAUUUUUUUUUCAGGAGAAAAAUGUUGAAAUGACAUUAAAUUAUUGAAAAUGAAUACAAAUGACAUGGUAUCUCAAUUUCAUAUAAUCUCUUUUCAUUUCAUGUAUAUGUAAUACGUGGUUGUUUCAAUUUUUAAAAUAAAAUAUAUUUUCCACAUUGGUUUCUUUUCUUCCAAAGAUUAAGUAUUUCUAAUAUUUUUAUAUUUGUUACUUAUAUAAAAUAGAUUAGUUUAUGCAAUAAAAAAUUAAUUACUUUUUUAAAGCUUAAUGGAAAUUAAAAGUUUUAAAAUAAAUCAAUUCAAUUAAAUUUUAUUGUUUAUUAUCAAAUUAAUAAAUUUUAAUGAAGUAUAUGAUCAAAAAAGAAGAAACAAAUGAAAGUGAAAAACCUACCUUCCAAAUUGUUGUCAUAUAGAUAUAUUCCUUCGAGCAUAGUUGAAUUAAAAAUGCUUUUCGGAAUCAGCCCACUGAAUUUAAUUUCUAAUAAACUUAGCAUCUGAAGCUUGUAACAUUCACCUAUACUUGAUGGAAUAUUACCAGAUAAUUCAUUUGCAUCCAAGUAAAGCCCUUCAAGCUUGGGACAAAGGUGACACAAAGCAUUAGGCAAACUACCUGCACAAAUAGUUGAAACAUCAGGGUGUUAAACUACAUAUUUUGUUAGCAUAAGUCAAAAGAGGUUUUCUUUUCUAUUCUAGAGUAAUUUGGAGAUGUUAGAUUUUAAUAUAAUUAAGUGUAGAUUUUCUCAUCAAGUUAACUAUUUUACCUUGAAUGAAAUAAAAUGUUCUUACUUUUGUUAUCCAUUACAAAUCAAACUCUUUUAUUAAAAAAAACUUUAAAUUAAAGAAAUCAAGGAAAUUCAGUACCUUCUAAGUUAUUCAACCCCAAAUCUAAUUCUUCAAGUCUAGUCAGAUUUCCAAUACUUUUUGGAAUGAUCCCCGUAAAUUGAUUGAAGUACAAUGAGAAAUAUUUAAGGUUGUUGCAUUUGCCUAAACUUGAUGGAAUGCUACCGGAUAAUCUAUUCAAACUCAAAUGAAGCACUUCAAGCUUGGGAAGAUGUCGACACAUAUCAUUAGGCAAACUACCUGAUAGGCUAUUUCUGAAGAGACUAAUAAACUUCAGAGAAGAAAUCUUGAAGAUGGAAGAUGGAGCCUAGCCAGAUAAUUGAUUCAAUCCCAUAUUCAAGAUCUCUAGAUUGGACAUGUUAACAAGUGUUUGAGGGAUUGUGCCUGAAAUGUUAUUAUUUUCCAUUUGCAACCUUCGAACUCUGUGUAAGUUCCCAAGCCAUGAUGGAAUUUCCCCAUUAAGACGGUUGUAGCUUAAUCGAAUGAUCCUCAAACGAUGCAAUUGGCCCAAUUCUUUAGGCAGAUGGCCAUAGAAAUUGUUGCUACUCAAGUCGAGAGAAAGUAGAAAUGAAAGAUUUCCAAGGUGUGGAGAGAUAGUACCGCUAAGAUUCAUGCUUGCAAGAUUCAAAGCUAUUACUCUUUUAUGGAGGAUGCCACAUGAAACACCAAUCCAAUUACAAACAGAGGUAGAGGCCGUCCAACUGUUUGCCAAGACAUUUUGAGGACCAGCAAUGCGAUCCUUAAACUCGAGAAGCGCAAACUGAUCGGAGUUUAGAUUCCUGGCUGUCAUAGCCAAGCAAAGUACGGAACAUGGUAUGAAAAAAGCUAAAACAAGAUGAAAGCAAGUGUUGUAGUUCAUGAUUGCAAGACGGAAUAAGGCAAGAAAAUAAAAAGUAGGAAAAGGGAAGUUGAAUUGAUAAAAUAGCCCAGAGAGCAUGCUUUAAUAUGUUUCAACCCUCCCACACUUCUCCUACAUUAAAUUCAGUGGUGUUACAACAUUAAUCCAGAUUUUACAUUUUAUCGUGGAACUUUAUAAAUUUUUAUGAUGAAAAAUGUAUUUCAUAAAUUUAAGACUACGCUAAAAAUUAGAAAGGAAAGCAAAUUUUUGCAGAAAUUUCAAAAUAAAUUUUCAAAAAUACGUACUAAGAAGCAAAUUUUCAAAAUUUCUCCUAAAUUUUCUUCACAAUAGUCCACAUAAUCCAUAAAAAAAUUAAGAAAUAUAAUAUUUUUAAUUACUAUAUAUUCUUUUAUUUUUUUCACAAUAACAAAUUGGUUAAAAUAUGCUAUUAAUCCCAAUACUUUUUCAAUUUAAAAAUUCUAGUCCAAUCUAGGCCUGUUUUUGACAUUUUUGGAGCCCUAGCCGAAACUAUAAAUCAGAUCUUUUAAAAAAAUAUAAAAUGUAAUACAAUAAAAUAAAUCAAAUACUUGUAAUUUCAUUAAAAUAAUACGUUUUAUGACAUUAAGCAAAUAAUAUAUUUUUCUAACAAAAUUUUAAAUUUUUUUUCAUUCAACCUACUCCUAUGUCAUCAAUUACAAAACACAAAAAAUUAUAAAAAAAUAUGUUCUACGAGAAUUCUGAGAUGCAAAAUCAUUAAUGAUAACAUCAACAUCAAUAUUUUCCGAAAAAUCCUUCUUGGUUGAUAAUAUUGUCAGACCAUUCAACAGUUCUUGCGACAUUGACAACUUCAAGAUUCAUUUCUCUAAUAGGCUCCUUUUCGACUAAAAUGUCUCUAGUUUUGUUAUCAAGAUUAGCCCAAUUUCUAGGAUGACAAAUAUCCAAAGAAGGAAUCGUUUGUUCUUCAUCAAUGUCAAUGUCAUGAGGAAUUGCUUGUUCUUAAUUAAGAUCAAGAUUUUCAAGAUUUGAUAUAUUUGGCACAUUAUUAUGCUCAUUUGGAUCAUUAAUUUCAUCAUUCUUGUUGACAUCAUUGUGCAAACUCUCAUUUGAUUGAUCCAAAUUUACUAAAAACUACAUUUUUAAAAACGAAUUUAUCAAUAGGACCUUUCUGUGAUAUUUUUUUUAACUCUUCAGCAUGUUUUCUCUUUUUCUUUUUUUUCACUUUUAGAUAAAUGCUUUUUAGGCAACACUAUAUAUAAAAGAUAAAUCAAUUACUUAAGUAACACAAGAAAAUAAACAAUAGCACCUGAUAAAAGAUUCUAAGUUGAAUAUUUGCUUUCACAUUUGGUAAUUCCAAAACUCAAAUCGAGCGACUGUAAUUCUUUAAAGGCUUAAGGGUGCAAAAAGCCCUCAAACUUUUUCAAAAAGAGUAAUUAAGCACUUGCUUUUUUUUUUUUUACACUCAUUUGGUUACUUGAACUUUCAAAAAUACAUAAAAAAAAACCCUUAAACUGUAACACACCAAAAUUUAUAAUUUUGUUAUUGUGAAAAUUUGCCACACAAAUAUCUGUUAGCUAUAGUGGUUACUUGUUUUGGGAGUGUUUGGGAGGUCCCAAGUUCAAGCAUUUGCUUGGGAAAAUUUUGGUAUUUUGAAUGAAUUAGGCCUUACUCUUGUUCAAUGGGCUUUUAUUUGAUUGUUGGGUAAAUUACAUUAGAAUGGGUCUAUUGGUUUGGUGGUUAAAUGGUGUGUUAUUAUGGUGGAGGUAUUGUGUUCAAAUCCCUAUGCAGGCAAGGGUAUUAUUAUUAUUUGCUCAGAUUUCGGGAUAGAGUUGCGUAAUAGGUGGAUUUUGAGUAGUGGAUAUGUAGUGAGAAUUAGGGGAGAAGAUUAAGGGAUUUUAGGGGUUAUCGAGAUUUUAAUUUAUUUUUUCCAUAACCGAAUUUUGACUCUUUUUUCCAAAAAAAUUUUGCCGUCUAUUUUUCUUCCUCUCCUCUUGCCAAAAAUCUCUGAAUUUUUCCAUCUUUCUCUUCUUUUUCUUAUUCUUGAUUUUUCCCUAAUGCAUUUAUUUUCCUUCGUUUUCGCACGCGGUUAGUGCUACCUUAGUUCUGGUAAGUAUUUCUCUUCGUUUCUGUCAUGAAUCUCCUAUCGACUGAAGUGGUAAUGUUUUUUCUCUAUGAUUUGGGCGUAGGGGGCUCUACUGGUGAAUUCAGUGUUUUUGUCUUAACAAUAGUUAAACAGAGGGUUAUUGUUGGUAGUAAGUUGGGUUUCUGGUCGUUCUUGGUUGUCAAUUUGCUUGUAAAUCCGUUAAAUUGAUAUUGAGUAUCUUGAUUAUAGGAUUUGGAGUGCUCGAGGACUAUUUUAGAAUCAAACAAAACCAGGUGUGUACCAAAAAUGCAAAAAAAAGGAUUCGACAAAAAGUCAAAAUUGUUUGCUGUUUGGACAGCAACAGUAGGCUAAAUUUAUAAAAUUGUCAUAAAUUGUGGAAAUAGAAUUAGAGGAUGAACAAAAUAUGGAAUUCAAGCUUAUUUAGUAUAGUUUCUCAUAAAAGAAACAGUGUAAGUAAUGAAACUAUAAAUCAUGAGUUAUAAUAAACUUUGUGAGACAAGAUCAAAAUGAAUUCGGGUUCCCCUAUUUUGACUUUGGAAAAUCAUUAAAAAUUGGAGAAAAAUAAUUAGGGCUUAAAAUUUACAUGUUUAAAUUAUUAAUGAGUCUAUUUUCAAUAGAAAAAGAUGGAAACUUCAUCCAAAUUUUUUACAAAAAGAUAAUUAAUUUUUAGCAAAGAAUGGUCAAAGCUAGCAAACAAAAAAUAGUGGUAAGUUUGAAGAUUUUACUAUACGUAUUGGCUGAAGCAAAAAUUCUUAAAAUUUUAUGGUGGAAAGGUAUCUAAGUCUAGUUUCAAAAACAUUAAGAAAAUUUUAAUUUAAAAUUCUGUAGCUCAAGAUAUAAAUAAUUUAGUAACAGUGACUCAAGUAGACAGCUUUGAAGGAACACACAAUUAAAUAGUGAAAACAUAUAUGAAUAUUUAACUAGCACGGGUUACAUUAAAAAUGGAUCACGUGACCAAGGCCAAUUUGUGCUGAGUGGGCCACAUGGAUAUGUGAACCCAUUUUUUUGAAAAGUUUUGUAAGGUUGUACGGGUCGCCCAAGUCGACUGUGGACCUACUAUAGGGUCGGUAAGAUUUACUUAGAUCCCUAUAUAUGUGAUCUAUCUGUUUGAUUUCUAUACCGAGCAUGACUUAUGAUAUCUGAAUGUAUGUACUAUUAAUUGCAUAAUGGCAUGACAUAUUUUGUAUGUUGCAUUGCAUCGGGGUGGGUUGAUGAUAUUUGGACGAAGUGUCUAAAAGGCUAUUAAGCAUGUUAUCUGGUAGCUCAGCUGCAACAUUCUAAUUAUGUGCCGCAUUUUAGUACAACAUUGUGUGUAGGGAUGGAUGGAUUGAUUUAAUCCCCAUAUGAUGUGUAGGGUUGGACGGAGAUGGUGUGUAGAGGCUGGUGGGUGACGGAGAUGGUGUGUAGAGGCUAGUAGGUAGGAUUCUAAGUUACUGUAUCUGAUAUGGGCUAAGGCCGUAAUGUAUUUCUUAGACUGUAUCUGAACGGGCUAAAGCCCAAACUAAUUCUUUGACGGGCCUAGGCCCCAGACUGUAUCUAACUGAACUCUGUUGAUUAUUUGUAUGUAUGUUUUUCGUGGAGAUUACACACAGAGUUUGCAAAAACUCACCCUUUCUUUGUUUAAUCUAUACAGGUAAUCCCCAGACUUUACGGGUUAGUGUAGCGGAGGACUCGACGGUGCCACACGUAAGUUUCUGACUGUUUUUCGCUAAUUCCUAGAAUUUAUUACUUAUUUGGGGUUUUGAUGUAUCUUCUGGAUUAUGAAUUGGUUGGCUUUAAAUUUGAGACUUUAUGCUAUUUUUACUUUUUUUAAACUGCAACUCCACAAAACACGAUUUUUUUCUAAAAAUUAAUGAUUUUCGUAAAUAGAAGUGAUUUUUCGUAAAUUAAUUGGUUACAAAAGUUUCCGCUAAGAGACAAGUUUUAAAGCAAAUCAACUAGUUUUUUUUCGAAUUAAAUAAAAGCUAACUUACUAUAACGGUUUUUAAACUCAACAAUCUUCUCUUCAAAUUUACUGUAACAGUUUUUAAACUCAACAAUCUUCUCUUCAAAUCCCUUUCUAUGUGACAUUGCCAGAUUCGACCAUAACGUCUAGAUUGGGUUUGUGAUGUUAGAUUUAGUGGUAUGAGAGCCAGAUUAGAAAACUCAGUUGUGGGUUUGGGUUUUAAAACUUUGUUUUAAAGAAAUGAUUUUUAAAUGGUUUGAAAUAUUUUUAACUUACUAUGUGAUACACUGAGUCUCCAGUGCCGAUUCUGUAAGUGUUCUAAAAACUGUGAUAAGUUUUUGAAAAUAUGAGUAGUAUAUUCUAAAACUACUAUAAGUAGUACAUUGUACUGAGAACACUAUAGAUAGUGUAUACUGAAAAGAGUAACGAAACUGAAAACUGUAGUAAGACUGCGAUUUGUGAUAACAAACUCUAAACUUCUGAUACUAUUUUGCAUAAAAUAUAUACUAAUAGAUAUAGAAACUAUAACUAAUUCAUAAAACUGUUAGUGUUACAAAUUCUACGAUGAGCGCACGAGGUAUCCGCGGACGGGGUACUAGAGGCCGAGGUAGAGGUCGUAGAAGGGUUCGAGCUGAGUCUUCAUUGUUAGACAGCAUGCUGAAUAUGGAUACAAGUGAGAUGCCAGUUUUACCUGCUACAUAGACUGGGUCUCAUAAUCAUAUGGCUGGGGACGUCGCCUUGUCCCAGGCUAUGCUGAGGAUACUAGAGAGGGUCAGUGGGCCUAACACUGGAUCUAGAGGUCGACGGUCAGUUACGGACUUUGGUCUAAUGUGGAUGAACUAUUCAGUGGUUUCAUCGGAGUCACCCCUAACGUGGCCGAGUAUUAGAUGGAGGCCACAAAAAGAAUCAUGGAUGACCUGGACUUUACCCCUGAACAGAAAUUGAAAGAGGCUGUUUCUUUACUUUGUGAUAAAGCAUACCAAUGGCGGCUGACCGUUAAGGAGGGCACUUAGCCCGAACGACUAACUUAGGAUUUUUAUAAGUCUAAUUUUCAAAGUAAAUAUGAGGUCGAGUUUUUGAGAUUGAACCGCUAUGUGUGAGGCAUGGUGGUGAUUGAAUAUGAGCAUUGUGUCCACUUCGAGGAUGGACUUAGGGAUAGUUUGAGAGCUCUGAUAGCUCUGCAAAGGGAGUGUGACUUUUAACACUAGUAGAUAAGGCUUAGACCACAGAGGAGGUGAAGCGUGCUGAGUGUCAAAACUGGGAUAAGAAGAGAGGGAAGAAUAAGAGGAAUUCAGAGCCCUCAAAUUCUAUGAUGAGGCCUAAAAAAUGUCAGAUUUGGUGGGCCAGUUAGAGUUGGGGCACUUUUGCACCUAUUAGGAUCACGCAUUGUGGGCAUUCUGGAAGACAUCAUCCGAGCAAAUGUUGGAGGACGACUGGAGCUUAUUUAAGAUGUGGGUCUACUGAGUACUGUGUUCAAGAAGUCUGCUGAGGGCCAAUCAGGUGCAAGCUCUGGGCUCUAGUACUACACAACCACUAAGGGUAGUUCAGUAGCCACUUAGGGGCCGUGGUCAAGCUAGAGGUGGUAAUGGUAUGGGUUGUGGGUAGAGAGCAUUGGGCAGAGGUGCUGGACAGGCUAGGGAGAGACAGUCGACCCUGCUACUCAUCAUCGAGAGGAUAGAGAUGCUUCAAACAUCAUCACGGGUACGUUUCUUAUUUUUGGUGUGCUUUACACUGCAUUGAUAGAUAUAGGAUCUACACAUUCCUAUGUUGUUUGUUCUGUUUCCAAAAACCUAGGGAUUUCAGUUGAGAGUACUUCUAGUUAGGUGACUAUGUUGAACCUGCUGGGUUAAUCUGUUAGAGUUAGCAAAUAGUAUAGGGAUGUUCAUUAAGAGGUUCAAUAGAUGAAAUUUCUGGAUGAUUUGAUAGAGCUUUCAUUUGGGGAGUUCGAUAUGAUAUUGGGGAUGGACUGGUUAGUCAAGCACCAUGUCAUUUUAGAUUGUACGACUGAGAGGGUCGUAUUGAGAACUGAAGGGGGUAAUGAAGUAGUUGUGAUUGGAAAAUAUCGAAAUUACUUGGCUAAUGUGAUCUCUACAUUGGUAGUUGAGAAACUGGUUUGCAAGGGAUGUGAGAUGUAUUUGGCCUACAUAAGUGUUUUUACUUCUAAGGACUCUACUGUUAAGGACAUCAGAACUGUAAGGGAUUUUCUGGAAGUCUUUCCUGAGGAGCUACCAGGUUUACCUUUGAAUCGAGAAGUGGAGUUUGGGAUUGAGCUUUUCCUUGGUGCAACUUCAGUGUCUAUCGCUCCUUAUCGAAUGGCACCAAAGGAGCUUAUAGAGCUCAAGGCUCAAAUUCGGGAGUUAUUGGAUCGUGGGUUCAUCCACCCUACUAUGUCUCCAUGGGGGCACUGGUACUAUUUAUUAAGAAAAAGAAUAGAUCCAUGAGGAUAUGUUUAGACUACUGAUAACUAAAUAAGUUGACUAUUAAGAACAAGCAUCCACUUUUGUUGACUGAUGAUUUGUUUGACCAGUUUCGAGGGGCAUCUGUGUUCUCCAAAAUUAACUUACAUUCUGGGUAUCAUCAGUUGAGGGUUAAGGAGACUGAUGUACAUAAGACGAUAUUUAGGACUCGUUAUGGUCACUAUGAAUACCUAGAUCAGUUUGCAGUGGUGUUCAUCGAUGACAUAUUGUUUAUUCGAGGACUGAGGAUGAGUAUGAUGAGUACCUUAGGAUUAUUCUUUAGAUUUUAAGGGAAAAAUAGCUCGAUGCCAAGUUCAGCAAGUGCGAGUUUUGGUUACGUGAAGUAACAUUUUAGGGUCAUGUGGUGUCUGCUAAGGGGAUUCAAGUCGAUCCUCAAAAAAUUAAGGUUGUAUUGGAUUGGAAGCAAGCUAAGAAUGUGUUUGAGAUCCACGCUUUUUGGGGCUAGUAGGUUAUUGCCAACGGUUUGCGGAAGGAUUUCACUGAUCGCAACACCCUUGACUAAGCUAUUACGUAAAGGUGUACCUUUUGACUAGACUAAUACGUAGCAAAAGAGCUUUGAGAAGCUUAAAACUGUACUGACUGAGGCUCUUAUUUUGGUACAGCCUGAACCUGGAAAGGAGUUCACGGCUUAUAGUGAUGCAUCACAUGUCAGUUUGGGAUGUGUGUUGAUGCAGGAUGGUAAGUUGGUUGUAUAUAUGUCUCAUCAGCUUAAGGCUCACGAGAUGAACUAUUCGAUGCACGAUUUAGAGUUGGCCACUGUAGUCUUUGUAUAAGAAUCUGGAGGCAUUAUCUGUACAAUGAGAAGUGUAUUAUCUACACCGAUCAUAAAAGCCUCAAGUAUCUCUUCACUCAGAAGGAGUUAAAUCUUAGGCAGCGUAGAUGAGUUGAGCUGCUUAAGGAAUAUGAUUGUACCAUUGAGUACAAUCCCGGUAAGGCCGAUGUGGUGGCUGAUGCAUUGAGCAGUAGGGCUAUGACAGAUGUAAGAGCCUUGUUAGCUCGACUUAGCCUACUCGACGAUAGAAGUCUAUUGGUAGAACUUUAGGUUAAACAGACAUGGAUUGAACAGAUUCGAGGUAAACAGUUAGGGGACAAGUCUCUCAGGUUGCAUUUCCAUCCUGUUGAGAAUUGUGAUACUACUGAUUUUGAGAUAAACAGUGAUGGGGUACUUCGUUUCUGCGGUCAGAUUUGUGUACCAAAUGAUAAGGAUUUAAGGCAGUCGAUUCUGAAGGAGGCGUAUGGUAGUCCCUAUACUAUGCAUCCUGGCAGGAACAAGAUGUAUCAAGAUCUUUAGAAAUUAUACUAGUAGCUAGGGUUGAAGUGUGAUAUUACUAACUUCAUCGCUCGCUGUUUGACUUGUUAGCAGGUUAAGUCUGACCAUCUGUUACCUUCGGGUUUGCUACAGCCAGUUAAGAUACUGUUAUGGAAAUGGGAGCGAGUAACGAUGGACUUUGUUAGUGGGUUACCUCUAACACCCACUAAAAAGGAUUCUAUGUAGGUCAUCAUAGAUCGAUUGAUCAAGUCUGCUCACUUCAUCCCAGUAAUGACAGACAUUUCUCUUCAGAAAUUAGUUAAGCUCUAUAUAUCAGAAAUAAUAAGACUACAUGGGGUACCUGUCUCGAUUAUUUUCGAUAGGGAUCCUCGUUUCACGUUUUAAUUUUGAAAGAGGCUUCAUGAGGCUCUGGGUUCAAUAUUAGAUUUCAGUACUGCUUUCCAUCCUCAGACAGAUGGUCAGUCAGAGAGGGUGAUUCAGAUACUGGAGAACAUGUUGAGGAGUUAUGUUAUUGAUAUCUGAGGUAGUUGGGAGGAGUACUUACUGUUAGCAGAGUUUACCUACAAUAAUAGCUUCCAAUCUAGCAUCCAGAUGGUACCUUACAAGGCACUGUAUGGUCGUAAGUGCCGCACUCUUUUAUGUUAGACUGAGUUGGAGCGACGUGUUCUAGGUCCUGAGUUGGUGUCUGAGACAGAGGAUAAUGUUAGAUUGAUUUGGGAUCGUUUGAAAGCGGCUUCUGAUAGGCAAAAAUCUUAUGCGGAUUUGAAGAGGUGUGAGAUCGAGAAUCCUGUGGGGGACUUAGUUUUUCUUAAGGUCCUUCCAUGGAAAAAGGUUCUGAGGUUCAAUUGCUAGGGCAAUCUGAGCCCACAAUUUAUUGGACCUUAUCACAUUUUGAAACAUGUGGGACCUGUCACUUAUCAAUUAGAGUUACCUACGGAGUUAGACUACAUUCAUGAUGUUUUUCACGUUUUGAUGUUAAGGCAUUACCGCUCUGAUCUUGCAUGUUGUUUCUGUUGAGGAGAUUGAGGUUAGGCCAGACUUGACUUUCGAAGAUGAGCCGGUUCAGAUUCUGGAGCGUGAUGUAAAGGUCCUUCAGAAAAAGUCUAUUCCCUUAAUGAAGGUUAUUUGGCAUAAUAAUAGCACUAAGGACGCCACGUAGGAGCCUGAGGAUAUGAUGUGUCAGCAAUAUCUUCAUAUAUUUUGAUCAGGUAAAAUUUCAAGGAUGAAAUUUUCUUUUAGGAGGUAGGGUUAUAACGCCCCAAAAUUUUUAAUUUCAUUAUUGUAAAAAUAUGACACAAAUAUCUGUCAGUUUUAGUGGUUACGUGUUCUGGGAGUGUUUGGGAGGUCCCAAGUUCAAGCUUUCGCUUGGGAAAAUUUUGAAAUUUUGAAUGAAUUAGGCCUUACUCUUGUUCAGUAGGCUUUUAUUUGAUUGUUGGGUAAGUUACAUCAGAAUGGGUCUGCUGGUCUAGUGGUUAAAUGGUAUGUUAUUAUGGUGGAGGUUUUGUGUUCGAAUCACUAUGCAGGCAAGGGUAUUAUAAUUUUUUGAUCAAAUUUCAAGAUAGAUUUGUGUUAUUAUGGAGUGCUCAGGGCUGUUUUAGCAUUAAACAAAACCAAGUGUGUACCUGAAAUGCAAAAAAAAGGAUUCAGCGAAAAGUAGAAAUUGGUUGCUGUUUGGACAACAACAAUAGGCUAAAUUUGAAAAAUCUCCAUAAAUUAUGGAAAUCAAAUUAAAGGAUAAAAAAAUAUUGAAUUAAAGCUUAUUGAGUCUAGUUUCUCAUAGAAGAAACAGUGUAAGUAAUGGAAUUGUAAAUCGUGAGUUAUAAUAAACUUUGUGAGACAAGGUCAGAAUGAAUUCGAGUUCUUCUGUUUUGGAUUUGGAAAAUCAUCAAAAAUUGGAGAAAAAUAUAAAAUUUACAUGUUUAAAUUAGUAACGAGUCUAUUUUCAAUAGAAACAAAUGAAAACUUCAUCCAAAUUUUGUACUAAAAGAUAAUUAAUUUUUAGCAAAGAAUGGUCAAAGUUGUCAAAUAGCAAAACAGAGGUAAGUUUGAAGAUUUUACUGUACGUAUUGAUUGAACCAAAAAUUCUAAAAAUUUUAUGAUGGAAAGGUAUCUGAGUCUAGUUUCAAAGACAUCAAGCGGAGUUUAAUUUGGAAUUUUGUAGCUCAAGAUAGAAAUAAGUUAGUAACAGUGUCUCAAGUAGACAGCUUUGAAGGAAUACACAAGUAAAUAGUGAAAACAUAUAUGAAUAUUUAACUAGCAUAGGUUACAUUAAAAAUGGAUCAUGUGGCCAAGGCUAAUUUGGGCCGACUGGGCCAUAUAGAUAUGUGAGCCUAUUUUUUUGAAAAGUUCUAUAGGUUACACGGGUCGCCCAAGUCAACUAUGGACCUACUGUAGGGUCGGUAAGCUUUACUUAGACUCCUAUAUAUGUGACCUAUCUGUUUGAUUUCCAUACCGAGCAUGACUUAUGAUAUCUGAAUGUAUGUACUAUUAAUUGCAUAAUGGCAUGACAUAUUUUGUAUGUUGCAUUGCAUCGAGGUGGGUUGAUGAUAUUUGGAGGAAGUGUUUGAAAGGCUAUUAAGCCUGUUACUUGGCAGCUCAGCUGUAACCUUCUAAUUAUGUGCCGCAGUUCGGUACAGCAUGGUGUGUAGGGAUGGGUGAGUUGAUUUAAUCCCCACAUGAUGUGUAGGGUUGGCCGGAGAUGGUGCGUAGAGGCUGGUGGGUGAUGGAGAUGGUGUGUAGAGGCUGGUUGGUAAGAUUCUAAUUUACUGUAUCUACAUUCUGUAUCUGAUAUGGGCUAAGGCCGUAAUGUAUUUCUGAGACUGUAUCUGAACGGGCUAAGGCCCAAACUAAUUCUGUGACAUGCCCAGGCCCCAGACUGUAUCUAACUGAAUUCUGUUGAUUAUCUAUAUGUAGGUUUUUUGUGGGGAUUACACACUGAGUUUGCGAAAACUCACUCUUUCUCUGUUUAAUCUGUACAUGAACGGGUCGGUACAGCGGAGGAUUCGGCGGUGGCCACACGUAAAUUUCGGACUGUUUUCCGCUAAUGCCUAGAAUUUAUUACUUAUUUGGGGUUUUUUAUGUAUCUUCUAGACUAUGGACUGGUUGGCUUUAAAUUUGAGAUUUAUACUUUUUUAUGGUUUUUUUUAAACUGCAGCUCCAAAAAAAACACGAUUUUUUCCUAAAACUAAGGAUUUUCAUAAAUAGAAAUGAUUUUCCGUAAAUUAAUUGGUUGUAAAAGUUUCUGCUAAGAGACAAGUUUUAAAGCAAAUCAACUAGUUUUUUUCCCGAACUAAAUAAAAGCUAACUUAAUGUAACAGUUUUUAAACUCAACAAUCUUGUCUUCAAUUCCCUUUUCAUGUGACAUCGCCAGAUUCGAUCAUAAUGUCUAGACCAGGUUUGGGGUGUUACACAAACCUUUUCAAAAAAAGCAAUUAAGCCCUGCUUUUUUUUUCUACACUCAAUUGGGUUCUUGAACUUUCAAAAUGCAUCAAAAACAACCUCAAACUUUUUCAGAAAAAGCAAUUAAGCUCUUCGUUUUAUUAAAAAAUAGAAAAAAAUUAUAAAAAAAUAAAAUCAAUAAAAAUUAUACAUAUACAUAUGAUGUGGAAAAAAAAAGAUGAUGUGUGAUCUUUUAAUUGGACAGGACCGUGGAUGAUGUGAUGGAAAAGAUCUAUAAAAUAAUUUUUCCUAAUUUAAGGGUUAGAGAGGGUUACUAUAGUUAAAUUAUAUCAAUUUUUUAAAUAUUUAAAAAGGAUUUAUAAAUAAUAUAAGUAAAAGAUAAAAAAAGAAAGAAACAUAUUCAUAUUUAUCGGCUUUUUCAUUAUAAACUUUUUUUGUUCAUGUAAAAUUAGGACGUGAAUAAUUUUAAACGUUUCAUCAUUGCAAAAAUGAAAUAAUAGAAAAAAAAAAAAAAAGACUAUAUGAAUUUGCAUUUGGUUCUUUCUUUUAAUACUUGUCAUGGGUGUAGAAUUCUCUCACCAGUUUCCAACAACUUGACGUGAUUUCUCAAUCACAAUUAAUGUUUUUGAAUGAGACAAACAUUUGAAUGGGUCUUUAGGGUUAUAAUUAGUCCUUGCUUUACUUCGGGUGGAUUCUUCCAACUAGUCCAAGAAUUAUUGUACAAUCACAAUUAGUCUUUUUGAAUGAGACAAACAGUUCAAAUGUAACAUAAACGGGUCUUUAGGGUUAUACUUUAGUUAUUAAGAGCCUUUCUACAAUUUGUGAUUGAUUUGAGGGACAAGAGGUUGAGAUUGCAUUUAACAUGGACUGACUUUUCUAUAAUUAGUCCUUGCUUUACUUUGGGUGGGUUCUUUUUAAAUGAUUUCUCAAUCACAAACAAACUUUUUAAAUGAGACAAACAUUUCAAUUUUAACAUAACGGGUCUUUAGGGUUAUUCUUUCAGUUAUUGAGAAUAUUUUCCACAAUUUGUCAUUACUAUUUGUGAGUGAUUUCUGGAUCACAUUGCAUUUAAGACGGUUCUUUGGAGCUUUUCGUAUCUUUAACGUAGACUGACUUUUCUAUAAUGAGUCCUUGGUUUGCUUUGCAUGGAUUCUUCCAACUAGUGUGAUCCUUGGCAUUACUUUUCAAACACUGACGAAAUUAAUUUGAAGAUAUCUGUUUUUUUUUUUUUUUCAAUAGAGUGAAUUCACAAGUUCUAUUUUCUUUUAAUUGUUUUUUUAGUAUUUUCAUGGAUUUCAGGAGAUAUUGAAAAUUAUUUUACCAUGAAAUUUUAAGUCAUCGAAAAGUAAGUGUUUUAUUUCAAGGGAUCACAAUUAAACAUUAGAUUUUCCACUUUUAACUUUUUAAUAUUUUUAUAAUUAUAUAAUUGACGAAGUACUAAUUUUGGACAUUGUAGAGGUGUUAUAACAUUCUUUAUGCAUAACCGACUAUUAAACUCACUUUUUUCUCUAGAAUUUAACACAAAAUUCAAAUUUAUCUUUUUAAAAGAAUUUUAAAUCCCUUUACAAAAAAAAAAGAAGUGAUUUUUAAGUGAUGAAUUGUACUUAACAAAAAAAUCAAUGGUGACUCCCUUUUAAAAAAAAACCCUUUUUAAAAGAAUUUUAAAAUCUCUUUACAAAGGAAAAAAAAAAAGCUAUUUUUAAGUGAUGAAUCACACUUAACAAAAAUAUAAAUGGUGACUCCCUUUUAAUAAAACCUUCUGUUUUUUUUGGAAAGACCAAAAUUUCAUUCCCCAGCUAUUUAAUUUGUUCUAUUUUAAUAAUCUAAACUGUUAGCUAACUUUUCCACAAUUCUACAUCUCUAUUUGUGAGUGGGCACAAAAACUUGGACAUUUCUUGAUGAAAUUUAAUUCAAUUGCAUUUAGUAUCACAUGAUUUUCUUUUAUCAUUUUAAUCUAUAAACUGUUUCAAAAACAAUACCACGUCGACAUUAAAUUUGCUACUACAUAUUCAAUUUUUAGACGGGACGUUGAAAUAUUAAUUUCACUAUGAACCAAGGGAGAUAUAAAUGUUUUCAUUGGUUUGAAAGUAAGAUUCUCUCAACAAUUAAUUAUAGAUAAUUCAUAAAUGAAUAAAAUUUUAAUUAAUAUUUUAUAAAUAUAUCAAAUGUGUUAAUUAAUUAUGAUUUUAGGUACUUUUUUGUGUGAAUUAAGUGAAAUAAGCGACAUAAACAAUAAAAAAGAACUAGAUCUUCAAUGGGGAAACUUCAAAAAUUUGAAGACCUUCUCUCCUAUCUUUAACUUGUCUUGUGAUUCUAUCAACUUCUCCAUUAUGUUCCCUAGGGAUAUGUUGAAUGCCCUAAUGUCUUACUCUGGAUAAAUUUUGGUGAAUUCUCUUGAUUAGAGUAGAGUCUAACUCAUUACAGGCCUCAUUUUGAAUUGCUAUGACUAUCUCCAUGUUGUCAGUUUAAAUUAUCAUGCUGCCGUAUUUCCACUCCAAAAGAAGCGUUACUCCAUCUAAGAUGUCCCAGAAUUCAGUUUCUAUAAUAGAGCGAAAGCCCAAGUACCUGUUGUAACCUAGAAUCCAUCCUCCAUUCUGAUCUCGAAAAACACCCACGACUGCAGCAAAACCGGUUCCCUCAUGAACAAAACCAUCAGGUCUUAAGCAAACCCAAUUAAUUGUCCAAGAUCGAAGGUGGUAUUGGGAUAUGCAAAGCCUCCUUAGUUACCUUAUUAUUAGAGAAUCCAUAGUGUUUAGCCUAACUAUAUGAUACUUUGAUGAUAUCAUUUUAACACCAUGGAAUACCCAGAAAUAAAAGUAAAUUAUGAUUUUUCCAUAUCUGCUACACUGUAAGACAAAAGAAACAUUGCCAAUCAAUAUCCCCUAGAUGUAUUUGAUGAUGAUUUUUCAUAUUCGAAGCUAGCCACUCUAUUAGGUCUCGUGAGAAGAAUAGAGGUAUCUUAUCCGCAGGGACAAUGAUCUCCCAAAUAUCUCUAGCUGCAGAACAAUCUCAAGGCAUGUACCACAUCUUCAACCUUGAUAUUACAGUACCAAUACUAUCCAUACUAAUAUGCCUCCUCAUUCUUUCCAUAUUAGUUAGCUGACGUUGCUAGAUGGCAAGCCAAAUGAAGUAUUUAACCUUUUGAGGUCCCUAGAAUUUCCACGAAAGUUGCUAAACACUCUUUUUUUGGGUAACCAUGUAAGUGGGCAAUCCAUCGCCAAAUUAAAAUGAGAUGGGAUAAGCUUACAGAGAGGACAAACGUUAGGAAUCCAAGGAUCUUUCUAGCAUUUAAUACUGCAACCAUCUCCCAUUGACCAAAUUAAGUUUUCUCAAAUCAGUGGCCAAACUUUCGCCAGACUUCUCCAAAGAAAGGAACCACUACUUUGAGCCAAGGUUUCUGGUAAGCCAUUCUGGACUCUAUAUUUAUACUUCAGGACACGACCCAUAUAUCUUCCAAGUCUAAUACGAUUUUAAAGCUAAUUUUCAUCAUGAAAGCCAUGUUAUGAUCUUGUACUUGCCUUAACCUCAAACCACCAGUUAGUUAUCGCUGACUAACUGAAUCCCAACAAACCAACACCUUUUUCUACCUCUAUUAGAAGGUUCCCAUAUAAAUUGUCUUACCAAACACUCAACCUCAUCACAAAUAACUUUGGGAAUCAUCAUAGACUGCAUAAAAAAACUUAAUAUCAUUAGAAGCACUGAUUGAGCAAGUGUAGCCCCUCCAGCCAAAGAAAGUUUCCACGCAUCCAAACUAUCCAACUUGCAACAAAUCUUGUCCUCCAUGAACCUUAGGGUGCCAUUUGUAACUCGCUCAUGGAAGAUUGGUACACCUAAAUAAGUUUCCAAAUUAUUCACUUUAUGAAACCCUAAAAAGUUACUAAUCUCCCAAGCUAAAUCCUCAUCAACCCCUUUAAAGAGAAUCAUGUUGGUCUUUUUCACAUUUAUUCAAUGUCUAGAAAACUAACAAAAACUGUUCAAUACACCCUUGGGAAUGUGGGCUUGUUGAACAUUGGCUUGACCAAAAAUAAUGAGGUCAUCUGGAAAAAAAAGUGAGAAAGAGGUGGACCCAAACGGGUCAAUCUAAUCGGAACCCAAAGUUUUGAGUCAAUGUGGGCCUGAAUGCUAUGACCAAGCCACUCCAUACACAAGACAAAUAAGCACAGAGAUAGAGGUCAACCUUGACAAACCACUUUAGCCGGCUUAAAUUUUGUGUAGGAAUGCCAUUCUAAAGAAUCUGUAAGGUAGAGUUAGUAAUAGCAGACAUAAUUACAUUAAUGAGAGAAUUCGGGAUGCCUACAACCUAUAAAGAAUAAUGAAAAUCAUGAAAUAUUAAUAUAUAAUAAUAUAUUAUAAUGAUAAAAAUAGAUAAUAAAACUAAAUAUUAAUAUAUAGUAAUGAUAUGAAGACUUAAAAUCAUGAAAUAUAAUAAAAUGAUAUAUACAAAAAUAGAUAAAUGAAAGUAUAAACAAUAUAAAAAUAACAGGAAUAUUAAUAAUGGCAAUAAUAAUAAUAACCAAAAGGACUAAAUUAUAAUUUAAAGAAGCUUAAGUCUAAAUUUUAAAAUAAAAAUAGAAAUAGCAAUCUGAAGGGUCAGGAUGAAACGCGCAAAAAGAUAUAGGGACUGAUUGGGAAAUUAAUUCCUGUUUCUCUAAACGACGCCGUUCCAUUGAGGGAUUAAAAUGAAACACGCAAAUUAUAUGAGGGAAAGUAAUCUGUCUCCCCAAAACACUGUGUUUUACGCAGGAUUAAAAUGAAUAAAUUAAAACUAAACAAGGUAAAUUUAAAAGAACAAACCAACAAAAUUGCAACACUGAGAAGAUAUGGGGGCAAUUGUGAAAUAUCCCCUGUGGACCCAAAACACGCGGAUCUGGUAGUGAUCGGGUCGGGUCUCAGGUCAAUGGCCUAUACGACGUCAUUUUGAGGUCAUGAAGCAGGCCUCAAACGACGUCGUUUCACAGAAGUUAUAAAACCCCAAAAGAAAUUUUGAAUAUUUACCUGCCAUUUCAAAAUAGAAAAGUGGUAAAAACCUUGACCAUAUUCUCAAUUCUCUCCCAGAUAAUGUCUCUAAAAGUGGUGGUUUCUUUACUGCCACCGCUGGCCAAGACUCCAACAAAGCUUACGCUCUUGGGCUGUGCAGUGGAGACUUAAAUCCACACGAUUGUUAUGGCCUUGUGAAAUCCGCGGUUCCUGAUCUCAGAGAUAAAUUUCCCGAUCAGAAAGAAGUCAUUUCAUGGUCAGGUGAUCCCGCAUGUACUGUACGAUUUGCAAAUCGCCCCUUUUUUGGAAUCCUGGAGCUAGAGCCUACUACUGCUGGCACUAUCACGCACGACGUCGGCUCCAACUUACGACGAUUUGAUACGAUUUGGGAGAGUUUAACAGACGGUUUGGUGAGAAACGCUUCCAACGGCUCUUCUAGUCGUAAAUAUGCAACUGGCGAAGCAUAUUUUAUAGUAUCUCAAAACAUAGACGCACAAAUGCAGUGAACUCCAGACAUAUCACAGGAGGAAUGUGAUUCCUUCCUAUUGACACCAUUUUCUUGACGAAAAACGGGGUCGACUUGGGUUUUGGAAAAUGAAAACGAAAAUGGGAGUCGCCACCGAUCCUUUUUGAUGAGGUGUGAUCGGAUCACCUCGAAAAGUGGUUGUUUUUAAUAAACGGUUUGAUUUUAUUAAAACAACAAGUUUGGUACAUGAAAUUCAGAAAAACAAGUUCGGGAGUCGGUUACGCACGAGGAAGGAUUAGCACCCUCGAUACGCCCAAAAUUGGUACCUAGUUUAUUUGUUAAUGUCUUAAUGUCGAUCCUUGUAUUAAAACGUUGAAAAAUUUUCAGGAAAAUGGGCAUAUUUCACGUUAUUCGAGAAAGAGAAUCAUAUCCAGUAAGUUAGGGUACAAUGUCUCGAAUUCCCGAUAUGCGAAUGAAAAAUGCUUAUUUAAAAGAUAUUUAACUAUCUUGGAUUUAAAAAAGGGAUCACGACUAGUAAGUUAGGACACGAUCCUUUUUUAAUUCCCGAUAUCGUUUAAAACUUGAGUUUGAAAAGACUCGUGUAAUAAAGUUUAAAAGAAUAUUCAAUUAUUUAAAUCAAAUGAAGAAAUCGCAACCCAAUACCUUAGGGCACAAUUUCUCAAAAUAUUAAACAUUGAAUAUUGCAUUUAUUUCAAAAAAUCCUCGUUUCGAGAAAACAACGUGUCACAUCCAAUGCGUUAGGACACAACAUAUUGAAUUCUCGAUAACGAGCUUUUUAUCAUUUUUAAAAGAGUAAUCUCGAUUAUUUAAGUUCAACGAAGAAAGUCGGAACCCAAUACGUUAGGGCUCAAUUCUCUCGAAGAUCCAAAAUACCGAAUAUUACUUAUUUCUAAAAUUUCUUUUUCGAAAUCUAAAUAAAAAUGGGUGUAAUGGAAUAACGAUGAUAAUGAUGUAAGUAAAAUAAUAAUACGAGCAAUAGCAUCAAAGAUAAUAUAAAUAAAAAAGGACAAAUCAAUAGCAUCAAAAUAAAUAUAUAAGCAAAAUAAUACAAGCAAAGGCUACGAAGUAAAAUAAAUACAGAGACGAACUAAUGUAAUACACAAUCACAAGCAUAUGAGCAAUAAAGUUAAAACAUUCAUUCUAAAUAAUGAAAAUAUAAAUAAUGAAAUAAACAAAGAAAAUGUAUAAAAAUAUAAAAAAAUAAAAGAUAUAUAUAUGUGUAUAGAUAUAAAUUAAUGAAAUACGAAAAAAUAUAUGUAUUUACAUAUAGUUUUAAGUUAUGAAACAAAAUAAAAACAUAUGUGUAUAUAUAAUUUUAAGAUAUAAAAUCUAUUAAGGUAAAUAUAUAAAGCUUUUAAGUUUUAUAAUAAUAAAAAAUAUGCGUAUAUAUUUAGUAUUAAAAAAAAGAAAUAUACAUAUGCAUGGAAAUAGUUUUAAGUUACAAAAUAUAAAAAAAUAUGUAUAUGUACAUGCACGUAUAUAAAGACUAUAAAAGGUAUGCAAAAGUAUAUAUGUAUAUAUAUAUAUAUAAGCUAUUAUGUAAUAAUAAUAUGAUAAGUAACAAUAAUAUAAAUAAUAAUAAUAGAAAUAAUAAUAAUAAUAAUAAAAUUACUGAAAAAAGGGACUAGAUCGAAAUAAAAAAUACUGGGAGAAUUCGAAUUAAAUAAAAAGACUAAAAGGACUAAAUUGUGACACGCGCCGAAAGAGGGGGCCAAAAAGGAAAAAUAAGUCAAAGUCCCAAAACGCAGCACUGAAAUGGACCAAAUGAAACAAAAAUAAAAAAUUGCAGGGCUAAAUUAAAAAUAAGAGAAAAUAACGAAAAAGGAUCAAAUUGUAAUACACUGCAAAAUUAGGGGGACUGCACGCGCAAUUAAUCCAUUAGGAGAAAACACACGGAUCCUCCCCUUCGGGUCGGGUUGACGCGCGGAUCUCCCUCACUAAAACGGCGUCGUUUCAUGUUUAAUAUAAAUACUAAAAAUAAGCUUAAAAAAAGCAGUUUCAUCAUUUUUUAAAAAAGUACAGAGAGAAAACUCUCUUUUUCUCUCUCUCAAACCCCAAUUUCGGCCAUGGUUCGACCAAGGAUUCCGGCCAGCCUCCGCCAUAGCGCCACCGUGUGUGGCUGUUGGAGGUUCAAAAUCAGACCUUUUUGGUCCCUUUUUUAAGCCAAACGUCUCUAGGACGUGAACCCAAGGCCAAAUCCCCGGAAAAAGGAGCCCAAAACCUGAAGAACGAGAAGAACCGUUCAUCUCCUCUUCCUCUGGCGCGGCGCAGGUAAGGUUUUCUUCCCCUUUUUUUUGAUUUUUUUAAAGAAAUAAAGUCGAAAUAAAUACUAAUGAAACAGAAAAAUAAAAGAGAAACAGAGAAAUAAAAGUUGAAAUCACCUUAGUUUUUUUAAACUUUAAAUGAGUGUGUAAAAAAGGAGAGAACCCCCAUUUACAGUGUUCGGCUUUUGCCGAAAGAGAAAGAAGAAAAAAAAUCCAGAAAAAUCCCCCCUUUUUGUUGUUGAAGUUCGGCCCUUUUUAUCUAGCCAAAGAAAAGAAAAAUAAAAGACUAAAAAGCUACUGUCCAUUGCUUUGUUUUCUUUUCUGUUUCUAUUUCCUUUUCGUGUUUGCAGGUGGCUGAACAGUGCAGGCACCGAUGGGACGUGCGGCAGUGGCGGCAGGUCAAGUGGCCGACCCUAGGUUGUGGCGCUAGGCUAGGCUAGGGUUUCAGAAAACUGAAACCCUAGUUUGAAAUUUGGGCCUGAUUUGGAUGUUGGGCCUGGUUGGGCUUCGGGUUUGGGUUCAAUUGUAAAUAGGUUUUGGGUUUGUUUGGGUGUAUUCCGGGUUUUUGGGCCGGUGUUUAGGGGGUUGGGUUAUUUAAUUUUGGUAAUGGGCCCGGGCAAAAAUGGGCUUGUACAGCUGCCCCUCUUUGCUUAUUGUCGUGUAACGAGAACAAAGCAAAGACUAAGAAAGACCAAUUUUUGCCCGGUCCUGCUGAUUCUUGACUUGUUCAACGCCUCUCUUUUCAAGUAGCUAUAUUUCAGUCCACUAUGUCUUGUCACUUCAAUCCACUCCACUCCACUUCAGAAAGACAAGACUUGUAGCUUCAAUCCACUCUGUUGUAACUUUAGGGGGUGAGAUCUGCUGUUGUAGCUUCAAUAUUUUUAAUUGCAAUGUCAGGGAAGUAAGAUCCGCUAUUGUAGCUUCAAUCUGUUCCACUGCAAUGCUAGGAAAGUAAGAUCCGCUGUUGUAGCUUCAAUCUUUUUAAUUGCAAUGUCAGGGAAGUAAGAUCCGCUGUUGUAACUUCAAUCUGUUCCACUGCAACGCUAGGAAAGUAAGAUCCGCUGUUGUAGCUUCAAUCUUUUGAAUUGCAAUGUCAGGGAAGUAAGAUCCGCUGUUAUAGCUUCAAUCUGUUCCACUGCAACGCUAGGAAAGUAAGAUUCGCUGUUGUAGCUUCAAUCUUUUGAAUUACAAUGUCGGGAAAGUGAGAUCCGCUGUUGUAGCUUCAAUCUGUUCCACUGCAACACUAGGAAAGUAAGAUCCGCUGUUGUAGCUUCAAUCUUUUAAACUGCAAUGUCAGGGAAGUAAGAUCCGCUGUUGUAGCUUCAAUCUGUUCCACUGCAACACUAGGAAAGUAAGAUCCGCUAUUGUAGCUUCAAUCUUUUGAACUGCCAUGUCAGGGAAGUAAGAUCCGCUGUUGUAGCUUCAAUCUGUUCCACUGCAAUUCUAGGAAGGUAAGAUUCGCCGUUGUGGCCUCAAUAUUUUAAUUGCAAUGUCGGGGAAGUGAGAUUUGCCGUUGUAGCUUCAAUCUAUUCCGCUGCAUCGCCUGGGAAGUAAGAUUCAUCGUUGUGGCUUCAAUCUUUUAAAUUGCAAACUAUGGUUUCUUCGAUCUGCUUCGCUGUCAGUACAGGAAGGCAAGAUCUGCUAUCUCAUUGGUCUGUUCUCUAGGGAACAUGACCUGUAUAAUCCAUUUGAUGGACCUAUUUAUGCCUAGUGAUUAGGAUGAAAUGAUCAGAAUGAAUCAAAUGCUCCUAACUAGAUGUGUAUGAAUGACAUUUGAUUGAAUGCAAAAUGUCAUGAAAAUGAUUCCUUAAUGCUUAGGUUAUCAUCACGCAAAAGCUUAUUAAGGCUUUAUCACUGACGUGCUACAACGCCUUCUUGUUCGGCUGGCAUAUCCAAAGAAACACUUAAUCUGAUUGCCCCUUACUGUGAACGUUGAAGUUCAAUCCACUGGGACAUAAAAUUUGUACCAUCAAUCUCCCACUGUAACCCAAGGGUAGAAAUAUAUGGCUUUUCUUAAUCUUCUCCUAUCGCAAUUCAAGGAUACAAAAUGUGAAGCUCUUUGGUCCUUUACCUCAUUCCUAGGUGUCAUACCAAAUGCUCAUGCACAAUUGCAAAAUUUUCUUCUCCCAGAAAACCUUUUCUUAUCACUCGGUAAUCCUUGCUUGUUUGUUCAUUGAAGCUUUGUCACCAACACGGCAUCUUGUCAUUUUGUUCAAUGUUUGGACAACAAAAUCUAAAAGGAUAGUCUUUAACUUAGACCCUUCCUUCUUAGAUAUUUCACCCUUUAAACUUGGUGUUUUCUGAACAAUAGUCCUAUUUCAGGUUCCUAUAUUAUUUAGAAACUUCUAGAGUAAUAUGCAAAACUUCCAUUGUGAAAGUAUUAUUAGUCCAUUAAUCAUUAUUCUAAUGCAACAUGCUUGCAAAAGAUCAUAACGAUAGAUAAAAUAGAAUUGAUUUGAGAGCAUAACUCGAAAUGAAUAAAGUAUCAAGGAUAGCAAGAAUAAAAAGAGGAAUUGAUUGGAACAUGUAUCUUGAAAAAGAAUGAAGUAUUCCAAGAACAACAAAUUCAAUAAAUAGUAUGAAGGUUAGGUGCCCCAGAUAUCGCAGCUUGAACUUCUCUUUACAAACUUUCUGAAGACCUUUCUGAGUUUGACAUGUGUUUAGAAGAUCUACAGGACUUUGCCGAUGCCCCAAGACAUCGCCUUACCCUUUCAGGUAUAGCAAGAUCACCACAUGCCCUAAUCUGAUCACUUCAUGCCCCAUUCUGAUCAAUAUUUGAGCCGCCCUUCGGGUUUUCAACUCAAAUCCCCUUUGGCCUAAGGUGCCCUUUGCGGGUUUUCCCCUUAGCCUCUUCAUUUUUAUGAAUUAUAGAGCAUGCUCCACCGCAGUGAAUCAAAUUCGGUGGAGUGGAGGACUUUUUUUCACUACUUUAUGCUCUAUGCUCCAAGUUUUGUAUUCUUCUUCCGAGACCUGCAAUGGGAAAAUAAAAAAAAUAAGAAACAAGUCUGAAUUAACUUUGAAAAUUAGAAAUUUUCAACAAAAUUGAAAUAAAAUAUAAUUAAUCCACAAAAACUAUAAAAUGCAAUGAAAACGAACCUAAAUACUAAAAUUACCACCUAAAAUGCUAUAGAUACUAUAAUAACUCUAAAUAUGAUAGUUAUCAGAAGCGACCUGAAGAAGCCAAUCGUGUAGAUGAUUUCAACUAUUGCAAAUACCAUCCAUCGAUUAGGCAUCCUCUUCAGAAGAUCACCGAGUUUAAAGAAAAAAUCAUACAACUCCAUGAAGAAGAAAAAAAUCAUGUUUGAAAAAGAAGUGGCAUUAUCAAACUUGACUUCAAUGCUUUGGUUUCUCAAUACAAUAUUAUGGACAGAUUCAUCAAAUUUGGCUCUUUCAAUCCUAUUACACUAGCUCUAAGUAGAAGUAAGAUGGUGAAUUUCGAAGGGAUUGGGGGCAAUCAUCUAUUUUUGGAAUAUCAGAAUGGUCAUGAUUGGACUCUAGCCACAUGUCAAAGAAGCCAAUGAAAAGCAUCUCUCCUAGGUAUAAGCUUAUAUUGUCACAUUGCUCCUAAGCACGAACUUCAUCCAAAAUGAUGAUGCUGCUAAGCAUGACCUUAAACUGUUCAUCUAAUGCUCCUAAUAAGGAGCCUAAACUAUUCAACCCAGACGGUCAUGCUUUAAGCACAAUCUUAAACUAUUCAUAAAAACUAAAUGAUGAUCCAAUGAAGCACGAGCUUAAACUAUUCAUACGAAAUAAAUGAUGACCUCCUAAGCAUGAAUUUAAAUUGUUUAGACAUAAUAAAUGAUGAUACUCCUAAGCACGAGCUUAAAUUACAGUCCAAAAAAAUUUAAACUACGUUAUAACUUGAUCUUUUAAAAAAGAAGGUACAUAGAUAGCCUGGUUUCAUUGCCAAGUUCAGUCUAUAUGAAAAUAAUAAAAUUGAGGGUGACCUUUGAAACAAAUUCUUCAAAGUAGGAAGCAAAUAAAAUUUCAAGACUUGUCCCCUUUCUACGCCCAACAAAAUUCAGAAUUCAUCAUUUGUUAUUACUGUAAUAAUAUCUCUUACUAAAUUAAUGAAAGGAUAAAUCAAAAAAUUAAAUCCUUUUAGAACUCUCUUAGAAAGAAACCAUAUUCUUUAAGGAUUACUUUAUCUCUAAUUAAUUAAAUUAAUAAAAAAUGAAUAAUAAUAAUAGAGUUAAAUUUCUACAAGAACUCUUAUAUCAAAGUGAUUGACACUAUAAAAAUGGGUCACCUCUAAGUCAUCCUACACAUUCACAAGUUCAAGAAGUUGAAAAAUUCAUUACAAAAAUAUUUGAAGAAAUUAAAGUAGAAGAAAUUCUGAUGAACAUCAUAUCAAUUGAGAGGAGGAUGACAACAGAAGAGAAGAAUCAAAAGGAGUUUUGUUUGUAAAGAAAUUCAAAACUUGUACAGUCUUCGAAAUUAUAAAUAAAAUUUGACGUAAAAUUUUCAAGUAAAUUUUCAACUUGAAAUUUGUGUGUACAAUAUAUAUGGGAAAGAAUCCAUUUACAUUAUAUAAAACUAGUGUAUGUAUAAUACAGAAAUAUUUAGUACAUUAUCAAUAAAGUUUUUAAACUAUGCACCUGUGAUUAAAACCAAAAUAAUAAUAAUAAUAAUAAUAAUAAUAAUAACCAAUCACUUUAUUUGACUAAUUUUUCCCUACAAGUCUUUAGUAUGGAGAGAAAUCAGUUUAAUCAGUCUUUGGAGCUAUUAACUGACUUUUCCACCAUUGAUUUGAAAAUCAUAACCCAUCAAUUCGCUUUAAAUGAAACGAGAUCCACGAGUGUUUGGUGUUAUAUUUUUAAAAUGUAUUUACAUGAUUGUUUAUUAAUUUUAUUUCUUUAUAUUUAAAUCAAAUGUAAUAAAUUGUUGAAUUUAUAUACUUCUUAUUAUAACAAUAUAUGGACUAUCUUUCUACUUCUCUUUUUAAUUUAAUUUUUUGUAACUCUUCACAAUUUAUUUUGAAAAACAUUGAAAAAACUCAAUUGGAAAAAGUCUUUAAAUUAUUUUUAAAUUGUAACAAAUAUUAUUAUUAUUAAGAUGUUUUUCUUUUUAUAUUUUUUAUAAAAUAUAUUAAAAAACAAUUAGAAUAAUUUUAAGAGAAAAAAACUCAUACACGGUAGAAUUUAAUCUAACGAUAUCAAAGUUUUAAAGCCUCAACUUUAACAUUUCAACCGAAAUUCCAUUAGUAUAUAAAUAUUUUACAAAUAUAGAUUUUAUAUAAAAAUAUUUAUGUAAACUUUUUUUUUAACCCGCAUAACAAGUAUACCAUAUUUAGAGAUAUUCAUAGCUAGGCAGUCCACUUUGGUUCAAGCUUCAGCUUAGGUUUCCGAUCUCAAGUUGGCCCAAUUCAACUUACUUUACUAUUUAAAAAUAUAAAUAUAUGUCUAUAAUUAAAUUUUCUGUGAAUAUUUUCUGAUAGAAUAUUUUCUGUGAAUGAGGUUACGAUUUCAAACAUUUCAGCUCGAUGAUUGAUUAGUUAUUGCACGAUGCCUUUGAAAAAUUGUUAAUAUGCUAUUUUAUAUUGGAUGUAAAAUACUAAACGUUUUGCAACUUUUCAAUAAAACAACUAGAGAUUUUCUUUCAUUAUAUUGUAAUGAUUUUUGUUGUUGUUUUUACGUAUGUUAAUUGAUGGAUUUGAUAAUUUUUUCUAAUUUUGAUACUUCAACUAUUUUUUUACAUUAAUCCUCAAAUUUGAAUUUCAGUCACACAUUUUAAUAUUAAAAAGUGAUAAUGUGGCACUCGCACAUCGUCGCCUAAUUUAUCUCUGAAAACCCUUACCAAAAUCUUCACAUUUCAAACUUGGAAGAUUGUGCCUCGUCAUUUUCCUCCGCAACCUCUCUUUUUCUUUCUUCUUAUUUUAAAAGUUUAUAAUUUGGUAUUAUUUUGUUUUUGUUAAUGCAGUUUUCAAAAAUUAUGGAGAUGAAGCAUUUAUCUUCAGUUGGAGUCAACCCUAAUUAAACUGUACCACCGUUUUCCUUUCAAAUGUAACUCAAGAGUGUGAGUUUUUAAGUGUUUUCUAAUGUUUAGAGUGACGGAUCUCUCUGUUGUUAAGAGCAGUUUUACCACAAUCGACUCCGAUCUUAACCUUCUCUUGUUACAAAGCGUGAUUGUCAAAACAUUAGAAAACAAAGUAGCCUGUGACACGCGGUUAUUAGUUAAUUACUAAAGUCGCUGCUUGAGUUGAAGAAACGUGAAAAUAACCCAAAUUAAAAUACUAGUAUAGUCAAUCCAACGCCUUAUUUUGGAUGAAACGAAGCUCUCAAUUUUAAGAUAAACGGGUCUUUAGGGUUAUUAAUGGAGGGCCUUUUCCACAAUUGCCAUCGUUAUUUGGGGGUGAUUCGGGGAUAAUAACUCCAACAUUUCUGUAUCACAUUUAAUUCAAUUCCACAUUCAAUUUUUAAGUUUUAGAGAGAUGAUUGGGUUACAACAAUGGUUUGAAGUGAAGAUGUUUCAAGUGAAGAUGAAUACUCUACCAAUAUAUAAGUCAUAAUUUAAAAUUCAGGUUAUGUUUCAUUUCAACGAAGUUAAAUGUUAAGAUUGAAGUUAAACCUUUUAGAGGUUGCUCACAAAAGGAUCAAACCUUUAUAAAAGUGCUUAAAUGAAGGCUAAACUUUUUAAAAUAGACAAAUAAGGCCCUAACAUUUUAAAAGGUGUUCAAAUAAAGGCUUCUCAAAUGUUGUAUAUCAGCUUAUGUGUUUUACUCUAAACAUAUCAGCAUUUAUCUAUAUUUUUUCUACAAAUUGGGUUGAAGUGCAUGAAAAAUCUUUAUUUCAGCACUUCUGUAAACGUUAAACUCUUAUUUGACAAUUUUGAAAGGUUUGAUCCUUAUGUGAGCAACCUUUAAAAGAUUAAGCACUAAUUUAACAAGUUGAGAAAUACCUAAAUUUGUUUUCAUGAAUCAAGAAAUUAAAAAAACAAGCAUGUUGAGAAAUAUUUUAGAGAUUCUUAGCCUUGACAAGUUCCCUCCACCAUCUCCCUGCCUCCAGUCCCACCUCUACUCUUAUGCUCCUUCCAGGUUCUUGCUUUUUGUGUGUUGAAAAUUCAAAGGAACAAAAUAUCAACCUACAUCAUAAGGCACGAAGGAAGACCAAAGAGUCUUGAGAUCUGACAACUUUAUUUCAUUUUCAUUUUCUUUGUUAUUUUCUAUGUUUCAUGUCAAAUACAAUGAAAGAAGAAGAUAGAAAAAUGUUGCCUAUUUAUUUCCCAAUCAUCAUGUAAAAAAUAUAUAAUGUCGGUAAUGACAAUAUAUCGCAAAGAAAAAUAGAAAUAGAAAAAUAAAGAACACACAGAUUUUACGUGGAAACCCUUUCGGGAAAAAACCAUGGGCAGAGGAGAAGAAAAUUCACUAUGUCAAAAACUUAAUUACAAGAGGAGUAGACUAUGCCUAUUUAUAGGCUUGUAAACCUUAUUCUAAUAGGAGUGAAACUCCUUAUUCAAAUAAUAUCAAAUAGAUGGAGUUUAAUAAGGUUUAGAAACAUUAUUUUAAAAUAAAAUAAAAGAAGUAUAAUUCUAUAGGGAUUUUACUUUUAUUUUAUUUUACCACAGUAUUUUAUUUCAAUAAGGAUUUGGGUCACUUAAUUCUAACACAUCACGAAAUUACUUGCCAUAGACUUAGAAUUUUCUCACAAAUUUUCAAGUAAUCUGACAUGAUUUCUCAAUCACAAUUAAUUGAAUUCAAGAUCUUUUUGGAUGACACAAACAUUUCAAUUUUAACACAAACUAAUAUUUAGGCUAUACUUCAGUGCUUGACAAGCACUUUCACAUUUGUGGGAUAAUAACUCUAGCAUUUUAGGAUCACAAUUAAUUCAAUUGCAUUUAAGACAUCAUGAUUUUAUUCUAUAAUUUGAGUCUUAUCAACCUUUUGGGAAAUAAUAAAACAUCGACAUUAAACUUUGUUGUUGAUGCAUUCAAUUUGAUUUUUUGAGGGGUCGUUGGAGUUAUAUGUGACUUUAGCUUUGAUUGACUUUUUUAGAAUUAAUCUUUUAUACCAAUUUAAUAACAUCCACAUGUUUUUGGGUUGGGUCGAGCAAAACCCAAUUAAAACCGAUGAUAUUGUCUUAAUUGACUCGGUCAAGUCCAUUAGAUGGAUAAAAUCAAUUUUAAAAUCAGUUAUAAUGGAUUAAGGUAACUAAUUAUCGAGUCAUGAAAUCCAUAAUCAAAUCAAUUGAUUUUGUUAGAAACUAAAAGAAAAUGGGAUAAGCUGAAAACUGAUUGCCCUUCAUUAAAAUUAAGGAAUUCACCUUUUACAUGUUAGAUAAUAUGAACAACCCAUAUAUAAUAAGAAAAAUUACUUACGAUUAUUUAUUAUCAUAAAUGGUUAGUUUAAAUUUAAAGUAAUCUAAUAUAUGUAUUGAACUUUAACUAUUACAUAAAGUAUAAGCUAAAUAUGUAUAAAUAUUCUAGAAAUCAUAUCUAACUGAUGAUAUUGUUUUAGUUGACUCGGUCAAGUCCAUUAGAUGGAUAAAAUCAAUUUUAAAAUCAGUUAUAAUGGAUUAAGGUAACUAAUUGUCGAGUAAUGAAAUCCAUAAUCAAAUCAAUUGAUUUUGUUAGAAACUAAAAGAAAAUGGGAUAAGCUGAAAAUUGAUUGCCCUUCAUUAAAAUUAAGGAAUUCGCCUUUUACAUGUUAGAUAAUAUGAACAUCCCAUAUAUAAUAAGAAAAAUUACUUACGAUUAUUUAUUAUCAUAAAUGGUUAGUUUAAAUUUAAAGUAAUCUAAUAUGUGUAUUGAACUUUAACUAUUACAUAAAGUAUAAGCUAAAUAUGUAUAAAUAUUCUAGAAACCAUUUCUAACUGAUGAUAGGCUAAUUCGAAAUUAAGAUUAAUAUAUAAAAACUAGAUAGUAGGGUUAUAGUCCUCAAACUAGAUAGUAAUAAUAUUAAUUUGAAGAUAUCACUUUUUGAAUCCAUAAGUUUUGUUUUGAUUUUUUUUUUGUAAAAAAGAUAUCAAGAGAUACCAAAAAUUAUUUUACUAAGAAAUUUUAAUUCACUCAAAAAGUAAGUGUUUUAUUUCAAGGGAUCACAAUUAAACAUUAGAUUUCUCAUUUUUAAUUUUUUUUUGUUUUUUUAACAACUACGUAAUUAACGAGUACCAAUUUUGGGUGUUGUAGGGGUACUAAUCGACUCUUGAACCCACUUUUUUCCUCUAGAAUUCAAUGCAAACCUUAAAUUUAUCUUUCUAAAAGAAUUUUAAAAUCUUUUUAUAAAAGACUAUUUUUUUUAGGUGACUAAUCACACUUAAUAAAAAAAAUCGGUGGUAAUUCUUUUCCAAUAAAUGUAAAAAACUUUUUAAACAAAAAAUAACAGACAUGUCUAUGUUUCCUAGGUUAUCUCAUAUUAAAAUCCAAAGAAAAUAAAAAGAUUCUAACAAUUAUUGCUUUUUAGUGUUGCUUUAGGGAAUUUAAAUGUAUUUAGUUAGAUUCCAAACCUACCCGUAGAUUCUUUCCUAUCCCAAGAUUAUUACGUAUAUUUAAAAUCAACAUUCAUUAUUUUCACCCUAAAAAAUAUUCUACAUUCAUUAUAUUACUAAAGUAGUGAUUAGAGUGAGUAAAAUCUGAUUUGAUUCAAAAAAAUCGAAAAGAAAUUCAAAAUUCGAGUUAAUUGAUUAAGUUAUUUGAUUCAACUCAAAUAAGUAAUUGGAGUUUUGAGUUCAAGUUGAGUAGAAUUUACAAUUCGAAUAAUAGAUUGGUGUAACCAUGUCAAUUUUGAAAUUGAGCAAAUUGAUCUCUCUCAACAAAAAUUACAAAAAAAUCAAAAUAAUUUUCAAAAAUUAAAAAUACGAUAAAAAUUCCAAAUUAUAUAUUUUUUAUAAAAAAAUUCUGAAAAAUAUAUAAAGAAAUUUAAAAUUUAAAAAAUUUUCUAAAAUAAUAAUUUUGGGGACUUAAAUAACUUAAUUAAUGAUUCAAUUUUAUCAUACUAAAAUAUAUUUUUUUAUUUUGCUUUGAAAAAGCUUUUAAAUAUAUACGAUUUCAAAUUUAUGUGCUUUAACAUGAGAUUAUUACAUAUUUAAAUACAUUUAAAUCCACGUCUAGAACUACACAUAUCUAGAACUACUCAUAGCCCCUCUCCAACCCAUAAAUAGGAUGAUAAUGCGUUUAAACGCACUUGAACCCAUGUCUUCCUGUAUUGAAAACAAUGUCCAUGUUAAUUGAGUUAAUACUCAAUUGACAAUUAGAAUUUGUAAAUUUAACUUUUAAUAUUUUAGACACAUAUAGUAAAUCUCAAUGUAUAUUUUAGCGUAAUGAAUUUCUAUUUGUUUAAAGAUGCUUACGGCUCUCAACUGAGAUGCCUGAUUUCCCAACAUAUAUUUUAACUUGAUUCCAGCCUUGUAAAAUGGGGCAAAAUUUAACCUUUUGUGACACAUUGGACAUCUUCUUACGAUACUUUUGAUAAAAUUGUGGCUACAUAAACCCACCAUUUUCAUGUUCUUUGCACUAAGAAAUAGUAUAAUUUCAAGGAUUAGUUAACAAAAGUAUAUGAAUAUGAAGGGUUUUCCCACUAUUUUUCUUUUUAUUUGCUUUGUUUUAGUUAUUACAAAUUGUUUCAUGGUGGAAGCAGAUACAUGCAAACCCAGCGGUAAGCUUAGAGGCAAAAAGCCUCCUCUAGGUAAAUGUAACAAAGGCCAUGAUUCUGAUUGUUGCCAAGAAGGCAAGUUUUAUAACACGUAUACAUGUUCGCCGCCGGUUUCAAGUCAUACCACGGCAACCCUAACUCUCAACGGAUUCGGUCCGAAGGAGGACGGUGGCGGUCCAUGUGAAUGCGACAACAACUAUCAUAAAGAUUCAGAAUUGAUCGUGGCACUUUCGACGGGGUGGUUCAACAAGAAAAAACGGUGUAUGAAUUAUAUUAACAUUCACGGUAAUGGAAAAACUGUUAAAGCUAAGGUAGUCGAUGAAUGUGACUCGACGGUGGGGUGUGAUGAUGAACACGAUUACCAGCCUCCGUGUGCCAACAACAUCGUCGAUGCCUCAGAUGCAGUUUGGGAUGCCUUGGGAGUGUAUGGAGAUAAACGUGGCGAAAUGGAGAUAUACUGGUCUGAUGCUUGAUUAUAUUUUUCUGCCUCUCCGUAUUUGCCAUUGUUUCAAGCAAGGGUUGUGGUUCGUUACUCUUUAGGCGCAUGAUAUGUGGUCCUUAAUUAUAUCUAAGGCCUGAAAAUAAAGUUUUAAUUUUAACUAUUUGGUCCUUAAUCUAGGACCUUGUCCCCUUGCUUAAAUGGUCUAAUUCUAUUUAUGCGCUAUUAAAAUACAAUACUUUAAUUUAGUUCAUUUUAACCACUUUUAUGAAUUUUUUUAUCUUUUUCCCUUUCUAAAAUUUUAAUUAUUCGAUUUAAAUCAUUUUAGGACCAAAUUUUUAAUUUGACCCUUAAAUUUUUAUUAUCAAUCACAUGCAACAUUAUAUGAAGGCAGUCUACUCAGCAUAUAUCCAAGUUUAUAGAUUUUAAUAGAAAAUACUUACAAUCCUAAUGGUAGGACUAAGUUUUUUAAACUAGAAAAGUAAGACGACUUAAUUUUUAACUUUUUAAGUACAAGGAUUAAAUUUUAAAUGUUGUCAAAGUACAAUCACUAACAAAAUAUUUUGAUCUAAUAAAUGUAAAAAACUUUUCAAACAAAAUAAGGUUGAAAUAAUUUAUUUGUCCUUAUACUUUGAUAAAAUUUGAGAUUUAGUCCUUAUACUUAAAAGGUUAAUAAUAAAGUCUUCUUGUUUUUAUUUAAAAAUCUUAGUCCUAUCGUUAAUUUUUUUUUGUCAACUUUACAUAUUAAUUAGUUUUCCCUUAUAUGUCGUGGUAUAUGACCUACACAAAAUAAGCAAGUUGAUAAAUUCUGACAAAAAAUAUCAAAGAUGAUAAUAAUUGGAUUAAAUUUUUUAAAUUGAAUUUAUAACCUUUAAGGUAUAAGGAAUGGAUAUCAAAUUUUUAUAGGAAUAAAGGGACUAACAACAUACUUUAACCACAAAAUAAUAUGAGUGAUUAGAAUGAAUCUAAAAGAGACUACCAACAUAUUUAUAACUUUGAAAUCUCCUUCGAUCAUCCUUUUUCUACGUUGAAAAAGAAAAUUAAUUAGCAUCUAAAGUGUCAAUUAGUGAAACCUUCAAAAGAAAAUGUAUAACUUAUAAUAUAUUUAAUUACAUUUAGUAAUUUAUCAAUCAAAACUUAAUUAACAUCCAUCAAUACUUCUAAAUUUUCCAUUUAACUCAGAUUUAACGGAAUUGAUUUUCCGGAAAAUCAUUUCCAACUUUUCCAGCGUUUGAUUGGCGGAAAACAUUUUCCAUUUGGAAAAUGAACUCCAAAACAAGGGAAAAUGGAUUACAUUUUAGGGAAAAUGUCUUACCCUUUCAAUUUCCGUAAGACAUUUUCCGUGCUCUCCUCUCUAUCGCCUCAUUCAUUCCUUCAUUUCCGGUAGAAAACUGCUUCUGUUUAUCGAUUUUCCAGUAACUUAUUUUUUUAAUUAUUCAAUACUUGUUUUUUAACACAAUUACAAAUAAUUUAUUUGAUAAUAGUUUUUUUCAAUUUAUAACGAUUAAUAUUGUAGCUUAAUAAUUGAGUAUUAUUAUAAAUAAAUCAUUGCAAUAUAUGUAAAAAUAAUUUAAAAUAUAAAAAUUUAUUAAUAUAUAUUAAUAUAUGUAAAAACAACUUUUUCAGAAAAUAUUUUCAGGGAAUCUGCCAAACAGCAGAAAAUAUUUUACACAGAUUCAAUCAAACACCAGAAAAUAUUUUCUAGUAAAUCAUUUUACAGAAAAGCAAAACAUUUUCCAGAAAUCAUUUUACGGAAAACAUUUUACUAGCAAUCAAACAGACCCUAAAUUUAAUUUGUUCAAUAUAGAUUUUGGUGACUUAAAACAAAAUUAAUAAAAAUUAUUCUUUCAGACAUCUUUUUAAUUUAUAAAAUAUACUUUCAUUUGACACAAGCCUCCAAGGCGAUGAACCACUGAUCAAAUUAAUUUGGAGAUAUCUUUUUUUCCAAAUAAAGUGAAUUUAUGAGUUUUGUUUUUAUUUUAAAAAUAUUUUUAAUAUUUUUGUGGAUAUCAAGCGGUACCAAAAAUUAUUUCACUAAGAAAUUUUAAUUCACUCGAAAAGUUAGUGUUUUAUUUUAGGGGUCAUAAUUAAUCAUUAGAUUUCUCAAUUAUAAAUUUUGAAUUUUUUGACAAUUGCAUAAUUAAUAAGUACCAAUUUUGAGUGUUGUAGGGCUAGUACAAUCUCCCUUACACAUAACCGACUCUUGAACCUACUCUUUUCUUUAGAAUUCAACGCAGACCUCAAAUUUAUCUUUUGAAAAGAAUUUUAAAAUCUCUAUAUAAAAGGUGUAAAAAUAUAUGUUUUAUUAAUUACUAUAUAUUCUUUUAUUUUCAGAAUAAUAAAUUGUUUAAAAUAUGCUAUUAGUCCCUAUAAUUUAAAAGUAUUUGGGUUCUUGAGUGCAUCAAAUUCCUCCUUUUAUUAUUAAAUGUUCUAUUUUAGUUACUCUAAUUAAAUAUAUCCAAAUUGUAAUAGAGUGAACAUUUAUUAUAUAAAAAAUAUUUUAAAUUUUUUUCAAUUGCAGUUUAAUUCUAGUAGAAAUAUUUCAUUUAUAAAAUCAUAAAACUUUAAAAUAUUAACUUUUUUAAAUAAAAAAUUAUUUUUUAACAGUAAAUGUUGACUUUAUUAACACAAAUGGGUCUUUAGGGUUAAACUUCAUAAAUUGACGAGCUCUUCCACAAACUGUGGAUGAUUUGGGGAUAAGAACUUUAAUAAUUAUGGAGUUAAAGUGUAAAUUUACCACUAUAUAUUAUAAGUAAAUAUUGAAAUUUAUCACUAUAUUUUAAUUGAUACUUGUCAUUACACUUUGAAAAUAUAAGUAAAUUUACCAUUUAACUCAUAUGUGAUUGAACUUUACAAGUAGACUUAAACUUUUAUUUAAUUUUGUCUCUAAAUUUGAUUUAUUUAAUUAAAUUUACAACUCAAUAUAGAUUUUGGUGACUUAAAACAAAAUUAAUAAAAAACUAUUCUUUCAGAUAAUUUUUAAUGUUUACUAAUAAGUCGAUUUAUAAAAUAUACUUUCAUUGGAUGCUUGAGCGGAAAUCAACAGAUACCAAAAAUUAUUUCACUAAGGAAUUAAUUAGUAUUUUAUUUUAAGGGUUCACAAUUAAAUAUUAGAUUUUUCAUUUUUAAAUUUUGAAUUUUUUGACAAUGCGUAAUUAACAAGUACUGAUUUAGGGUGUUUUAGGGUUAUUACAACCUUGCCUACACGUAACAGACUCUUAAACCUACUUUUUUCUCUAGAAGUCAACGCAAACCUCAAAUUUAUCUUUUUAAAAGAAUUUUAAAAUAUCUAUAUAAAAGAUGAUUUUUUCAGAUCACAUUUAACAAAAUUUUAAAAAUUAUUAAUUUUUUUAAAAUUUAGAGUGAUCUAAAAACAUAUUUUUAAGUGCUUUAGACCAUGCGGUGCUGAUUUCUUUAUUGUAUUAAAUGCUUGCAAUCACUCCUGAUAUCUUAUACUUCAGUUGUAACAGAGCCAAUUGUCAACGUGUCAUAAUGUUCUGUUGAUGCUGAAACUGAAGUUUUUGUUAUAUUAAUAGAGCUUAUCCUUCAACACGUAUAACGGGUGUUCGUUAUUUUUCCCUUCAAAUUGUAUGAUCUCAUUCAUUAAAUGAAUUAAUGAAUUUUCGUUUAAAAAUAUAAUUUUAAAAUUUAAAUACUUCAUAAGAUAUUUAAAACUAUUUAAAAAAUUGUAAUCGUUAAAACAAUCAACAAGAUAUAUUUUUCUCUAAAAAAUCAGUAAAAAUAUGUUUGAAAUUUUAUACGAAAGUAGUGUUGCUGAAGCAAUACUGAUUCACGACUGGUGUUCCAAAAAUUGGGAAGUCAAAUUUCGACAUAUUCAGCGAAAUGCCAGUAAAGUUGUUGAUUGCAUAGCUAAGGGAGAUGGAGGCAUAAUUGAGCAGCUGGUUAUCUUAGAAGAUCCACCGCAUUAUGUGAGAUGUUGGCUUGAAGAAGAUAUUAGACAGUCACUGGUCACUGAUGAUAAUUUUCAUUUGAAUUGAUGCUGGCUUAAUUUUCUAAGUUUAUGUUCAACCAGAAAAAAAAAUAUAUGUCUAAAUUGUAAUAGAAUUAAUAUUUAGUGUAUAAAAAAUAUCGUAAAAAUUAUUUUUUUUUCAAUUGCAAUUCAAUUCCACAAAUACUGACGAUGAACCCUGAAACGAACAUGAAAAUUACCAUAAGAAAAAAAACACAUCUAUCACAAACCAGCAAUCCAUGCCUAAACUUAAAUUAACAAAAUCUGUCACCGCAACCCGGUACACUAUUUUAUAUAAUAUAUAUACUAGAUUUAUUCUUGAUGCACAUGUUUUAUUAUUUUUAAAAAUUAAAAUAUAUGAUUGGCUGGGUUUUAGUUUAGUUAGUAUUAGUAUUAUUGUUAGUGUAGGAAAAAGUAAGUUUGAUCAUGCUCAAAUGUGUUUAUCCUCUAAUUCAAGAGUUGGGAAAAGGUUAUUGAUAAUUAAAUUAUACAAUAUUUAAAAAGCAUUUAUAAAUAAUAUAAGGAAAGAAAAAGAGAAACAUACUCAUAUCGAUGGGCUCUUUCAUUAUUAGACUUUUUUUUCUCUCACAAGUAAAAGUACUUAUGGAGAGGAUCAUGUAAAAUAAUGAAUAAUUUUAAAUGUUUCAUCAUUGCAAAAAUGAAAUAAUAGAAAAGAAAGACUAGCCAUUUUAUGAAUAUGGACGACCCAUUUUAUUUAUAAUUUUUUGUGUUUUUCUUUUUUUCCGACUUUUUCUAAUGUCAAGAGUUGGGAAAAAGUUAUUGAUAAUUAAAUUAUUUUACUAUGAAAUUUUAAUUUAACUGGAAAAUAAGUGGUUUAUUUAGAGGGAUUACAAUUAAACAUUAGCACUUCAGUAAAGGUUAAACUCUUAUUUGACCAUUUUGAAAGGUUUGAUCCUUAUGUGAGUAAUCUCUAAAAAAUUGAGCACUAAUUUGACAAGUUGAGAAAUACCAAAUUUGAUUUCAUGAAUCAAUAAAUUAAAAAAAAAUGUUGAGAAAUAUUUUAGAGAUUCUUAGCUUUGACAAGUUCCCUCCACCAUCUCCCUGCCUCCAGUCCCACCUCUUCUCUUAUGCUCCUUCCAGCUUCUUGCUUUUUGUGUUUGAAAAUUCAAAGGAACAAAAUAUCAACCUACAUCAUAAGGCACGAAGGCCGGAACUUUACUUUCUAGCCCGUCGAUCCGAUCCAAUGAAAGAAGAACAAAGAGUCUUGAGAUCUGACAACUUUAUUUCAUUUUCUUUUUCUUUGUCAUUUUCUAUGUUUCUUGUCAAAUACAUUUGAAAGAAGAACAUAGAAAAAUGUUGCCUAUUUAUUUCCCAAUCAUCAUGAAAUUACUUGCCAUAGACUUAGAAUUUUUUCACCAAUUUUCAAGCAAUCUGACAUUAUUUCUCGAUCACAAUUAAUUGAAUGCAAGAUCUUUUUGGAUGACACAAACAUUUCAAUUUUAACACAAACCAAUAUUUAGGUUAUACUUCAGUGCUUGACAAGCACUUUCACAUUUGUGGGAUAAGAACUCUAACAUUUUAGGAUCACAUUUAAUUCAAUUGCAUUUAAGACCUCAUGAUUUUAUUCUAUAAUUCAGUUUUAUCAACCUUUUCGAACUCAAUAAAACAUCGACAAUAAAUUUGUUGUUGAUGCAUUCAAUUUUUUGAGGGGUCUUUAGAGUUAUAUGUGACUUUAGCAUUGACUGAAUUUUUUAUAAUUAAUCUUUUAUAAUAAGGUAAAUAUAUCAAUUUUAAUAAUAUCGAUAUGUUUUUUAGUAGGGUCGAGCAAAACCCAAUUAAAACGAUGAUAUUGGCUUAGUUGACUCGGUCAAGUCCAUUAGAUUGAUAAAAUCAAUUUUAAAAUCAGUUAAUCAAAUCAAUUGAUUUUAUCAGGUUCAGGUUUCGUGUUUUAAUUAUGAGUUUGGGCCUGUCUCAUAUGGGCCCAAUGAUUGGGCCCGAUAAUUUUGGGCCAGCUGGGAUUGGGUAAUUGGGUUUAAUUUUGGAUUUGUUUGGGCUUUAGCCCAUUAGUGUUUUUGUUUUUUUUUAAUUUUAAUAAUAAUAAUAAAAAAAUAAUAAUAAUAAAUAAGAAAAAUACAAAAGUUAAAACUUACAUUUUGACUCCUAACUUUCCUAAAACUACAUUUUAACCCCCCUAACUUUCUUAAAAUUACAUUUGACCUCCAAUUUUCCUAAAAUUAUAUUUUGACCCCAAAUUUUCCUAAAAUUACAUUUUUCCCUAGAAGUUUUACAUCAUUUAUAAUUUGGUCCUUCUAGCACAAAAUCCCUAGCCGCCAGGUGCGAUUUGCGCACCUACCCCCCGAUUUUUCGGUGAUCAGCCUAGGGUGGUGGCCCUCCUCUCAAGCUACCUACUCCUUGAAAAAAUCAACAAUAAAAGGGGGGUUUUUUCCCCCAAAAAUUCGACAACCAAAGAGGAAAAAAGCAAGCAAAAAAAAAAAAACACAGCAAAAAAUUGAAACAAAAAAUAGGAAAAAAAACUUCAAAUUCGGUCGGCUUCCUCUUGAAUUGAUUCACGGUUGGUGUUCCAAAAAUUGGGAAGUCAAAUUUCGACAUAUUCAGCGAAAUGCCAGUAAAGUUGUUGAUUGCAUAGCUAAGGGAGAUGGAGGCAUAAUUGAGCAGCUGGUUAUCUUGGAAGAUCCACCACAUUAUGUGAGAUGUUGGCUUGAAGAAGAUAUUAGACAGUCGCUGGUCACUGAUGAUAAUUUCAUUUGAAUUGAUGUUGGCUUAAUUUUCUAAGUUUAUGUUCAACCAGAAAAAAAAAUUUGUCUAAACUGUAAUAGAAUUAACAUUUAGUGUAUAAAAAAUAUCUUAAAAAAUAUUUUUUUCAAUUGCAAUUCAAUUCCACAAAUACCAACGAUGAACCUUGAAACGGACAUGAAAAUUACAACAAGAAAAAAAGCACAUCUAUUAUCAAACUAGCAAUCCAUGACUAAACUGAAAUUAACAAAAUUCAUUAUGCAACCCGAUACACUAUUUUAUAUAAAUAAUAUAAGGGAAAAAAAGAGAAUCAUAUUCAUAUCGAUGGGCUCUAUCAUUAUUAGACUUUUUUUCGGCCAAAUUACCAAUAAAAGCACCUUUUUUAUCUAAAAUUACUGAAAUGGGACAGGUCCUAAAUUAACUAUCGGAAUGGGCCAAUUUCCACUAAAACGCGUCCAUGUCAGCGCGUUAUUAGGUGAAAAAUUAGGAAAACGCUUCCUCAAGGAAAUGCUUUGUCCACGUGGACACAAAGCGCGCCCUCAAGGACGCGUUUUGUGUCCACGUGAACAAAACGCUUCCUUGAGGAAGCAUUUUCGUCGUCCGUUUACAUUAUGGUUUUGGGUUUAGGGUUAGGGUUUUGGGUUGUUGAGUUUAGGAUUUUAAAGGAAAAAUUUAAAUAAGUAAGGUUUAGGGUUUAGGGUUUCUUAAUUAAAUUAAUUAUAAAAUUUUCAAAAUUAGAUUAGGGUUUCAAGUUUAUGGUUCUUAAGGAAAAAAUCAAAUAAAUUAGGGUUUAGGGUUGAUUAAAUUAAUUAUAAAUUUUUAAAAAAUUAGAUUAGGGUUUAAUGUUUAGGGUUUUUAAGGAAAAAACUCAAACAAAUUAGGGUUUGAUAUUUAGGGUUAAUUAAAUUAUUUGUUAAUUUAAAAAAGCUCCCACGUGGACGCUCUUUUGCUACAGUAGUUCCUGAAAAAUAAUUUUGAGAAAACGUUUCUGAGCAAAUAGUGGCAAAAAUGCUUUAAACAGGAUGCAUCGUCAGUAAAAGUACUGAAAGAAGCUCCCACGUGGACGCUCUUUUUCAACAGUAGCUCCUAAAAAAAUAAUUUCGAGUAGACGUUUCUGAGCAAAUAGUGUCAAAAAAGCUUUAAGCAGGAUGCAUUGUCAGCAAAAGUACUGAAAGAAACUCCCACGUAGACGUGCUUUUGCUACAGUAGCUCCUGAAAAAAUAAUUUCGAGUAGACGUUUCUGAGAAAAUAGUGUCAAAAACGCUUUAAGCAGGAUGCUUUGUCAGCAAAAGUACUGAAAGAAGCUCCCACGUGGAUGCUCUUUUCCUAUAGUAGCUCCUGUUUGGCCUGAGGCUAUAAAUGAGGAAAAUUUUUUUCUCAAAUUGCAUAAGUUAUAGCAAAAAAAAUUUAGAGAGGCUAAGAAGGAUAGGAAUUGUAGAUGAGUGAACGUAUUAGUGCUGUUAUUUACUAUGAUGGUGAGGUUCGUCACACCGAGAACGGUGUUGUUUUUUUAUUGGAGAAUACAGUGCGACUGGUUUUUAACCAGAACAUAGAUUUGACAGAACUUCGUAAAAGAAUUAGGCGUAAAAUAUUCAGAACGACGCCAAUGAAAGUUCUGUCUAUUACAUAUUGGUUUUAUUCUUCUGUUGAUCUGGUGACAUAUGACUCGUUCAACAUAAAAGGUGCUCAUAACUUGGAGGUAAUAGUGCAGACUCAUCUCACUAGUGGAGCAUCCUAUAUUUAGUUAUAUGUACAAUUUAUAUCGCCAAAUGAUGCACUAGUGACUGCUGUUCGAGAGGUAUACACGACCCUUGCCCGACACUUGGUUAGUGGGUUACAAAAUACAGAACAACCCAUGUUUGGUAGCGGUAUGGAAUACACAUCCCCAGCACGACACUCUGUCAGUGGAUGGGACAUGUACCUCGGUGGGUCGAUGUUUGAUGCUGGAAAUACGCACUGAGGAACGACAUCAACUUCUAGUGGUUGGCAAUCUACAUCCAAUUGAAGAUGUUAUGAAACGCCCAGAAGAAAGGGAUAAUGUACUCCCUACGACGUCUACUGAUGAGGGGACCUUGUACGUUACAGAUAAUGGUGGGUUAGAAGAUGACUCCGAUGUGGAUCCACCUCGAGAGCCAGAGCCCGAUGGUGCAGAAGUUGUAUUAUUUUCUAAACCAGAGCCUAUUCCAACCGAACUUGAAGAUGUUUAAGGGGGUUCAGAUGAAGAAGAAGAUUCACGAUUUAGGGCAUACUCGCCUCCAGCCCACAUGCAUAAUGUUGAUCUAUCUACAGAUGAUGCAUUAGAGUUUCCAGAUCUACCACACAGAAUGCGUGAUCAUACAAGUUUGUUAUUGGAUUCAGGUGAAUUUGAAGUUGGUAAGGAGUUUUCCAAUAAGGAUAGUUUUAUUGGUGCACUGAAACAACAUAACAUCAAUAACGGCAUUAACUACAACGUGGUUAAAUCCAAAGUUGAUAAGUUUGAGGCAAAGUGUGCAGUGCAAGACGGUACAUGUUCAUGGAAUAUCUACGCCUCGUUGAGGAAAAUGACAAGGUUGUGGGAGAUAAAAAAGUAUGAAGGUCCACAUACAUGUGCUGCAGGUACAAUAUUUAGGGUUUUUACAUUUGCUAUUAUUAUGUAAUGUUGCAUUAUUUAACGUACUUCGUUGACAGGUAUUUCACAAGAUCAUCCCAAGAUGGAUUCAGCUAUGUUAGCUAGCUUGAUACUACCAACGAUGAAGGCAGAUCCUAGGACUUCAGUGCCAGUCUUAAUUACCAAUAUUCGUAGCCAAAUGGGGUACACACCCUCUUAUCGCAAGGCUUGGAUAGCUAAGCAGAAGGCGUUGGAGAAGAUGUAUAGUGGGUGGGACGCUUCAUAUAAUGAAAUAUGGCAGUGGUGUCACGUGCUAGAGAGAUACGUCCCUGGUUGUAUAACAGACCUUGAAAUAGAACAUACGUACUACAACAACCGAUUACUACGUGGAUGCCAAGUGUUCAAACGACUGUUUUAAACCUUUAAGCAAUGUCGAGACGCAUUCUAUACUGCAAACCAUUGGUACAAAUUAACAGUACCUUUAUGUUUGGUAGAUAUACCCAUCGACUAUUGCUAGCAGUGACACAGGAUGGCAGUGGGAGAAUUAUUCCAAUUGCAUUUGUAAUAACAUUGGGGGAGUCAGCUGAUGACUGAGAUUUCUUUCUAUCUAGGUUAAGGAGGCAUGUAUGCCUCCAACCUGAUAUCUGUGUUAUUUUGGAUCGAGGCACUGGAAUACUAGCUGCAAACGAGCGACAGUGAAGCCUAUGGCAGUGCACACACCAUUAGUAUUGCCUAAGGCACAUUGCUUCUAACUACUACAGGCAAUAUCCAUCUAAAAGUGAACGAUGACAAGUGACCAACAUGGGUAUUUAGUCUCUAUUAAUAUAAUUUCGUUCCUCAUUUUGAAUUUAUUCUAAAUGAAAGAGUGGUAUGUAAUAUUCGCUAUGAACUUAUAUUGACAGGGUAUGAAAUAAGUAAAGACGUUUUUCAUGAGAUGUUGGCAGUUUUGCGUUCAGUUAACAGUGAAGGUGUGGACUACUUCUGUAACAUACCUUUCGAACAGUUGACACAAGCAUACAACGACGGCCUACGAUAUGGUCAUAUGACCUCAAACCUGGUUGAAUGCAUAAAUUAUGUUCUAAAAGGAACUCGACAUCUACCGAUAACAUCGAUUGUGCGAAGAAUAUUUUCACUUAGCGGCGUUAUUUCCAAAGUGAGCAGCGAGUUAUGCGACCCAAAUGCAAGGAGGCCAUGUAUGGUGCAGGAAGGUAUUGUAAGAAAUUAACAAGGUAAAGGCGAGGGCGAACACCAUGCACACAGUGUGUCACGAUCGAGACAACUUAUGGUUUCGCGUGACGGAGUUUGACAGACCGCACCAAGGUGUUAUUGGAGGGCAAUAUCGUGUUCACUUGCGAAAUAGGACUUGCGACUGUGAGAUGUUUGACACACUUCGUUAUCCAUGUGCUCAUAUAAUUUCAGGUUGUCAGAAUCUCUGACUGGAUUCCAUGAGCUAUGUCGACGAAGUGUACAAAUUAGAAAACAUGUACAACGUCUGGAGACACGUAUUCCUAUCGGUCCCAGAUGAACGCAAGUGGCCGUCUGUAUCGCUUGCUCCAUUUAAGUUGUUACCAGAUAGAGAAUUACGUCGCAAACCAAAGGGUCGACCUUGCUUGACUUGAAUACGUAACAAUAUGGAUAUCCGAGAAAUAGCCAAUCAACAGAAGUUGUGCUAAUGGUGUAGGAACCCAGGCCAUACAAGCAGAUCAUGUCCAAAUCGCAAUAGUUGAACGUUGUUGUAAAAAACUAUGUUGUAUUAUUUAUAUUUUAUUACAUGAAAUAAUAUAGAAAUAUUCAAAAUAUUACCUUUGUCGAAACCAUUUUUAAAUUUGAAAAAUAGGGAUCGACUUUUGAAAAUAAAAUGGGAGUCGCCACCGAUCUUUUAUUAAGGUGUGACCGGUUCACCGUUAAAAAUGAAUUUGGUCCGCAAAAUUUUGAGAAAAUAGAUUCCGGAGUCGAUUACGCACGAGGAAGCGUUAGCACCCUCGUAUGCCCAAAAUUGGUACCGAAUUGAUUGUUUGAUGUCUUAAUGUCAAAACUUUGAAAAGAUUCUAAAAUACGAUCCUUUGGUGAGAAAACUUGAAUAAACUAAAUUGAAUGAUAAGACACACUUAUCUCGCAGAAAUAAAUUGCCAUACUCAGUGAGUGAUGGGUGUCGAAUCCACCAAUAUAAACCUACGCCUUAGUUUGCAAAUUAUGCAGUAUAGGGAGUAGGGUCGAUCCCUCAGAGACUAGUUUACUAUAAAUUGUUGCUCGUUUGACCAGAUUAAUGUCGGGGCAGCUGUCGUGCCCAAGACAUUCGAGGGAUAAAAAUUUGGAAACCUGAAAUUAACAGAAAAAUAACGUCAAAAGUAAAAGUUGAAAACAGAAUAAUAAUAACUGUGAAAUAAAUAUUAAGAAAAAUUAAUUAGAAUGAGCUCAGCUUUAGGCGCGAAUUUUCCUCGUCUUUGAACCGAUCCUCGAAAUUGGAUGAACUCCUCUUUUCCAAUAAGCUAGUUAUAGCUACCAAGGACGCCUCGGACACCAACUCUUCCUUGUGUAAAUUAGUUAUGGAACGUCUAAUAACUAAUUCUUACUGAUUGAACAACCACGAAACGUUCGUGAUUUAGAACUCCGGCAGCUUUGCGUUCUAGAAGAGCCUAGCUCGAACCAAAGCCCUCAACCGCGUGGGACAUUUAAAUCCGGUUACUACCUCCCUUGACGGAACCAAACAGCAAUCUCCACUUGGCACGCCAAUGUGUUCACAGAAAACCGAUUAGAAACGUUCCUUUUGGAAUUCCAACUGUACGUCUAAUCACACUAAAUCAAACGACGUCUUUUUUGACUUAGUGUUGAUCUGACUUUAUGAGCUGACAAAAUCAUACUCUUAAUCCGGUGAAGUAAUAAGUACUGGAAUUUUAGGAGUUAAAUGGCUCGGGUUCGUAACUCACGGGUUUUAACGAGGCUAAUUUCGGCCUAAAGCUGAAAAUGAGUUUAGUUGGCUAAGGUUUGGGACAUGUUGGUAUUUGAUAAAUAAGGUAAAUGGGUGAAAAGGUGAGUGAUGUGAUUGAGUAUGGGGGUUGGAAUAUAUUAAAGUGGGAUGGUUGACUAUUUGGAAAAGAAUUGAAAAAGGAAUUGCAAAUGGCUUGAUAUGGUGAUUAGCAACUGGAAAUUAAAAUUUAAAGGAAAGGAAACUAAAGAAACAACAAAGCUACAUGAGAAAAGAGAGAAUGUAUUGAAAGAAGAAUGCUUGAUAUUUGAUUGAUGAUUUGAUGAACAAUACAUGCUCUAUUUAUACUAGAGGAUUUACUAAUUUAGGAGCCAACUAGUCAUAGAAAAUUAAGGAAAAAAAAUAUUCCAUGACCAAAAAUAUCCCAAAAUAAUCUCCCCCACUAAAUCAACAAAAUUUUCAGCUAAUUAAAAUUGGAAAAAUUCUACUUUUGCCCUCCUUCUUUGCUUCUUUCUUUAAUUUGGCCCAAUUGUUUCCUUUUUCUUCUAUUUAGCCCCAAAUUGCAUUCCUGCACAAAAUUCAAUAAAUAUGGCAAAGUUAGUGGUGCAUUCUCAUAAAUUAACCAAUUUAAUUUCAUAAAAUAUGUAACUUUAGCAUUUAAUCAGUGAGUUAGGGUGCAACAAUUCAAUCUUCGAAAUUAAAUUCGUCCCCUCUUUUUUUUUUAAGAAAAUCAUGUGUUUUAAGAAGGUUAUUCGAUUAUUUAAGUCAAUCGAAAAAUCAAAAUCCAGUAAGUUAGGGUUCAAUUUCUCGAAAUUCCUAAACAUCAAACAUUGCUUUUAUUUUAAAAUCGAGAUAACAAAAUGUUGUAUCCAGAAAGUUAGGAUCCAACAUUUUGAAGUCUCAAAAGCUUUAUUUUGAAGUUGUAUGGUUUUACCAAAAUAAACGCUUGGCUAUUCAAAUUCGUCGAGAAGAAUUGGAGCCCAGUAAGUUAGGGCACAAUUCUCUCGAGGGCUAUGAACACUAGGUCCUUUUGAAAUUUAUGAAAUAAAAAUGAUUGUAAUGCUCCAAUAAAAUACAAUUUUACAAAUGAGACAUAACUGAAGCAAUAUAUAAUGUAAAAAAUAAAUAACAACCCAAAUAUACACUAAUAAGUGGCAAACAAAUAGUAAGUAAAUGCAAAUAACCAUAAUGAUUUUAAUUAUAUUAUACAAACAUCGAUGUCAAUGUACAAAAACUAAAUAAAUUUAUCAUAAAUUCAAAAGAUACAUUAAGAUAAUAAAAAAAAACAAUACAUCCUAUGUAUGAAAGUUUUUAAAAUAAAUUACAUAUAUGAUCUUCAAAAUAGACACAAAAUAUAAUAAAACAUUAAAUAAUUGGUAUUUGAAAUAAAUUGGAAAUAAAUUUGAAAUAGACAAUAUACAUUUGUUAGUUUGAUAUAUAAAUAAUGCAUAUAAAAAUAUAAUAAUAAUGAUAUAUAUAUAUAUAUAUAUAUAUAUACUAGUAAAAAAAUAGAAUAGGGAAAGUAUAUUAUUGAAUUUAAAAUAUAUAUAUAUAUAUAUAAAACCGGUUUAAAAGACAUAUAUAAAUAAAAAUUUAAAACUAAUAAUCAUAAUGAAAUCAAAAUAUUAAUAUAUACUUAAGAAAAGAAUAAUUUCAUGAGUUAUAUAUAUUUAUAAAUAAUAGUAUUAUAAAAAAACAAAAAAAUUAUUAUGUAAGUAUUUAUUAUAUAGGAAUAUAUAAAAAGAUAAUUUUACAAAAUAAAACAUCAAAAACUUGUUUAAAUUUCCAUAAAGUAUAUAAAAUAAUCAAUGAUGAGGUAAAUAAUAAUAUGUUAAAUUUAAAACAAAAAAAUAUAUAGUAGGCUUAAAACAUUAAUGUAUGAUGAAUUUAAAUAAUGCUAAUAAUGAUUUUAAAAUAAUAAUAUAUCAUAUCUUAAAAUCGCACUAAUAAUAAAAUUAAAAAAUAAUAUCAAAUUUAAACAUUAAAAUAAGAUAAGUUGUUAAAAAUAAAUAUGUCAAACUAAGAAUUAAUUAGAAUUAGAAUUAAAUAAAAAAAAACUAAAUUUCUAGUAGAAUUAGAAAAACGAGCUAGAUUGAUAAUUGAUUCAAAACUGAGGGAUCAAAACAGAAUUAAACGCAAAUGCUAAGAUGUUCAAAUCCAAUCAGCGAAAAUGGCGGCGUUUAAAUAUGGAUCUAAAUGAAAUAAAAAUAAAAAUGCAAUAACAAUUUAAAAGAAUUGAAAGAAAACUGAAUCAAAAUGAAAGCCAAUACAGAGGGUUUCAAUGCGCAAAUUUCCCCUUAAUUUCAAAACGCGCAGAUCCUCCCUGAAUCAAGUCGGAUCAUCGGGUCAAGGCACCAAACAGUGCCGUUUUUUUGAAACAUUUAAAAGCGUAAAAAAAACCUAAAUCUAAAGAUUUUUGUUCAAAAUGCAAAAGAAAGUGGGAGCGCCGCUUUUGGUUUUUCAUCUACUAUCGCAACUCAACCUCUCAGAUCCCCAUCUGUUCCGAUUGCAACGAGAGAAACAGGGAUCCGACCGUCGCACUCUGAAGGUAAACUCUCAUCCUUAAGCCUCUCUUUUUCUUUGUUUAGUGUAUUCGUAGAGAAGCAAAAAGAGAAAGAAAACAGUGAAGAAAAACGAAAAAGGAAAAAAAAAUCAAUAUACCUCUUAAAUCUGCUCCUUUUCUCUUUUUCUUUUCAUCUUUUUUAUUUCAUAUCUCUCUCUAAAAAAAAAGCCCUCGAUCGAGUGCAUCCAUGGGGGUUUUUAUAACCCCAAAAUAGAAGAAAAAUAAAAAGAAUACAAAUUUCUUUUUUCUGCUUUUCUCUUGCUGUUUGUUUGUGUGUUGCACAGGUACGGCCGUACGGAGGUGGUGGCGUGGCGUGCGUAGAGAGGAAGACCGAAAGCGUUGGAAGCUGUGCGGCGCGAUAGGCUAGCUAGGGUUUCUGCUUGUGAUUCUUUUUGUUUUGGGCUUCAAUGUAAUUAGGCCGAGGUAUUUGGACCAUUGUUUGUAUAACUAGACAUUUGGACUUUAGUUAUAUAUAUUUUAUUUGGGUUUUAAUAUCCGUAUCGGGCCGGGCAAAUUUGGGCCAUUACAACCUUAUUUAAAAGAAUUUCUAUUUUAUUAAAAUUAUAAAAGUAAAUUUCAAUUACUUUAUUCAAAAUAACCUUUUAUUUUAUUACAUGAAAUAACAUAGAAAUAUUCAAAAUAUUGCCUUAUUUAAAAGAAUUUCUAUUUUAUUACAUGAAAUAAUAUAAAAAUAUUCAAAAUGUUUGUACAAAUAUGUUAAAAUAAAAAUCAAUCUCCGUGCCCGCCGGAUUUAGUGUCACAUGGCGGUCGUUGACGGUUACGCGCUGGGUUCCUCCUUUGUCUAGCUUCUGGUGGGGGUUGUGGUUGCUCUGGUGGGGAUUCUAGUUACUCUGGUAGGGGAUCGAGUUGCCAGUGUUGGGAGGAUGACCUACCUUGAUAGAAUAGUGAAUCUUGCGGUGUUUGCAUCACGAACGGCGAAGGCGUUUGAAACCCAUAAGGUGAUGGGGAUUGGUAAAAAGAAGAGCUCCCCGACGGCCCCUCGUGCGAUCCAUGUUGCGACUGUGGCCUAUAGAUUGGCAGUCCACUCGGCGACAUUGAUAAUGGAGAUGAACUGGGCCAUGGAUUCCAACCUGCCAUAGGACUAGAAAAAGGAAACAUAUAAGGGUUAGGAUACAAAAAAGGGCUACAAUACGCACCUGGCAUCAUCUGAAAAGGCUGUGUUGUAGGUGUCGUUGGUUGAAGUGUUGGGUCGGGUGACUGUGACGGUGUUGUUGCUGGGCCUGGUGAUUGUUUGGGAGCUGUUGAUGCGCUUACGUCGUCGUCCGUUCUUCUUGGAUUUAAAGGGCCAUGUCGUUCCCUUUGGACACGUAACUACCGCUGCCUCUCCUCUGCCGACAGUAAAUACGGCUUGCUAUGGAUCCUAAACCAUGGGAUGUAUUCCGCCAUGCAGCUAACUCUAGAACGAUGAUUGGUUCCCAAGUUGGUAUAUAAUCAUACUAAUCUUCCCACAUUUGGAUGUACUGUGACCAGAAUCUUGGCCAAUCUGUAUGCAAUUGCCGUAGGUCGAUUUUGUGAUGGUCAUCCAACACCUCAGGUGCCACGGGAAUCAGUUGUCAAAAUCCAAAUUGCCGUAAUACUCUGUCCAUACUCUGUGCGACUGGUGCAUCUCCAUGGUCGCUAAGUUGACCAAUGGGACUUUUACAUGCCAAGCGUUUGGAUUUUGGAAGUACUCAUCUGGAAUUACUGCCCGAAUUGCCAGAUCCUCGUAUGGUGUCCAUUGAAACUAUAUGAACAUGAUGGAAAUAUUAGUUAUAUACAUAAUACAUAAUACUAAAUACUAAAUACUAAAUACCGAUCGACUAUCUCAUGAUGGAAAUAUCUAUUUUAUUUAAUACUUACUUGUGCUUCUGACUGUUGGUCUAAUAGAAACCGUAUAUCUUCAAGAGAGGUAGGAAAUCCAACAUAACUUGUCGAAUGGUUCCACCUAAUUAAAUAAAUUUUUAGCAUACAAUUAUAUUUUAAAUCUACGUAAUAAUUGUAAAAUCUAAUAUAAAAUUUACCUCGUUAUGUGUGGGAAGGUAUAUGGGUGGUCCACUCGAGGACAUAAAAAUGGAAAGCGAAAUCGUGCCCAUGACUGCAGUAGUGAGAGACAACCUCCGAUUUUCGCUUUAUUCGGUCGCUUCGGCCCACACAUCUCCAGGUACAAUGUUGCCAACACGGUAAACCCCUAACUAAAUUCACCAGCUGCUCUAAAAUCAACGAGUUUCAGCAGCCAUCUUAGAUGUACAAGGUUCCGUGACAAGUCCGGCAUCAGAUAACCUCCAAUUAUCGGAAGAAUGUAUGCCCGAGCAUAUCUGAUUCUUUCUAGUUCGAUAGAAUCAUCAUCCGGCUCUAGGAAUGUGUCUCGUAACCAGCCUAUCUCGAUCCGACCUCCGUUGAUAUUAUCCGAAAUAGCGCCUAAAAGCUCGUAGCAUACCGCUCCCCAAUCACCAGAUUGAACAUACCCAGUGACUACGUACCCGUCCACCGGCAAUCCCAAUUGCAAAUUUACGUCUUCCAAAGUGAUAGUACACUCUCCACAUGGAAUAUGGAAUGUGUGCGUCUCGAGUCUCCACCUCUCAAUCAACGCACUAAUGAGCUUCGGUUCCAACUUGCAUCCCCGACCUACCAUUGCCACGUGCCAAAAACCCGCUUCCCGUAGGUAAUUCUCUACCAACGGUGAUGGAGGACCAUGCAUAUUACAGAUAUAGCAUUGCAAUAUCCGAUCUAUAGACUUUUAUAAGAAAUAAUAAAAUAAAAAUUAUUUAAAAUUUCAUAAAUCAAAAAAAUCUUAAAUAAUAUUUAAAAGUUAAAUUUAACACUUAUCAUUUUCAUUUGUUCGAUGGAUAUGUGCUUGUUAUCGAAACAAAUUAAUUCUCCGGCCAUUGAGAGGAAUUUGAGAGGAAAUUUUUAUGAUUUAAAAAAAAUAAGAGAAAUUUAAAAAAAAUUAUGAUUUAAAAAAAUUCAAAAAAAAUUAAAUUAAAGCUUUUUUUAGAAUAACUAAAAAAAUUAAAGCUUUUUUUGAGAGGAAUUUGAGAGAAUAUUGGAGAGAAAUUGAGAGAAAGGAUUUAGGGGUGAAAAAAAUGAAAGGGGGAGUUUAUAGUUUUUUUUUUUUUUUUUACCAUUGGGGGUGGUCACCAACGGUAAAAAAACUAGCCGUUGGUACUGUUCACGCGCGGGGAAAACGCUUCCCCAAGGAAGCUAUUUGUCCACGUGGAUGCGCUUUCUAGGAAUUGGCCCAUUCUAGUAAUUAAUUUUUCACCGGGCCUAUUUCAGUAAUUUAAAAAAAAUGGACUUUUAUUGGUUUUUGGCCCCUUUUUUUCUCUCACAAGUAAAAGUACUUAUGGAGAGGAUCAUGUAAAAUAAUGACCUGAAUAAUUUUAACCGUUUCAUCAUUGCAAAAAUGAAAUAAUAGAAAAGAAAGACUAGCCAUUUUAUGAAAUAUAAAUUUUAAGAAUAUGGACUAGCCAUUUUAUUUAUAAUUUUCUGUGAUUUUCUUCUUCUCUAACUUUUUUUUAAUGUCAAGAGUUGGGAAAAAGUUAUUAAUAAUUAAAUUAUUUUACUAUGAAAUUUUAAUUUAACUAGAAAAUAAGUGGUUUAUUUAGAGGGAUUACAAUUAAACAUUACCUUUUCAAAUUUUAAAAAUAAAAUUUUCUUUACAACUGCAUAAUUAAUAAGAUAUCAAUUUUGAGUGUUAUAACCUUCUCAACGCAUAACCAACUCUUGAAUUCACUUUUUUCUCUAAAAUUCUACGUAGAACACAAAUUAAUUUUUAAAAUGAAUUUUAAAAUCUCGCGAUUUUUUUAGGUGAUUCACCAAAGAAUAAAAAGAAGGGAGGUGAUUCCUCCUUUUUAAUAAAACCUUGUGCUUUUGCAAACACCAAAUUAUUGCUAAGCUUUACAUUAAUAUACAUGAUUUAUUUGUUUGUUAUUAUUAUUUAUAUGGUUAUAAUUUUAUACUUAUCGGACUAUAAUCAUUACCAUGGUUAUUAUCAUUCAAUAAAAAGAAAUAAGUGUUGAGUGUAAUGGCAAUGUACAUUACACUCUUACUAGGAGAUCAGGGUUUUGGACAAAGAAACAAUAUGAUUCGAAUUUUGGAGACAACAUCCUUAAAAUGAGCAACCACAAAGCCCGAUUAUGAACCAUAAAACGAACAUGAAAAGUACAAAAAAACACAUCUAUUAUCAAAUUAGUAAUCCAUCCCAAGGCUUAAAUUAACAAAAUUCACCAUGCAACCGUGUAGACUAUUUUAUGUAUAUACUAUAUUUAUUCUUCAUGCAAAUGUUUAUUAUAUUUAAAAAUUAAAAUAUAUGGUUGAUUGAGUUUUAGUUGAAUUAAUAUCGAUAUUGUUGUUAGUGCAGAAGAAUGUGAGUUCAAUCAUGUUUAAACGCGUUUUUCUUCCAAUUCAGAAGUUGGUGAGGAUUCUCAAUAGUUAAAUUAUAUAAGUUUUUGUCUAUUUAAAAUUGAUUUAUAAACAAUAUAAAUAAAAAGAUUUAAAAAAAUAUAUAUAUAUAUAUAUAUAUUCAUAUUGAUGGGCUUUUUCAUUACUAGACUUUUUUCCUUACAGGUAAAAGUAUUUAUGGACAGGAUGAUGUAAAAUAAUGACCUGAAUAAUUUUAAACGUUUCAUCACUGCAAAAAUGAAAAUAAUAGAAAUGAAAGACUAGCCAUUGUAUGAAAUUUAUAAUUGAACUGUCAACAAAAUUGGGAGAAAUUUUUAAAUUUUAUGAAAUUUUAAAAUUAAACUGUCAAUAAUAGAAAAUUGUGCGCCUGAGUGACUUGGGAUAAGAGGUUGAACAUUUCUGGAUCACAUUACAUUUAAGAUGGGUCUUUAAGGUUAUACUUUAGUUAUUGAGAACAUUUUCCACAAUUUGCCAUCGUUAUUUGUGGGGUAAGUGGUUGAACACUUAUGGAUCACAUUGCAUUUAGGACGGGUCUUUGGAGUUAUAUGAUACUUUAACAUAGACUGACUUUUCUAUAAUUAGUCCUUGGUUUACCUUGGGUGGAUUCUUCCAACUAGUCCAAGAAUUAUUGUACAAUUACAAUUAAUCUUUUUAAAUGAGACAAACAUUUCAAAUUUGUCAUUACUAUUUGUGAGUGAUUUGGGGGUAAGAAGUUUAACACUUCUGGAUGUCUUAUAAAAUUGUGAUUAUACUGUUUGAGUAUUGACUCAGUUUUCCACAAUUGUGGGUCUCUAUUUGAGCAAAACAAUUUCAACAUUUCUUCAUCUCGUUUAAUCCAAAUGCAUUUAUGCAUUUCUUAUACCAUUAAAUUGGCUGUUUCACAUUCAAUUUUUGGACAAGUAGAAUUUUCUAACCUAGUUUCCAUCAACUUCAAUUGAAUUUUCAAUCAAAAUCAGUUGCAUUCAAGAGCACCACAUCCUUUUGGAUGAAACAAAAUUUCAAUUUUAGGAUAAACGGGUCUUUAGGGUUAUACUUCAUUUAUUGAGGGCCUUUUAAUUUCCACAAUUGUCAUCACUAUUUGCGGGUGAUUUGGGGAUAAUAACUUGAACAUUUCUGGAUCACAUUUAAUUCAAUUUUUAAAUUUUAGAGAGGUGUUUGGGUUACAACAAUUGUCAUCAUUAUCCUUAAUAGAACAUUUGGGAGGAAAAUGAGCAAAAAAUGAGCGAAAACCGAAAAAUGGGGGCAAACUAUAGGACCCAAACGGGCUGACCUAUUCCACACGACCGUGUGACCCACACGGUCGUGUGGCAAGCCAUGUCAAGUUCGUAGAUUUGCACUCUGAACUACGAAAAAAUAUGAAUUUUAGGUUUUGCGGGCAUUCUAAGAUGUAUAUAUGACCAAAAAAAAAAAAAGAAGAUAGGAGAGAACCUUCCUAGAAUAUUCAAGAAAACAACUCUAAAGACACCACUAAAGCCGACUCUAAAGCAGAUUUUCAUUAAGAUUGAAGAUUCCUAAUUGAUUUCUUAGGAGAUUAUCAUGAGUUUCUUUAUUUCUUUCAGUUAUACUGCCCUUUGGAUGUUUUUAUUUUUAGAUUAACUAAUUUUCUAAAUACCUAAGAGAGAUGAGCCCUAUGAUAGACUGUGACACGCCAAAGUCGACCGGGAUAGACUGGCCUGAAUUCGAAGCAUUACAUUAGCCACCUAAGUGACUCUCCAGCUAACUACCACCCAAGACAAACCCCGACCUUAUAACACCUCAAUCUUAUCUAAUUAUUAAUUAUUUAUUAAUGCCGACGUAAAUUAUGAGCCAAUUUUAAACUUUUUCUAGGUAAUUUAACCUAAGGGCAUUUAUGUCAUUUUACCACUUAUGGUAAAACUAACUCGGUUUUAGAUCUAAGUGUUUUUUGACUUCUUUUAGUCAAAUUAUGCAAGUCUAAAAUUUUUAGGUUAAUUUGAGUUCGUUUACUAUGUCAAAUUCAAGUUUUAUUAUUAAGGACUAAAUUGUAACUUAAACAAAUUUGAAUACCAAUUUAAAGUAAUAAAAAUUCAAAACCCUAAAACCCACACGGGCAUGUGGGCAAGUGACACGGGCGUGUGGAGACUGGAGCUAUCACACACAAGCAUGUGAGUUGAAAAAUAUGAAAUAAAUUAAUCCAUUCAAUUUUCCAACAACCAUGCUAUACUACCAAACCAAAAAACGCUUGAAGCUUUGAAAAGGGGUGAAUCUAAAAAAAAAAAAUUAGAAGAAUUAGAAUUAAAUUAUAAAAUUUUGAGAAUUAAAAUAUAAUUUUAUCAUGUAUUAAUUUAUUAUUUUUAAAGGGUCUUAAUAGAGUUUUUUUUCCAUAUUGGUUGGACCAAUACCUCUACCUGCCUCUUUAAAUUUGCUCCAACCCUAAACCCAAUAUUCGAUUGGAUUAACAACAAUAUAUAGGUUAGUAUUUUUAGAGGUUUAAAUUAUAAAUUUUUGAAAGAUUAAAAUAAAUUUGUAUUUUUUUAUUAAGAAAAUAUAAAAGAAAAAAAUAUGUUUACACAAGCCAAGAGACCUUUGGGAUCAUGCGGGUGAUUUUGAUGAUGUUAAUGGUUAUUUUGGUGGAGAGAGUGAAAAAGAAACAAAUGAUUCAUUAUAUAUAAUAUAAUUAUGAAAUUCAAGCCAUAUAUUGUAUGUUUCAUACAUAAAAAUUUCAUGGGAGGUCCAAAGGUAAUAAAUGACUUGUAGGCUUGCUGAAUUCCUUUGAAAGGCCCAAAGGCAAUUUAACAUUCACAAAAUAAUCUCUAAAUACUGUAAAGACAAAUCAAAUCCACAGCAGCAUUAGAGUUGAUUAAGCUAAGCAUUGGCAAAUAUUACUUUGAUUUGGCGUGCAAUAUUGGGAAAACCCCCUCUUACAUUAGAAAAACAACAUAAUCCAUGAAACAUUGAUAGCCCAAUACAGAAGUGUUUAUAUAUGUGUUUGAGACUAGUUAUAUUUGGCUUAAUUGAAAUAGAUUAUAUAUGUUUUUAUGACUAUUUAUUUGCUUAAGACUUACUAAGCUUUUAAAAGCUUGCUUUGUGUGUGUUCUUUCCCUAUUUUAUAGAUAGUCGAAGCUAGCUCGAGCUCGAAGAUCGUCAAGAAUUGUCGUCACACUAUCGAUCGUCAUUUUAGUACUUUUGAAACUUGUAAAAAUAGUAUAUGGCAUGUAUAGGCUAGUAAUCAUGUGAUAUGUUUUUGGGUUGUGGUUUUAGCCAUAUAAGUUGGUUUGUAAAUGGUGUAGUUGUUGGAAGUUACUUUAGCUAUGCAAAUGAGCUUAUUUUAUGAAUUGACAAAUGGUAGGUGAUGUUUAUUUGGCAAACUUGGUAUAGUCAUGUGGUUAAUUAUUCGGUUAGAUGUUAAUGUUAGUAUGUGUUCAUAUUUACUAUGUGAUGACUAUGCUAUGCCAUGUAAAUUUGACUAUUUGGUGUGGAUUAUUAUUAACCUAUGCUAUGCCAUGUAAAUUUGACUAUUUAGUGUGGAUUAUUAUUAACCUAUGUGAUGUAUAAAUUAACCUAUUUGGUGUGGAUUAUUAUUAACCGGCGACGUAUUCAGGUUAGGGGUGUUACAUGAGGCGCUUUUGGUAAAUACAUUACUGAGUUGGUGACCUGAUUGAGGGUAACACCAACUCAAUAAAACUCUUAAAUAUUGACUACAAAUCCUAUCACACACUUAUGAGUAUGAAAACACAAAUUUAGAAUACAAAGAUGUGUUUAAAAAUAACAUAGAAUAAAGAAUGAAAUUUAUGGUUUGAAACUAAUUAAUAAUAACACAUGAAAUAGAAUGAAAUUUAUGGUUUGAAACUAAUUAAUAAUAACACAUGAAAUAUGUAUGAUAUCAAAAUGAAAAAAAAAAGAUUAAAUUGUGCAUAAAACAAAAUUUUUUCCUGUUACAUCAAUAAAGUUAUAUUUAUUACCCUCGCCAAUUGUUUGUCAUUAAGAACAUUAAAGUAUCCUUGAAUGAUAUAACUGAUUCUAAAUAGAGUUGAUGUAUGGUUGGCUUAGGAUACCAAGUCAGUUAGGGGCUUAAGAUUAUUAAAAUAUUCUUAUUUUAAAGGGAAAUUAAUAUUAUUAUAAGUGUAUUUUCACCUUUUCAUACUUUUAUAUAAUCUUCAAGUAAAACAAUUGAAAAAUAUUAUGUGAGGCUCAAACACAAGACUAAAAAAAUUCAUAUAGAAAACGCUUACCACUCCACUAAUAAUCAUUUGUUAAUGUAUUUUUGGUAAAAAGACCUCUCCAAUCCCUCUUAAUUUCACAAUUGCGCAAAUUAGUCCCUCUCAAAAAAAAUGGAGCAAUUUAAUCCCUAUCAAUUUUGAAAGUGAGUAACUAAGGACAAUUAAUUAUGGUGUUAAAUUCUUCCAUCAAUUGUACAUAAUUUUGAUUAGUACAGUUAUAAAUUUAACUUUCAAUGUUUAUAUAUUUUGUCAUUUUGGCCUUAAUUUUUAAAAAAAUUUAAGAAAUUCAACCUCAACAUUUACAUAUUUACACAAACGUUGCAGGAAAACUUUGUUAAAUUAAGACCAAAUUGCAAAGUGUGUAAAUUUUGAGGGCUAAAUUUAUUAAUAAACCAGCCAAAAUCAUGUACAUUUUAUGGAAUGUUAACAUCUUGAUUAAUUAUUCUUAGUUGCUCACUUUCAAAAUUAAUAGGGACUAAAUUGCUCUGACUUUUUUAGGGUAACCAAUUUCCUCAAUUUGGAAAUUGAGAGAGACUAUUGAGAUCUUUUUAAUAUAAAAUUAAUAUAUUUUUUUUAUAAACAAUAAAAGAACGUUGACAUUGAAUUUGCUGUUUCACAUUCAAUUUACAGAGAAGAAGAAUUUUCUAACUUAUUUUCCAUCAACUUCACUCCAAUUUUCAAUCACAAUCAAUUGCAUCAAGAGCACCACAUCUUUUUGGAUGAAACAAACCUCUCAAUUUUAAGAUAAACGGGUCUUUAGGGUUAUUAGUUGAGGGCUAUUUCCACAAUUGCCAUCACACACGGGAGUGUGGGAUUGAAAAAUAUGAAAUAAAUUAUUUCACUCAAUUUUCCAACACCCAUGCUAUACUACCAAAUUAAAAAAAGGCUUGACGCUUUGAAUAGGGAAGAAUUAGAAUUAAAUUAUAAAAUUUUGAGAAGUUAAAAUAUAAUUUUAUCAUGUAUUAAUUUAUUAUUUUUAAAGGGUCUUAAUAGAAUUUUUUUCCCAUUUUGGUUGGGCCAAUACCUCUGUCUGCCUCUUUAAAUAUGCUUCAACCCUAAACCCAAUAUUCAAUUUGGAUUAACAACAAUAUAUAGGUUAGUAUUUGUGGAAGUUUGACGAAUAAAAUUGCUUUUUUAGAUGUUUAAAUUAUAAAUUUUUGAACGUUUAAAGUAAAUUUGUAUUUUUUUAUUAACAAAAUAUAAAAAAAAAAACAUGUUUAGACAAGCCAAGAAACCUUUGGGAUCAUACGGAUGAUUUUGAUGAUGAUAAUGGUUAUUUUGGUGGAGAGGGUGAAAAAGAAACAAAUAAUUCAUUAUAUAUAAUAUAAUUAUGAAAUUCAUGCCAUAUAUUGUAUGUUUCAUACAUAAAAAUUUCAUGGGAGGUCCAAAGGUAAUUAAAUGACUUGUAGGCUUGCUGAAUUUCUUUGAAAGGCCCAAAGGCAAUUUAACAUUCACAAAAUAAUCUCUAAAUACUGUAAAGGCAAAUCAAAUCCACAGCAGCAUUGGCAAAUAUUACUUUGAUUUUGUAUGCAAUAUUACAUUAGAAAAACAACAUAAUCCAUGAAACAUUGAUAGCCCAAUACAAAUUUCAUCGAGAAAAAAGUCUCUUUGUUUUGUAGAACAUGAUAGUAAAGAUGUGUUUAGUUUUCCUUGAUCAACAACCACUUGCCAAAAACACAAUUAGAUUAGAUUAUGAAUGAUACUUUCAACUAUGACAAUAUUAAAUACUAAACAUUCCAAAUAACUCUAAAUAAAUGGAAUGUAGCAAAUUACCUGAUGAGGCAAGCUAGCUCAAUUAAGACCAUUGUGUUAUACUUGUCUCUAAAUUGAAAAAUUUAGAAGAAAAUAAAGAGAAAGAGUUAGCAAAUACUUGAAAACCGAUAAAACUUAUAUGUCAUUGAUUGGAUAAACUACGAUCACCCAUAAUAGCCUUUACCUUGCAACCAUCUACAUGAACCCAUAAGACUCUUAGCGGAAUCAAGAGACAAGACCCUAACAUGAGAACAAUACCAUUUGUUGAUGCCUUUAUUAAUAGGGCCGUACCUAGGAGAGUUGGCAGGGGUCCCGACCCUCCUUAAAAUAAAAAAAUUUCUAUUUAGGCCCUUUAAAAUUUUUAAAAUUUUAAAUUAAUAAACGUAAAAUUGUACUUUGGCCCCCCAAAAAAUUAUAAAACUUUGAUUUAAUCCUUUAAAAAUUAUAAAAAUAUUGGCUAUUAAAAUGGUGAAAUUACAUUUUUACUAUUGUAAAAAUUACAAUUUAAUUUCACCCCUAAAAAGAUUUUCUGGCUUCGCCCCUAAUAAAAUCAUUGGCAAAAGAUUAAAAUAAAAUUAUAUCAUAAAUAAUAAAAAAACUAAGAAAAUCCAAUCUAACAAAGAAAAUAACUUGAUGUCGAAAUUUAAUGCAUUUUAUUGGUUUCCAUUUUGAUAUUGCAAAAGAAGUUUGAAUUUUGAAGAGAGCCUAGUACGUGAGAGCAAAAGAAAAAAAAUGGUUUAUUAAUUUUUACGAAUACCGACAUAUUAUAUAUAUGAUUAAAAUUCCAGAAUAGAUUAAAAAUGUUGAAUUAAUGAUAAAAUUAAGUGUGAAAUAAUAACCACAAGUGUACUCUUUACUCACCAUCUCUGUUAAAAAUGUUGGAUGUUGUUUAGCAACCUUUGUUUGAUUUUCUUCAGCUCAACCACAACAUCUUUCAUAUCUUUUCUUUCUUCUGGUAACUCAGCUGAACAAUUCAAAGCCAACUCCAUGAUAGAUGAAAUACAAUUUGCUUUAACAACAAUGUACUCAUCCUCUCUUCUUAAUAAAUCAACAUCUGCAAUUUCUAUCGCUCCUUUAGGCAAUGAACUUUCCAUCCAAUGCCUUAUAGUCUCUUCUUCAACAAAAACAUUAUCAGUUGGCUUUUUCUUCGUGAAAGUUUCUAUAAGGACGAUCCCAUAACUAUAGACGUCAGAUUUUAUAGAAACAAUUCCUGCUGAUCCAAAUUCUGCAUUUCAAGUAUAAUUAGAACAUCAUUCAUCCUCAAUUAUUUCUAAAACGCUUAUUCAAAUAUAUAUCCACAUACACGUGAAACAAAAAUAUAAAAUGCAAAUUAGUAAAAUAAUCAUACAAAAAUAAAAAAGAAUUCACCUGGUGCCAUAUACCCAAUAGUUGCAAGAGUCAUGGUUUGCUUCAUUACUUCACCUUCUCCCAACAAUUUGGCAACGCCAAAAUCUCCAACAUGUGCAACCAUGUCUUCAUCUAGUAAAAUAUUGCUUGGUUUUAUGUCACAAUGAAUUAUAGGUGUUGGAUGUCCAUUGUGGAGGUGUUCUAUAGCUACCGCAACAUCUAUCAUUAUGUCGACCCUUUGUAUGAUAUUAAGGAAACAAUUUUCAGAAUGUAACCAUUUCUCAAGGUUUCCGUUAGAUAUGUAAUCAAGCACCAAGGCUUUGAAGUCAACACUUGAGCAGCAAGUAAUGACCUUCACAAUAUUACGAUGAACUAUAUUACACAUAGCAUCACAUUCAAUGUCAAAACUCCUAAAUGCUCCCUCUGUUUGCAAAUUGAAAACUUUUAUUGCAACUUCCAUUCCAUCUGAAAGCCUCCCUUUAUAUACAUAUCCAAAACUCCCUGAACCAAGCAUAUUGCUUUCCUCAAAUCCAUUAGUUGCUCGUGAAAGUUCAGCAUGUGAAAUUCUUCUCGGUGUUUUCAAAGACAACAAAUCAUCUUUAAUUGUUAGAGUUGUACUCCUUCUUUGGCAUCUUCUAUACAUAAUAGUUAAGACUAUUAGUACUACGACAAUACCAAUUGUUGGUAAACCAUACCUAAAAGCAUGCAAUAUAAUCAUUUGGGAGUUUUUGUGGAUGUCGUUUUUGCAGGGUGGGACUAGCAAUCUAGGUGGACCACAAAGUGCAUAAUUCUUCAUGAAUGAUGUGCUAGAAAAGUUUGAAAAACAUCCUUUGCUGGGAAUUUCCCCUUCAAGUCUAUUGAAAGACACAUUAAAAUACUUUAGAUAUAAAAGCUUUUCCAAAGAUUUGGGAAUGACUCCAGAGAGAUUGUUAUUGGAUAAAUCCAAGAAUUCCAAACUAAUCAACCCAUCAAAUGAUUCAGGGAUAUGACCAUGUAGUAUAUUAUUUGAUAAAUCUAAUGAAACCAAAGUUUGAAGACCCCCAAAUGUGGAUAAGAUAUCGCCCUUGAGCAAAUUCCUUGAUAAAUUUAGUUUCAGUAGACUCCUCAAAUUUCCAACAUCAAUAGCAUGUGAAUUGUGAAGAUGGUUUGAUGAUAAAUCUAUUUCUAAGAUAUCUUUAAGAUUCCACAAAGUUGAGGGUAUUGUAGAACUCAAUUUGUUGGAAUCUAAGCAAAGAUAUCUCAGAGCAGAAAUAUUACCUAAACAAGAGGGUAUGGACCCAUGCAGCUUAUUCAACCCUAAACACAUCUCGUAUAGUCUCUCCAAACCACAGAGGCUUUCUGAGAUCGGCCCUCCUAGUUUAUUAUUGUAAAAAGUUAGACUUUGGAGAUUUCUCAUUCCUCCUAUUGAUGCUGGAAUCAAUCCACUUAAUUUAUUAUAGCCAAGUUGUAAAAGGAAUAGGUUGGUUAAGUUACCUAUUUCCAUAGGAAUAAUGCCUUGAAGCUCACACUUUUUGGCAGAAAAGAAUUGAAGGGAUUUUGAUAGGUUCCCGAUAUAAGUAGGAAGAACGCCACUGAAUGGAUUUCCUGAUACAUCUAUUCUUCUCAAAUUCCUACAAUUCGUCAAAGAAGAAAGAAAGCUCCACUCAUGAUCAGUAGCAGAUCCUGUGAUCAAAUUAUUGUCAAAGAUUUGGAACACUUCAAGGUGUCUUAAGUUGCCAAGCGUUUUAGGGAUUGGGCCAGAGAAUGAGUUACGUGCCAAGUCUAUAAUCUGAAGCAUGGAAGCAUUGGAGAUAGAGUUGGGAAUGUUUCCGGUAAGUUUAUUUCUCCACAAUAAAAGAAUCUGAAGCUUUGGAGCAUUGGUGAUGGGUGGUAAAUUACCUGUAAAAUAGCAUCUUUUAGAAAACAUAUUCAUUGAAUACCAAAUUCACAAAAUAUAUAAUACAUUAAAUAAAAACUGUAAAACUUUAAAUCAAUUAAGGAUAAAAUUUUUGCGUGAUGAAAUCAAUUAAAAAGUUGAGACAUAAUAGGAAGUUUUGAGUAGUAAUUAGUCCUUGUGAUUUGAAUAGACAAAACAUAUAAAACACUAAUAAUUUUUUAAAAUAUUGUAAAACUUGAAAUAAAAUAAAAUAAAAGUUUGGCAUGAGAAUGUGGCAUCUAAUCAAUCUUAAAAAUGAGACUGACACUGGAUAAUAAUUAGUUAUGAUUUGGGAAACAAAAAUGUUAAAGCCAUUGUUUUUAAUGUAAACUGGUAUGAUUUUUAUCUAUUGGGAUAAUUAUUUAUUUUUAUUAAAUUAUAAUGUAAAAUUUAAAGAUUACUAUUUGCUCAAAAUUUUUGUAUUGUUCAUAUAUUUGAAAUUUAAUCUUUAUAUUUUUUAUUUUCUGUGAUUUAGUCUCUACUUUUUGAAUUGAAAAUUUUAGGUUCAUUUAUUAACAUUGUUAAAAGGUUUUUGAGAUAGUAUGGCAUUUUGAAAAAUAAAAUAAGCUUGAUAUCUCUGUUUUUAAUUAUUCCAAAUAUUGUUUUAUUAUUUCAAGAUAAAUUAUUUGUGUCUAGACCAAUUUCUUAAGAACUAUUGUUGCAUGUUUAAUUAUUUUAAAGAAUUGUCGAUUGAGUCUUAGAUUAAUUGGCAUGUGCAUUGUUGCUAAUGUAGGAGAAUGUGAGUUCAAGUAUGCUGAAGUGCAUUAUCCUCCUAUUUAUGAAUUGGGGAGUUGAUAAAGUACUAAAUUUUGAUAUAUUUUAAAAUAUUAAAAAUUUAUUAAAAUAUUUUUAUAAAAAUUGAUUGUACCACAAUAUACAAUUUUAAUAUCAAAAUUUUAAUUUUUUUAAAAAUAUUAGCGAAUAUAUACUUUAAAGUUACACAAUUUUUACUAGUUUUUAACUUUAUUUUUUAAAUUUUUAUCGUCUUUUAUAAUUUCUAAUAUUUUUUUUAUAAUUUUUUACAAUAUUUAACAAUUUCUAACAAUUUUUAAUAAUUUUAUUAUUUAUUACAAAUUUAAAAAUUAACAAAUUUUUAUUUUUUUAAAACAAUUAUAUAUUUAUAAUGUAGUUAUUUUUUUAUAAUUUUAUUAAAAUUUUUAAAGACUUUUUUGGUUUUUUUUUCUAGAUGAUGAUGCCAUCAUGAUGUCAUCAUAUGCCACAUGGCAAUUUAUGAUUAGUUGGAUAUCUCAAUCUAUUUUUUUAACGUCCAAUGGACUAAACCAAGAACACCUGAUAAUGUUAGAGACUACACUAGGAAUGUUUGAUAAUAUUAAGUAUGAAAGUGGGCAAAAAAACAUUAAGGAUUAAAAAAAAGAAAAAAAAAAGAGCAAUAUGCUGUAGGGAAUAAACUGUGCAUUAAGCCAUUAAAAAUAUAUGUAUAAUAAAUAUAAAUGCAUGGAUUUUGAGAAACUUUUGAACUGAUAAUUAUAUAGUCUUUCUUGUUUACUAUAUUAUUGAAUUUGUUAUUUUAAAUAUUUUUUAUUACUUUUAAGAUUUAUCAUAUGUAUGGAUAAGAAUUUUGGUUUUACUAAAAUAUUUGGUUAAAUAAAUUCACUUUAUAAGAAAAUUUAGCAUCCUUAUAAAUAACAAUUUUGAUUCUAUUAAAAAUAUUAUUUUAAAAAUUAUAUAAUAAAAAUUUAAAAUUUAUAUUGAAUUACUUUAUACUUCAAUUAUUAUUAGAAACUUUAUCAUACACAUACGUGUAUGAGAAUCACAUAUUUAGAACAUAAAUUUGUGUUUUAAAAUAACUUAUGAUAAAUAAUGAAAUGUAUAAUUUGAAACUAUUUAAUAAUAACACAUGGCAUAUAAAUCUUAUUGUUUAAAGUUUAAUGGAAAUUAAAAAAAUUAAAAAUAAAUCAAUUCAUAUAAAUCUUAUUGUUUUUUAUCAUAUUAAAAUGAUAAAAGUAUAUGACAUAAAUAGAAGAAACAAAUUCAACACAAUGUUUUUGGAGUUUGGAAAAAAUUAAAGUGAAAAACAUACCUUCUAAAUUGUUGUUAAAUAGAUCUAUUUCUUCGAGCGUAGUUGAAUUAAAAAUACUUGAUGGAAUUUGACCUGCACACAUAGUAAAAAAAUUGAAGUGAAAAACAUAUCUUCUAAACUGUUCAACUAAAAAUACUUUUGUUAUCUAUUACAAAUCAAACUCUUUUGUGAAAAAAUUAUUACCAGAUAAUUCAUUCCAACCCAGGUAAAGCCUUUCAAGCUUGGGAAGAUAUUGACACAUAUCAUUAGGCAAACUACUUGAUAGGCUAUUGUUGGAGAGAUUAACGGUCUUCAGAGAAGAAAUGUUGAAGAUAGAAGUUGGAAUCUGACCUGUAAGGCCUUUAAUUGCUUGAAUAUUAAGCAUUUCCAAACUAAGAAGAUUACUGAUUUCCUUAGGAAUUUGACCUGCAGACAGUCGAAAAAUCAUUAUUUUUCAGCACUUGUUUUUCUUCAAAUUAACUAUUUUGCCUUGAAUGAAAUAAAAAUUUCUUCCUUUUGUUAUCUAUUACAAAUUAAACUCUUUUAUAAAAAAUACUUUAAAUUCAAGAAAUCAAGGAAAUUGAUUACCUUCUAGAUUAUUAAACCCCAAAUAUAAUUCCUGGAGUCGUGUCAGAUUUCCAAUACUUUUUGGAAUGAUCCCCCUCAAUUGAUUAUUGGACAACGACAAAUUUUUAAGGUUGCUGCAUUUGCCCAUACUUGAUGGAAUGUUACCAGAUAAUUCAUUCCAACUCAGGUAAAGCCCUUCAAGCUUGGGGAGAUGUUGACACGUAUCAUUAGGCAAACUACCUAAUAGGCUAUUGCUGGAGAGAUCAAUAAUCUUCAGAGAAAAAAUCUUGAAGAUGGAAGAUGGAACCUGACCAGAUAAUUGAUUGAAUCCCAAGUUCAAGAUCUCUAGAUUAGACAUGUUAACAAGUGUUUCAGGGAUUGUGCCUGUAAAGUUAUUGUUUUUCAUUUUCAGCCUUCGAACUCUCUGUAAGUUCCCAAGCCAUGAUGGAAUUUCCCCAUUCAGAUGGUUGUAGCUUAAUUGAAGGAUCCUCAAAUGAUGCAAUUGGCUCAAUUCUUUAGGGAGAUGGCCAUAGAAAUGGUUGCUACUCAAGUCGAGAGAGAGUAGAAAUGAAAGAUUUCCAAGGUGUGGAGGGAUAGUACCCCUAAGAUUCAUGCUUGUAAGAUUCAAAGCUAUAACUCUUUUAUGGAGGAUGCCACAAGAAACACCAAUCCAAUUGCAAACAGAGGUUGAGACCGUCCAAUUGUUUGGCAAGACAUUUUGAGGACCGGCGAUGCGAUCCUUAAACUCGAGAAGUGCAAACUGGUCGAAGUUGAGAUUCCUGACUGUCAUAGCCAAGCAAAGUACGGAACAUGGUAUGAAUAAAGCUAAAAGAAGAUGAAAGCAAGUGUUGUAGUUCAUGAUUGCAAGACGGAAUAAGCCAAGAAAAUAAAAAAAAAGUAGGAAAAGGGAAGUUGAGUUGAUAAAAUAGUUUGGAUGAUGAAGAAAAGCCCAGACAGCAUGCUUUAAUAUGUUUCAACCCUCGCACACUUGAUAAACUUGAUAAAAAUAUUUUGAUCUAAUAAAUGUAAAAAACUUUUUAAACAAAAUAAGGUUGAAAUAAUCUAUUUGUCCUUAUACUUUGAUAAAAUUUGAGAUUUAGUCCUUAUACUUAAAAGGUUAAAAAUAAAGUCUUCUUGUUUUUAUUUAAAAAUCUUAGUCCUAACGUUAAUUUUUUUUGUCAAAAUUUGUCAACUUUACAUAUUAAUUAGGUUUCCCUUAUAUGUCGUGAUAUAUGACUAACACAAAAUAAGCAAGUUGAUAAAUUCUGACAAAAAAUACCAAAGAUGAUAAUAAUUGAAUUAAAAUUUUUAAAUUGAAUUUAUAACCUUUAACGUAUAAGGAAUGGAUAUCAAAUGUUUAUAGGAAUAAAGGGACUAACAGCAUAUUUUAACCAUAAAAAAAUAUGAGUGAUUAGAAUGAAUCUAAAAUUUUAUAGAAAUAAAAGAGACUAACAACAUAGUUAUAACUUUGAGAUCUCCUUCGAUCAUCCUUUUUCUACGUGGAAAAAGAAAAUUAAUUAGCAUCUAAAGUUUCAAGUAAUGAAACCUUGAAAAGAAAAGGUGAAAGUGAUUUAUCAAACAAUAAUAGUCUAACUUAUAAUAUAUUUAAUUACAUUUAGUAAUUUAUCAAUCAAAACUUAAUUAACAUCCAUCAAUACUUCAUACAUAAGUAAAUUUACCAUUUAACUCAGAUUUAACUUUGCAAGUAAACUUAAAGUUUUAUUUAAUUUUGUCACUAAAUUUGAUUUGUUCAAUAUAGAUUUUGGUGACUUAAAACAAAAUUAAUAAAAAAAAUUAUUUUUUCAGAUAUGUUUUUAAUAUUUAAUAAUAAGUUAAUUUAUAAAAUAUACUUUCAUUGGACACAGGCAUCCAAGGCGGUGAACCACUGAUCAAAUUAAUUCAGAGAUACCUAAAUUUGCUUUCAUCAAUUAAUUAAGAAAUUAAAUUUUUAAAAAAAAUUGUUGAGACCUCAUGAUUAUCUUUUAUAAUUUCAGUCUUAUCAACUAUUUUGAAAACAACAAAACGUCUUACACCAAAACCUAAAAAAUAAAAACGUCGACAUUAAAUUUGUUGGUAUGCAAUCAAUUUUAAGAUGGUUUUUGGAGUUAUAUAUCACUUUAGCAUUGACUUACUUUUCUACAGUUAGUCUUCUCCAACAAGUUAAAUAUUUCAAUUUUAACAACAUUGAAAGGUUUUGGCGUAGAGUCGAGCAAAACUCAAUAGAAACAGAUGAUAUAGGUUGAGUUGGCUCGGCCAAGUCGAGUCGACUUGUUCAAAUUAGUUAAAUUAGUAAAUUUUAGGGUGCAGUUAGAAUUUUUUAUUUUGAGAUGCUAAGAUGAAAAACUUUGAGUUGCUAAAACAAAAAUUUUGUAUUUAAAAAGGCAUAAAUUAAAUUAUUAAGUUUUUCAAGUUUCCAUUUAAUCAAAGGUUAAAAAGGACUAAAUUGAAGCUUUUUAUUUUUAAGAAAGGCUGAAUGACAAAUUGCUCAAAGCCCAUGCCCCUAGCUAUACGCCCCUGUUAAAAUCAAUUUUAAAAUUAGUUAUAAUAGUUGAAGCGAAUUGAUUAUUGAGUAAUGAAACACAUCAUUCAACAAAAUAAACAAGUUGACAAAUUUUGACAAAAAAUAUCAAAGGUGAUAAUAAUUAAAUUAAAAAUUUAAAUUGAAAAAAUAAGGAAUUGAAUUUAUAACUUUUAAAGUAUAAAGAAUGAAUUUAUAACUAACAUAUUUUAACCACAUAAUAAAAGUAGUUAUGGAGAGUAUCAUGUAAAAUAAUGACCUGAAUGAAAUAAGAAUAGAAAAGAAAGAGUAGCCAUUUUAUGAAAUUUAUAAUUCCAACUGUGAAUAAAAUAUAAAUUUUAUGAAUGUGGACAAGACAUUUUAUUUAACUUUUUUUAAAGUCAUUUUGUUUGUUUCCUAACCACCAUGAAAUUACUUGUCACAAUUCAUCUUUUUAAAUGAGAAACAUUUUCCACAAUUUGCUAUCACUUUAACAUACACUAACUUUUCUAUGAUUAGUCUUUGGUUUGCUUUGGGUGCAAUCUUCCAACUAGCCUUAUCAGUGGUUUGACUUUCCAACAUUUAGUGUAUCACGAGUUUUGUUUUCUUUAAAAAAUAUUUUUGUGGAUAUUAGGAGAUAAUGACAAUUAUUUUACUGUGAAAUUUUAAUAAAACUGAAAGAUUAGUAAUUUAUUUUAAGAGAUCACAAUUAAACAUUAGGUUUCUAAUUUUUUAAUUUUAAAUUUUUUUGACAAUUGCAUAAUUAAUAAGGUACCAAUUUUGAGCAUUGUAGGAAUGCUAUAACCUUCCCUACGCAUAAUCGCCUCUUGAGCAUGAUGGAUCCUAGACCUUAUCCUCUAUUCUCGUAUCACAAAUUGCUUUGAGUGUGAGUUCGAACAAUCACAUAUUAAGCACAAAACCAGAAAUGAAUUAUUACUUUCAAUGGCAAAGUAAUUCUCUCUCAAUAGAAACCAAUAAAAUUGUAAUUCCAAGAAAAUAAAAUUUAGUUUUUGAAAAUAUAUUCUCACUGCUUUCUAGCAGAAUAACAAUAUGUGAAACUCAUGUCAAUGUUAAUAGCUCUACCAGUACUAUCUAUUUAUAGGGAGAGACAUGAGAAUCCUGGUUGAAUUAGUAAAACACAAGUAAUAUUUAUUUCAUAGAAAACAAUAUUCUACUCUAAGUAGAUCAAGUUUGGAUGACGCAUGGAUCGAAGCUCAAUCUAGGAGAAAAAAAUAAAGGAAUUUUCUCUGUAACGAAAAUCUGAGAUUGUACUAUUUUCGAAGUUAUAAAUAAAAUUAUACGCCAAAUUUCAAGUCAAUUUUCAACUCAAAUUUUAUAUAUACAAAUUUCUAAUACACUUGGUGGGACAUUCUUUGACUUUUAUCUAUUCUCUCAAAAAGUUAAAGUUCAAAGUUGCAUUAAACUCAAAGAAGAUAAUCACUAGUAAACCAGCUCACAAGCCUGCUCAAGCUAAUCCUACAACUCUUUCCACUUCAUCAUCAAACACCAAUGUUCUUGCUUAUCCUUAUGGAAUUAAACAAAAGACAAAAGCUCUUUAAGAGUUAUUUGAAAAGACAAAAGAUUCAGAUGUGUUGAGAUGGAAAGUGACAAUACAAUGUUGAUUGAAACUAUUCGUAAUGGGUUGGCUACAAUAACUAGUGUUGCUGAAGUAAGACAGAUUCACCAUUGGUGUUCCAAAAAUUGGGAAGUCAAACUUCGACAUAUUUAGCAGAAUGCCAAUAAAGUUGUUGAUUGCAUAGCUAAGGCAAAUGGAGGCGUAAUUGAGCAGCUGGUUAUCUUGGAAGAUCCUCCGAAUUAUGUGAGAUGCUAGCUUGAAGAAGAUAUUAGACAAUCACUGGUGACUGAUGAUAAUUUUCAUUUAGACUGAUGAGCGCUUAAUUUUCUAAGCUUAUGUUCAACAAAAAAAAAAAAUUAAAUGUCUAAAUUGUAAUAGAGUUAACAUUAAGUGUUUAAAAAAUAUCUUAAAAAUUAUUUUUUCCAAUUGCAGUUCAAUUCCACAAAUAUCGAUGAUGAACCCGGACAUAAAAGUUACAAAAAAAAAACACAUCUCUUAUCAAACCAGCAAUCCAUGUCUAAACUUAAAUUAACAAAAUUCGCCACGCAACCCGGUACACUAUUAUAUAUAUAUACUAGAUUUAUUCUAGAUGCACAUGUUUUAUUAUAUUUAAAAAUUAAAAUAUAUGGUUGACUAAGUUUUAGUUGAGUUAGUAUUGGUAUUAUUGUCAUUGUUGGAAAAUGUGAGUUUAACCGUGCUCAAAUGUGUUUUAUCCUCCAAUUCAAGGGUUAGGAAAAGGUUAUUAAUAAUUAAAUUAUACCAACUUUUAUGAUAUUAAAAAAAGGAUUUAUAAAUAAUAUAAGGAAAAGAAAAAAAAAAAAGAGAAACAUAUUCAUAUUGAUGGGCUCUUUCAAUAUUAGACUUUUUCUUUCUAUCACAAGUAAAAAUAUCAAAGGUGAUAAUAAUUAAAUUAAAAAAUUUAAAUUAAAAAAAUGGGGAUUGAAUUUGUAACUUUUAAAGUAUAAAGAAUGAAUUUAUAACUAACAACAUUUUUUAACCACAUAAUAAAAGUAGUUAUGGUAAAAUAAUGACCUGAAUAACUUUAAACGUCUCAUCCUUGCAAAAAUGAAAUAAUAGAAAAGAAAUAAGUGUUGGGUGUAGUGACAAUGUACAUUAUACUUCUAAGGGGAGAUCAGGGUUUUAGACAAGGGAAGAAUUUUAAACCUACUUUUUUUCUCUAGAACUCAACACAAACCUCAAAUUUAUCUUUUUAAAAGAAUUUUAAAAUAUCUAUAUAAAAGGUGAUUUUUUUACCAAUCACACUUAACAAAAUUUUAAAAUUUCUUUUUUUGAAAUUUAAAGUGAUCUAAAAACAUAUUUUUAAGUGUUUUAGACCAUCCAGUGCUGAUUUCUUUAUUAAUUUGAUUUGUUCAAUAUAGAUUUUGGUGACUUAAAACAAAAUUAAUAAAAAAUUAUUUUUUCAGAUAUCUUUUUAAUGUUUAAUAAUUAACUUACAUAAAAUAUGUGUCUAAGGCGGUGAACCACUGAUCAAAUUAAUUUAGAGAUACCUAAAUUUGCUUUCAUCAAUUAAGAAAUUAAAAAAAAAAUUGUUGAGACCUCAUGAUUAUCUUUUAUAAUUUCAGGCUGAUCAACUAUUUUGAAAACAACAAAAACGUCUUACACCAAAAACUAAAAAAUAAAAACGUCGACAUUAAAUUUGUUGGUAUGCAAUCAACUUUAAGAUGGUUUUUGGAGUUAUAUAUCACAUUAGCAUAAUUGACUCACUUUUCUACAGUUAGUCUUCUCCAACAAGUUAAACAUUUCAAUUUUAACAACAUUGACAGUCUUUAGGGUAGGGUCGAGCAAAACUCAAUAGAAACAGAUGAUAUAGGUUGAGUUGGCUCGGCCAAGUAAUUUAUUUUUAAAACAAGUAAUUUAUUUUAAGAGAUCACAAUUAAACAUUAGAUUUCCAAUUUUUUUAAUUUUAAAUUUUUCUGACAAUUGCAUAAUUAAUAAGGUACAAAUUUUGAGCGUUGUAGGAAUGCUAUAACCUUCCCUACGCAUGAUGGAUCCUAGACCUUCUCCUCUAUUCUCAUACUACAAAUUGCUUCGAGUGUGGGUUCGAACAAUCACAAAUUAAACACAAAACCAUAAUUAUUAUUUUCAAUAGAAAAGUAAUUCUCUCUCAAUAGAAACCAAUAGAAUUGUAAUUCCUAGAAAAAUAAAAUUUAUUUUUUGAAAAUAUCUUCUCACUACUCUCUAGCAGAAUAACAAUAUGUGAAACUUAUGUCUUGUUUUAAUAGCUCUAUCGGUACUAUCGAUUUAUAGGGAGAGACACGAGAAUCCUGGUUGAAUUAGUAAAACACAAAUAAUAUUUAUUUCAUAGAAAAAAAUAUUCUACCCUAAGUAGAUCAAGUUUGGAUGACGCAUGGAUCGAAGCUCAAUCUUGGAGAAAAAAAAUAAAGGAAUUUUCUUUGUAAAGAAAAUAUGAGAUUGUACUUUUUUCGAUGUUAUAAAUAAAAUUAUACGCCAAAUUUUCAAGUCAAUUUUCAACUCAAAUUUUGUAUGUACAAAUUUCUAAUACACUUGGUGGGACAUUCUUUGACUUUUAUAUAUUCUCUCAAAAAGUUAAAGUUCAAAGUUGCAUUAAACCCAAAGAAGAUAAUCAUUUGUAAACCAGCUCACAAGCCUGCUUAAGCUAAUCCUACAACUCGUUCCACUUCAUCAUCAAACACCAAUGUUCUUGCUUAUCCUUAUGGAAUUAAACAAAAGACAAAAGCUCUUUAAGAGUUAUUUGAACAGACUUCUUUAACGGUAAAUUACAAUCCACUCUAUGAUGCUUCUUCGCCCAACUCAUGAAUUAAAAGAAGUUUCUACUCAUGGAUCAAGUGUAGCCCGCCAGUUAUCAUUAAGGAGAAAACAGAGUCAAUCAAGUGAAAAUUAUAUUCCAACAUCUCCCCAGAACCAAAUUUCAGAGUGAUGAAUGUCAUGACAACUGACACUACAUUCUUAGAAGAAUAAGUAGAUCUCUAGCAAAAACGAUGGAGAGUCUUACUACAAGCAUAAAAGGAAUGGAUGAUCAAACUGAACAUCUUAGUGGAAGUAACCAAACCUUUUCCAGCGAAACUCAACAUCCUCUUCACAAAGUUGUUGGAAUCAAAAUUGUUGAAGGACUUUAAAGUGUUUCUUUAGAUCAACUCAAGGAGCUUAUUAAAGAAACCAUUAAAGAUCAAGUCAAAAGUGUUGCUUCGCCUUCAUAUACAUACUCGAAGUCAUACAUUUGGAGGAUUUAUCAUUUGAAUAUGCCUGAACAUUAUCCACCUCUAAUACGGCUGUCUGAAUAUAUUCCGAGAAAACACAACAAGAGAAGGGUGAUAGUCUAAUAGAGGAGUACACGACUUUGCUUCAUUGCCCGAGGAUUCAAGUUGACAAAGCUUAUUCAAAAGUCGUCAACGUCUUGACCCUUUUUAAAGAAUCUAACGAGAAUUACGAGGAUAAGUGAGCAGUGAGUCGUAGCCUGGCUCAAGCAAAAAGGAGCUAGUAGAGGCACCUAUUGGAAAAUUCAUGAUAUUUAUCUUAACAUCCGGAUGAAGAAAAGGAUCGAUGUCUUCGCCUAGAGUAUGAGGGCAAAGCUGUAUAUAUAUUCGCUUUAUGUAAAGAGAAUUGUUUUCUAGUAAAGUUGUUCUAACAUAAUUGAAUCAGACUUAACGUCGUAUUCAUUCCAUUCAUCUGCAUUACAUUUCAUUGCAUGCAAAAUUUCACAAAAGGAUACUAAUUAAUCAAAAUUGUUACAGUUACCCUGGAAACUAACGAAAAUCCACCAACUAAAUAUCGCUACGGUAUCCGCUGCAAAACCAAAGAAAUGGAUCAAAGAUUAGAAAGAUUAGAACAAAUGCAAAAAGGUAUGCAAGAUCAGUUGCAAGCGCAACUACAAGAACAAUUAACGAAAGUACAACAGGAGAUGAGGGAUCAGAUACUAGAAUCUCAAAGAAGCAUGAUGAGCCAAUUAACGCAGUUACUAGCCGGAGGGCUUAAAAAAGGGAAAAGCUAAGUGGUCAACAUUGGGGAUGAUAAUGAAGACCUUGCCUAUCCCUCAAGUUUUACCCCGAUAAGUGUCCAGGCCCAACUAGACGCGCGUCUACAAAGGGCACCCGUUACUAUUAGACCCCAACAAUAUCAAACCGGUACCUCGGCACCAGUGAACUACCCAACAGGCUUAGGUUCCAAUCUGGGGGACAAUCCAACCAAUCCUGUAGUUCCUAAUUUAGACGAAAUGGUAGAAAUAAAAAAAAGCAAAGGUGGAACUGCCAAAAAAACUUGAAGAUCGGUAUAGGUGGUUAGAAGAAAAACUCAGAGCAAUGAAAAAUGAUGAUUACCAUUAUAGGGUUGACGCCAAGGAUCUGAGUUUUGUUCCAGAUCUAGUACUCCCACCAAAAUUCAAGACUUCAAAAUUUAAAAAGUAUAAUGAGACUAGUUGUCCUAAAGCUCACAUCACGAUGUUCUGCCGAAGAAUGACAGGAUACGUUAAUAAUGAUCAAUUGUUAAUUCAUUACUUCCAAGAUAGUUUGAUUGGGCCUACUGCCAAAUGGUACAACCAACUGAGCCGUGCUAACAUCCACUCAUGGAAGGACUUGGCACAAACUUUCAUGAAGUAAUACAGCCAUGUAACAGACAUGACACCUGACAGAAUUACACUGCAGAAUAUGGAAAAGAACCAAAGUGAGAGCUUCAGGCAAUAUGCCCAAAGAUGGAGAGAGGUAGCGACAUAAGUCUAGCCACCUUUUCUGGAGAAAGAAACCACGAUGCUUCUCAUCAACACUCUGAAAGCCCCAUUCAUUAACCAUAUGUUGGGAAGGGCUACCAUGAGCUUCUCAGAUAUAGUAAUGUCUGGCGAGUUUAUUGAAAACGCGAUGAGGAGUGGAAAGAUAGACGCGGGAGAAAGCGCCAAAAGAUCAACCCCGAAAAAAAUGAAAAUGAAGCGAAUAAUGUAAGAAAAGGGUAUUCCAAAUCGGUCAUUGUAGGUGAGCCGAGGGCCGUGACUACUAACUAUCAAGCCCUCUUCAGGCAAGAGUCUAACUCGAGGCAAAGCACUGAAAGACUCCAGUUUACACCCAUCCCAAUGACAUAUAGGGAGCUGUAUCGGAAUCUAUUUGAUGCACAUGUGGUAUCCCUAUUCUAUAUGAAACCCAUACAACCUCUAUUUUCGAAAUGGUAUGACGCAAAUGCUCAACGAGAAUACCACGCGGGAAUAAUAGGACACUCAAUUGAAAACUGCACUACAUUUAAAAAGUUAGUUGAAAGGUUUAUUAAGAUGGGCAUCGUGAAGUUUGACGAUCCAUCAUGACCUAAUUUGACAGGAAAUUCGUUACCUAGUCGUCAAGACCCAAGGGUAAACGCAAUAAUUGAGAAUGGAGGAAAGAGAACCAAAACCAACGUUGCAGAAGUAAAAACCCACUGAAAUGGGUUUUGAAACAAAUGAUAGACAUGGAAUUAAUAAUUCAGAAUUUAGAGGAGAUACCAAAAGAGAUGAGGAGCUACUGUGAGUUUCACGCUGAAGAGGGCCAUGAAAUCCAAGAGUGCGCUAAAUUCAAAGUUUUGGUGCAGAGCCUAAUGGAUAAUAAAGAGUUGGAAUUCCUUUAAGAAGUCAAAGGCCUGGAAGGAAUGUUAGGGAAUCUAAACAUUGACGCCGUAUCCAAAAAGGGAGCUGGGGAAGAGAAUUUAUCAGGCAUUUGCCUUUACACACCUGGGAGUGUUUUGACUAAAGGGACUGAGGAAGAGAUCCCUGGAUUUUUUAGACCUAAUUCGGAGUAAUGUCCAAAACACACUUGCUCUAAGCCUAGGAGAAAUAAGAAUCCUUUUGUGAGAUAGGCUUAUGUCCAACAUCUUUAUUUCAAUAAAAUGCAUCCUUGUUUAUCACUUCGAGCAAAUAUUCUUUUAUUGUUUCCAUUUCAUUCAUAAUCAUACCAUAUAAAUAAAUAUUCUCAGAUUCUUUUGUUCUUUGGAUCUUCCUUCAUCCCUAUAACAGGUCUCCAGAUAUCUAUGAUAUGAGUGACUCUGCUAUUGACUCAGAACCUCCUUUUGAGCAAAAUAUGUGUCCAGAGGAACCACAGGACUUUGAAGAUAACCGGGACUAUAACUUAUCUCCUAAUUUGUUAAGGAUGGUAGAACAAGAUGAGAAACAGAUCCUACCUUAUAAAGAAUCAAUAGAAUCCAUGGCCUUUCUCUAUAUAGGGCAUGGAUGUCAUUGAGUUGAUCUUGCCAAAAGCUUCUGGCAGUCAUCAAUUCAUCUUUAUGGUUGUCGAUUACUUCACUAACUGGGUGCAAGCUGCUUCAUAUGCUAAUGUCAAAAAGUCGACAGUCAGCAAAUUCUCAAAAAAAUCAUAUGUCGGUAUGGAAUGCCAAAAAGGAUCACAUCUGACAAUGCACUAACAACAGGGCGAUAAUAGAAGUUUGCAGUCUGUUCAAGAUUAACAUCAUAUCACCCUAAAAUGAAUGGUGUAGUGAGGGCAAAAAAACCUCUACCGGGGCAAUGCCUUUCUCUUUGGCUUAUCGUGGUUUUGCCCAUUGAAUUUGAGAUUCCUUCUCUUGGAGUUUUUUUGGAUCCAAUCCCGACUAAAGAGCAAGGUUCAAAGUUAUCUGUCAUGGUCAAAUGUACCAAAAACAAAUGAUACAAGCUCACCAAAAAGGUUCGCCCCAAAAAAUUCCAUGAGGGUGACCUGGUAUCGAAGAAGAUCCUUCUCAUACAAAAGGACUUUAGAAGAAAGCAGAUGCCAAAUCGGGAAAGACCUUAUCUGGAAGACCUUAUCUGGAAAAGCAUUGAUUUUGACCAGGAAUGAUAACAAGGGAUUGUCUAAUCCUAUGAGUUCAGAUUCAAUCAAAAAUAUUUCAUGAAAAUUAAUAAAAAAAUAGAAAAGAAAAGAAAAAUUAAAAAAAAGAAAGGCCAAGGUGAAAACCCGCAAAAGGUACCUUGAGACUAAAGGGAUUUUGAGUUGAAAACCCAAAAAAGGGCGGUUUAAAUUUUGAUCAAAGUUAAGGCAUGUGGUAGUCUUGUCCUCUCCGAAUUAACGAAAAGGAGGGAUGCUACAUCUUGGGGCAUCAACAAAGUCUUCUAGGACUUCUAAGCACGUAUCAAGUUCAAAGGGUCCUCAAGAAGUUUUGUAUAAAGAAGCUUAUAAUACCCAAUUUUCGCCCGGGCCCAUGCAGAUUAAAUAAACAAAAAAUAAAAACCAAAUAAAAUAAAAUAACAGUCCAAAAGUAAAAAAAAACACAGAAACAUUAGCCCAAUAAAAUCCAACCCAGCUAACCUAACCUAAAUUACCUAGAUACAUUAAGCCCAAUAAGUUAUAAGCCCAAAAUCAGUUACCCAAACCCAAACCCAAACCCAAAUAACCCAACACCAGCCCAAAUCAAAGCUGAAACCCUAGCAGUUUCUGGAACAGUCUAGGCACCGCAUCUCCCUCACGCAAUAUAUGUGCGCCUUUGACUCCUCUCACGUAUGUCGCACUAGAUUCACGCGCGCCUUCUCCAGCCUAUACCUGCAACAACCCCAAAACGAACAGAAACAAAUAGCAAGAAAAAAAUAAAAAUAGAGGAAACUAGAAUAACAGAGAAAAUAGAAAAUAUUAAAUAAUUUUUCUAUUUUUUUGGCUAUAUAAAGCCAUUCAAGACGUUUUAAAACGGAUCCGAUUUUUGAAAAAAAUCAAUAAAAAAAGAAUGAGCAUAUAGCAGAGAUUCGAAGGUGAUUUCAGUUUUUUUUUAUUUUUUUUCCUUUUUUCAUUAUUCAUGUGCUAAAAUGAAAGGAAAGAUGAAUAAAAGAAGGAUGAGCUUACCUGGUGGCCGAUCUUCCUUCUACUCCGUCGCAAUCGGAGUUGGAUGGAAGUUAAAGGCAUGAAACGGCGCACAGAGGGGAGGAGAUUAGUUUUUUAUUAGGGUUGAUUUGUGAAUAAUGAAUGGCUGCUAAUUUUAGGUCUCAGUUUACCUAAUAUGUGACGAAAGAAACGUCGUCGUUUAGGGCCUAUUUCAGUGGCCCUAAAACGACGCCAUUCAGCUGCCAUCAACCCGCACAUUAACCCGAUCCGGUUCCAGAUCUGUGUGUUUUAUAGCGCGUAGGAAAUUUGCGCGAUUGGUCCACCUCUUUUCUAAUGUAUUUAAAUCAAUUUUUUCAUUCCUUUCAAUUUUCCCCCAUAUUUUGCUUUUGUUUCAUUUUGACCCAAGUUGUACACAGCGUUUUGCUGGGAUGGGAAUUAUUUCCCACUUGGUCCCCGAAGUUAGUCGCGCAUUGCAUUCGGCCCCUCUGCUUUAUUGUAUUUUCUUUUUUUUCUUUUCAUUCUACUUUUAGUUUAAUUUAAUCCCUACUAUCUUAAUGUGCUUGAUUUCAUUUAAUUUAUUUAAUUAUUUAAUAUUACAUUAUUUUUUAUACAUUAAUUUUUUUAAUCUAAUAUUAUAUAAUGACUAAACUCAAUAUUUUUUAUCUUAUAUUAUUUUACGUUUUAUGUGUAUUAUUGUUUGAAGUUUUUUUUUCAAAUUUUAGAUUUUUUUUAAAUUUAUAAUGUAUUAUUAUUAAUAGUAUAAAUUUAUUACAUAUCAUUUUUUAGAUUUAUUAUGUAUUGUUGUUUUAAAAUUCAUUAUACAUUGUUAUUUUAAAUUUAUUGUGUAUCAUUACUUAAGUUAAUUGUUUUUAUUUUCUUUUAUGCAAAUUUGAUAUUUAUGGAUAUUUUCUUGAUUUUUUUAUAUUUCUCUUAAUUCAUUUUUUAUAUUUUUUUGUAUUUUUAUAUAAAGAUAUUUUAUAGAAUAUUAUUUUGUAUAUAUACAAUUUAUUUAUUUUAUAUAUAAUUUAUGCUAUAUGUAAACUUUUGUAUAUAUUAUUUAUUUUAAAGAUUUUGUAUGUAUACUUUAUUGAUUUACUAUUUUCUUUCUUUCAUGCCAUUUUUUAGUUAUUUCAAAACUUAUACAUUGGAUUUGCAUUUGUGUUAAUUUGCUUGCUUUAUAGGAUUUACUAGCUUUUAAAAAUGAAUGCUAGUAUUUGCAUAAUGUAUAAUAUGAGAUGGUUGCCCUUAUAUAUGUUGUAUUGUUUAUUUGUAUUUUAUUGAUUUUUCGUUGCUCAUUAGCUUAUAUUUAGCUUACGAAUUUUUCUUUCGCAAUGUACAUUGCCAUCCCAUUGCGUUUUAUUCAUCAAAAAGAUUAUAUUCUAUUUAAAUAUUAAAAUUGUUUUACUCAAAAGCUUUCAGGAUAAUACAAUACUCAAAAUUUGGGGUCUUCGAAAGAAUUGAACCCUAACGUAUUGGGUUCCAAUUUUUCUCGUUGAAUCUAAAUAACCGGAAAUAUUCUUUAAUCAAAACACAUAAAUAAAAAGCUCAUUCUCGGGAAUUCGAUACGUGUGUCCUAAUGCAUUGGAUAUAACAUGUUGUUUUCUCGAGAUGAGGAUUUUUCUAAAUAAAAGCAAUAUUUAGUGUUUGGGAAUUUUGAGAAAUUGAACCCUAACUUACUGGAUUCUGAUUUUUUCGUUUAACCCAAAUAACCAAAUAUUCUUCUCAAAAUGCAUAAGUUUCAAAAGUUAAAAGAUAAACUUAAUUUUGAAGAUUAAACUGUUGCACCCUAACUCACUGAGUGUGACAAUUUAUUCCUUCAAAAUAAGAGUGUCUUAUCAUCCAUUGCAGCUUAUUCAAAUUUUCCUUUCAAAGGAUAGUAUUUUAAAAUAUUUUCAAAUUUUCAACACUAAGAUGUUAAUCAAUCAAUUCGAUACCAAUUUUGGGCGUUACAAGGUUGCUAACCCUUCCUCGUGCUUAACCGACUCCCAAACCUAUUUUCUCAAAUUUCAUAGACCAAAAUUGUUAUUGUAAUAAAUCAAACUGUUUUAUUAAAAUCUCAAGGUGAUCCGAUCACACCUCGAAAAAAGAUUGGUGGUGACUCCAUGUUCAUUUUUAAAAGUCGAUCCCCAUUUUCAAAUAAAAGUGGUUUUGAUAGCUUAGCGACUCCACUUGGGAAACUUGAGAGUCAAGCCGUAAAAUUGAUUGUUUUUUGUCUUAUUGUUGAAAAUUGAAAUUUUGAUUUGAAAAAUUACGAUCCUAAUUACAUUUAUUUGUGGUAUGAUUGCUGUAAAUUGAGUUUUAUAUCUUGGCAUCAUGUUGCAUCAAGAAUGCUUAGUCUUACCUUUUAAGUGGGAGUGAGAAACUAGUCCUUCGUGAGGUUUUCACCUCCGUGCAGGAUAGCGGAUCACUUUCAGGAUACAUUCGUACCUAUGUCUUCAUGAGAUUUUCAUCUCUGUGCAGCCAUAGGGAAAUGUAUUCCCUUGAACCGAACUCGGUCCGCAUGAGCCUAUAAUGGGUGAGGAUCGAGGAAUCUGCUGGUUCGGGUACCUUUGCCCUAGAAGCCAAACCACAUAUAGUGAACCUUAGGAACUUGCCCUAGAUAGAACUAUGCCAAACCCCUAGAGGUCACCCGAGUAGGUACUCUAUUUAUUCUCUUGUUUACUUUUACUUUGUACUAACUGGUUUUUGUUUUGUUUUUAUUAUGAUUGCAUUACAUUUGCAUCUUAGAAAAGAGGUGUUGAUUCAAGUUUGAUUACUAAAUUAGAGAGCUUGUCAUGGAAAUCGAAUUUUUUGAUAAAGUGGAAGAUAAUACGGUUGCCUGAAUAUAUUCCGAGAAACACAAGAAGAGUGAUGGAGGAAUACAUGACUUUACUUCGUGGCCUGAGGUUUCAAGCUGAUUAUCCAAGAGCCUUCGACAUUUUAACUUCCUUAAAGAAGCUGAUGAGCAUUACGAGGAUAGGCAAACGAUGGAUUGCGACCAUGAUCAAGAAAAAGGAGUUAGUAGCGGCAUCCAUUGGAAAUUCGCGAGAUUUAUCUUAACAUCCAGAUGAAGAAAGAUCGAUGUUGUCUUUUGGAGUAUGAAGGCGGGGCCGUACAUGCAUCCGUUUUAUGUAAAAAAGUUUGUUUUCUAGUAAAGUUUUCUAAAUGUAAUUGAAUCAGAAUCAACAUCUCUUUAGGCAUUCAUUUCAUGCAUUUGCAUUACAUGAUAUCAUAUGCAUUAAAAUCCACUAAAAGAGUCUAAUUGAUUAAAAUUAUUUCAGUUAAUUUGGAAAACCAACACCCUUACGGUACCCAGGCACAGACUAGAGAAAUGGACCAAAGGUUGGAGAGAUUAGAGCAUAUGCAAAUACAAAUGCUAGAGCAAUUGACCAAAUUUCAACAGGAUAUGAAAGAUCAGAUGCUAGAAUUUCAAAGAAAUAUGAUGAGCCAGUUAACCCGGUUGCUAGCUGGAGAGUUAGAAAGAGGGAAGGACUCAGUCGUCCACUUUGGGGUUGGUAAUGAGGAUCUUGCCUAUUCCUUAGGUUUUACCCCGAUAGGUGUCCAGGUCCAGCCAGAUGAGCAUCCACAAGGGGCACUCCUUAAUAUCAGAUCCCAACAAUAUCAGACUGGUACAUCAACACCAGUGAAUUGCCUGACAGGCCCAAGAUCCAAUCUGAGGAACAAUUUAGCUAAUCCUGUUGCUCUGGAUAGUCCAGCAGAAAUAAAACAAGCGAGUGUAGAGUACCGAGAUACUAUAAAGGCCUCAAGGAAGAAUGGGAAUAAGGGGGAUAAUUCAGACAGAUAUAACAAGGGUCACUCAAAACUAAUCACUGUGGGCCGGCCAAAGAUAGAAACCACUAGCCAUCCGAGCCCUUUAAAGCGAGAAUCUUGCACGAAGACAUAUACAGAAAGGCCUCAGUUCACGCCUAUACCGAUGUCAUAUAGCGAGCUAUAUUAGAGCCUAUUUAAUGCACAUGUCAUUGCCCCUUUCUACUCAAAAUUUACAACCUCCAUAAAUGGUACGACACGAAUGCACAGUGGGACUACCAUGCAGGAAUUACAAGGCAUUCCAUACUUAUACAUUGGAUUACGAAUAUUAUUUUUAUAUAUUUUUUAUAUAUAUUUUUUGUAUUUUUAUAUAAAGAUAUUUAAUAGAAUAUUAUUUUGUAUAUAUACAAUUUAUUUAUUUUAUAUAUAAUUUAUGCUAUAUGUAAAUUUUUGUAUAUAUUAUUUAUUUUAAAGAUUUCGUAUGUAUACUUUAUUGAUUUACUAUUUUCUUUCUUUCAUGCCAUUUUUUAGUUAUUUCAAAACUUAUAAAUUGGAUUUGCGUUUGUGUUAAUUUGCUUGCUUUUUAAGUUUUAGUAGCUUUUAAAAAUGAAUGUUAGUAUUUGCAUAAUGUAUAAUAUGAGAUGGUUGCCCUUAUAUAUGUUGUAUUGUUUAUUUGUAUUUUAUUGAUUCUUCAUUGCUCAUUAGCUUAUAUUUAGCUUACGAAUUUUUCUUUCGCAAUGUACAUUGUCAUCCCAUUGCAUUUUAUUCGUCAAAAAGAUUAUAUUCUAUUUAAAUAUUAAAAUCGUUUUACUCAAAAGCUUUCAGGAUAAUACAAUACUCAAAAUUUGGGGUCUUCGAAAGAAUUGAACCCUAAUGUAUUGGGUUCCAAUUUCCUCAUUAAAUCUAAAUAACCGGGAAUAUUCUUUAAUCAAAACACAUAAAUAAAAAGCUCAUUCUCGGAAAUUCGAUAUGUGUGUCCUAACGCAUUGGAUAUAACAUGUUUUUUUCUCGAGAUGAAGAUUUUUCUAAAUAAAAGCAAUAUUUGGUGUUUGGGAAUUUCGAGAAAUUGAACCCUAACUUACUGAAUUCUGAUUUUUUUGUUUAACCCAAAUAACCAAAUAUUCUUCUCAAAAUGCAUAAGUUUCAAAAGUUAAAAGAUAAACUUAAUUUUGAAGAUUAAACUGUUGCACCCUAACUCACUAAGUGUGACAAUUUAUUCCUUCAAAAUAAGAGUGUCUUAUCAUCCAUUGCAGUUUAUUCAAAUGUUCUUUUCAAAGGAUCGUAUUUUAAAAUCUUUUCAAAUUUUCAACACUAAGAUGUUAAUCAAUCAAUUCGGUACCAAUUUUGGGCAUUACGAGGGUGCUAACCCUUCCUCGUGUGUAACCGACUCCCGAACCUAUUUUGUCAAAUUUCGUAGACAAAAAUCGUUAUUUUAAUAAAUCAAAAUGUUUUAUUAAAAUCUCAAGGUGAUCUGAUCACACCUUGAUAAAAGAUUGGUGGCAACUCCAUUUUCAUUUUUAAAAGUCGAUCCCCGUUUUCAAAUGAAAGUGGUUUCGACAAAGCUUAUGCUACGAUAUCUGGGGCACCUAUUUUCAUCUUAUUCAUUUCAUAUCUUAGCAAAAUUUGAUAUCUUGAUUAAUUUAUUCAUUUCGAGCUUUGCUCUCAAUAAAAUUUCAUCUUGUCUAUUGUGAUAAUCUUUUUCAAGCAUUUUUCAUUAAAAUAAUGAUUAAUGGACUAACAAUACUUAAGGAAAAGGAGUUCUGAAUAUUACUCCAAAUGCUUCUAAAUAGUACGAGGACCUGAAAUAGAACUAUUAUUUAGAACUAACCAAACCUAAGGGUUGGAAACAUUUGAGAAAGAAUAGCCUAAAUUAUGGCUAUUUCUUUGAGUUUUCUAUAAAAAAUACCAGCUGAGUAAGAAGGUAGCGUAUACGUCAGUGAUAAAACCUUGAUGAAGAACGAGCAAUGUCAACCCAAGCAUUAAAAGGAGAUCAUUCUCAAAAAAAGAAAAAGAAAAAAAAUGACAUUCUGUAUCCAUGCAAAUAUUAUUUAGGAGUAUUUGAUUCAUUCUGAUUAUGACAUCCUAAUCACUUGGCAUAAAUAGGCCCGUGAAAUGGACUCUACAAGUCAUGUCACCCAAAGAAUGGUGUAACAGGUUAAUGAAGCCGCUAAUCCUAUACCCCUGAAGUUGCAAUGGGAUGGAUUGAAGAUCAUAUUAAACCUUAUCUCCCUGAAGUUGCAAUGGAACGGGUUGAAGUUACUAGUCUUAUCUCCCUGAAGUUGUAGUGGAGUAGACUGAAGAUAGAGAAUCUUAUUUCCCUGAAGUUGUAGUGGAACGAAUUGAAGUUAUAAAUUACAGAUCUUAUCUCUCUAAAAUUGCAGUAGAGCAGAUCAUAGCAAACCUUAUCUCCUUGAAGUUGUAGUGGAGCAGACUGAAGAUAGCGAAUCUUAUUUCCCUGAAGUUGUAGUGGAACGGAUUGAAGCUAUAAAUUGCAGAACUUAUCUAUAUGAAGUUGCAGUAGAGCAGAUCAUAUUUUAUCUCCUUGAAGUUGCAGUGGAACAGGUUAAAAAUAAGCCAAUCUUAUCUCUUUAAAGUUGCAGUGGAGCAUAUUGAAGAUAGGCUACAAAUCUUAUCUCUCUGAAGUUGCAGUGGAGCAGAUUAAAGCCACAAACCUUAUCUCCCUGAAGUUGCAGUGGAGCAGAUUAAAGCCACAAACCUUAUCUCCCUGAAGUUGUAGUGGAGCAGAUUAAAGCCACAAACCUUAUCUCCCUGAAGUUGCAGUGGAACAAGUUAAAAAUAACCAAUCUUAUCUCCCUGAAGUUGUAGUGGAGAAGAUUGAAGACAUGCUACAAAUCUUAUCUCCUUAAAGUUGCAGUGGAGUAGAUUAAAGCCACAAACCUUAUCUCCCUAGAGUUGCAGUGAAACAGGUUGAAGAUAGCAAUCUUAUCUCCCUGAAGUUGCAGUGGAGUAGAUUGAAGCCAUUAAUCCUAUCUCCCUGAAAUUGCAGUGGAGUGGAUUAAAACGAUGAAUCCUAUACCCUAUACCUCUGAGGUUGCAAUAGGUCGGAUAAAAUCUACCAUAGCAAGUCUUAUCUCCCUAAAGUUACAGUUAAGCAGACUCAAACUGCGAGUCUCAUCUCCCUGAAGUGGCAGUGGGUUAGAACAAGGUUACUUGAAGAAGAUGAGCACCAAGAGAUCGAGAUUCGACAAGACCAAACAAAAUUGGUCUUUCUUAAAAGUCUUUGCUCCGUUCUCAUUACACGACAACGAGCAAAGAUGGGCAGCUAUAGCAGGCCCAAUUUGCCCAAGCCCAGAACCAAAUAAAUAAAACCAAAAAAUAAAAGAGUCCAAGUCCAAAUUAUUACAAACACAAAUUAAAAACCCUAGUGGCCCAACAAACCCAAAGCCUAAACAUCUUUUCAGAAAAAAAGAAACCCUAGGCUUGCCCUUCAACCGCCGCUCCUCCCACGCACGCCACCACUGCCACACGCCAUCCUCCACGCGCCUAGUACCUGCAAACAAGAUAAAAAAGCACAACAGACACAGAGAAAAAAAUAGUAGCAAAAAGAGUUGUAUUUUUUGGCUAUAAAAGCCAUGAUUCAUCAAUGUAUUUUUUACAGACAUAAAAUCAAUACAAAAAACGAGCAAUCAGAAACAAAAUUUGAAAAAAAGGUGGUUCUUUUGUUUACUUAUUUUUCUUCUUUUCUACUGAUAUUUCUACUAGUUUUUAAGGAAAAUAAAAAAGAAAGGAGUCGAAUCUUACCUUUUUCUCAUAUUUUCACCGCCGAAAAUGGCUGAGGUCUAUCCAUUCUAAUGAAAAUCGAUAAUUUUUUGGGCUCAUGGAGUAGAAGAGCCAAAAAUGGCCUUUUUGGAUUUUUUGGCCACCGUGGACGGCGAUGCCGUCGCCGGUGACUGGUGUCCGGCACGAUGGCCGACGACCGGGACCAUGGCCGGACUUGAAGGGCUUUAAGAGAAAAAGAAGGGAUUUCAAAAUUUCAUUUAAAAACUCAAGCAGAAUGAAGGAUUUAAAUUUUUUUUUGUUUAUAUAGCAAGGCCAAACGACGUCGUUUUGGCCAGUGAGCAUAGGUUCCAAAACGGCGUCGUUUUGGCCUAACCUGAUUUUUGACCUGCCCCUGUUAGAGGAUCCGCGUGUUUUUUUGCAAAAUGGGUUAUUUACACGCUGGUCCCUUCCGUUUUUAUGGCCUAUUGCGAUUUGGUCCCAUUUUUUUCUAUUUUAAAUUUCCCCUCAUAAUUUUAUUUUUAUUUCAUUCAGGUCCUUUACAGAAUGGCGCGAUUAGAGGACCUGGGAUAAUUUCCCAGUUAGUCCUGUUUCUUUUGCGCGCAUUCCAGUUGGGGCCCUAUUUGCCACUUCUAUUUUAAUUUAUUAUGAUUUAUGCCCUUAAUUUUGUUUUGAUUUCAAUUUGAACCUAAUUUGUUUAGAUUCAUUAUCUAUUUAUUACCAUUAUUUGUUUGCAUUUUUUUAUAUACCAUAAUUUAAUAAUAAUAAAAAACAUUAACAUUUAUAUAUUUGUUUGAUUCUUUCCUUGUUUAUUUAUAUAAUAUUUGAAUUCAAACCUUAUUCAUAUUUGACUUAUCAAUUUAUCAUUUUUUUAAACAUUUAAAUUUAAUAUUAUUUUAUCUAUUUGUUCAUUUUUUUUACUUUUAAAAUAAUUAAAUUUAAUAUUAUGUAUUAUUUCAAAUUUUUUAACAUAUGUAUUUAUUUGCACAAUUUCAACCCUUAAUCAAAUUUUCAUUUAUCUUAUAUCUUUUUCGUGUCAUCAUUUUGUUAUUACUCCAAUCAUGUCAUGAGCCGUGUUUAAACAUUUUUCUUUACACUAGAAUCCAAAAAAAUAAAUAUGUAUAGUUUUAAAUAUUACAUGUGUAUUUAUUCAAAGACUUUUGGGAAUAAAGGUAAUAUUUCGUGUUUUGAGCUUCGAGAAAUUGUGCCCUAACUCACGGGGUUUCAAUUCUCUCGUUGAACUCAAAUAACCGAUUAUCCUUUAAAAUUAAAAUAACAAAAUUUAAAAUAAAAAAAGACAAGCUCAUUCUCAAAGGUUCAAGGUGUUGUGUCCUAACUUACGGGAUGUAAUAUUUUGCUACUUCGGGACGAGAAAGUCUUAAACGCGCGUUUUGACUUAUCCAAGCUAUUUUAACUAAAAAUAACAUUAAUAAAAAAGGAUCGUAUUUUCAAUUCUUUCCAAGUUUUCAACUUUCGACAUUAAGACAUUGAUUAAUCAAUUAGGUACCAAUUUUGGGCGUUACGAGGGUGCUAAUCCUUCCUUGUACGUAAUCGACUCCUGAACUCAUUGUUCUGAAUCUCGUAGACCAAAAUUGUUAUUUUAAUAAAUUAAAUCAUUACAAGGUGACCGAUCACACCUCAUAAAACUGAUAGGUGGCGACUCCCGUUUUAGUUUUUGUUUUUAAAUGAAAAGUCGACCCCUCUUUUUAAAAAAAAAUGGUUUCGAUGCACACCACACAUUUUCAAAAUAAAUCAUAUUAAAAUUAAUCCUAAUUGCAUGCCUUUUUAAACAUACCAUAAAAAAUGAAGUAAAAAAAUUCAUGUUUAGGUCACCUGCGAACCCACCCACAAAGAAACCUAGCAGCUCACAUCAACCUGGUAAGCACCAGCUCGAGACCUACUCGCGACCCCAGCUCAUUGCUAGCCCUACGAACCACUAGUUUGCUACUAUCCUGCGAUCCCAAAAGAUUGACGAACCUAGACACACAACUCCCCUUUUGUUUUAACAAACUACUCAGGUGGAUGGCUCACUCGCGAACUCCUCUAUUGUAUUAAAUGCUUGCAAUCACUCCUAAUAUAUUGUGCUUGAGUUGUAACAGAGCCAAUCGUCAACGUGCCAUAAUGAUCUAUUGAUGCUGAAAUUGAAGUUUUUGUUAUAUUGAUAGAGCUUGUCCUUCAACGCAUACAACGUGUUUGUUAUUUUUUUCCUUCAAAUUGUAUGAUCUUAUUCAUUAUAUGAAUUAAUGAAUUUCCCUUUUAAAAAGAUAUAUUUUUAAAAAUUAAAUACUUUAUAAAAUAUUUAAAACUAUUUAAAAAAUUGUAAGCCUUAAAACAAUCUACAAAAUAUAUUUUUCUCUAAAAAAAAUCAAUAAAAGUAUGUUUGAAAUUUUAUAUGAAAUCUUCUUCACAUUACUCCACAUAAUCCAUUAAAAAAAACUUAAAAAGUAUAUUUUAUUAAUUACUAUAUAUUCUUUUAUUUUUAGAAUAAUAAAUUGUUUAAAAUAUGCUACUAGUCCCUAUAAUUCACAAGUUAAAAGUAUUUGGGAUAUCUAGUGCAUCAAAUUCCUCCUUUUAUUAUUAAAUGUUUUAUUUUAGUUACUCUAAUUAAAUAUAUCCAAAAUGUAAUAGAGUUAACAUUUAUUAUAUAAAAAUAUUUUAAAUAUUUUUUCAAUUGCAGUUUAAUUCUAGUAGAAAUAUUUCAUUUAUAAAAUCAUAAAACUUUAAAAAUAUUAACUCUGUUAAAUAAAAAAUGAUGUUUUUUAAACAGUAAAUGUUGACUUUAUUAACACAAAUGGGUCUUUAGGGUAAAACUUCAGUAAUUGACGAGCUCUUCCACAAACUGUGGAUGAUAUGGGGAUAAGAACUUCAAUUAUUCUGGAGUUAAAGUGUAAAUUUACCACUAUAUUAUAAGUAAAUAUUGAAAUUUAUCUCUAUAUUUUAAUUGAUACUUGUCAUUACACUUUGAAAAUAUAAGUAAAUUUACCAUUUAACUCAUAUGAGAUUGAACUUUGCAAGUAAACUUAAAAUUUUAUUUAAUUUUGUCACUAAAUUUGAUUUAUUUAAUUAAAUUUACAACUCAACAUAGAUUUUGGUGACUUAAAACAAAAUUAAUAAAAAAAACUAUUCUUUCAGAUAAUUUUUUAGUGUUUAAUAAUAAGUUGAUUUAUAAAAUAUACUUUCAUUGGACACAAGCAUCCAAGGCGGUGAACAAACCACUAGUCAAAUUGAUUUGGAGAUAUAUUUUUUUCUAAGUCAAGUGAAUUUAUGAGUUUUGCUUUUUUUUUUAAAAUAUUUUUAAUAUUUUCGUGCAUAUCAAGAGAUGCCAAAAAUUAUUUCACUAAGGAAUUAAUUAGUGUUUUAUUUUAAGGGUUCACAAUUAAGCAUUAGAUUUUUCAUUUUUAAAUUUAGAAUUUUUUGACAAUUGCGUAAUUAACAAGUACUACUUUUGGGUGUUGUAGGGUUAUUACAAUCUUCCCUGCACAUAACGGAGUCUUAAACCUACUUUUUUCUCUAGAACUCAAUGCAAACCUCAAAUUUAUCUUUUUAAAAGAAUUUUAAAUGCUUGCAAUCACUCCUGAUAUAUUAUACUUGAGUUGUGACAAUGUCAAUUGCCAAUGUGCCAUAAUGUUCUAUUGAUGCUGAAACUAAAGUUUGUUAUAUUAAUAGAGCUUGUCCUUCAACGCGUAUAAUGGGUGUUUGUUAUUUUUCUUUUUCAAAUUGUAUGAUCUCAUUCAUUAAAUCAAUUAAUGAAUUUCCCUUUAAAAAAUAUAAUUUUAAAAAUUAAAUACUUUAUAAAAUAUUUUAAACUAUUUACAAAAUUGUAAGCAUUAAAACAAUCAACAAGAUAUAUUUUUCUCUAAAAAAUAAAUAAAAAUAUGUUUGAAAUUUUAUAUGAAAUUUAAAAUUUUUUAACAAUAAUAUAUUUUAAAAUUAUUUACACCUUUUUUUAUAUAUUUUUCCUAACAUAUCAUUAUUUUUCCUAAUAUAUUAUAAAGUUUCUAAUUGUAUAGCUAAGGCAGAUGGAGACAUAAUUGUGGAAGUUUGACGAAUAAAAAUUUUAAUUUUAGAGGUUUAAAUUAUAAUUUUUUGAAAGUUUAAAAUAAAUUUAUAUUUUUUAUUAACAAAAUAUAAAAGAUAAAAAAACAUUUUUAGAGAAGCCAAGAAACCUUUGGGAUCAUACGGGUGAUUUUGAUGACGUUAAUGGUUAUUUUGGUGGAAAGGGUGAAAAAGAAACAAAUGACUCAUAUAUAUAAUAUAAUUAUGAAAUUCAAGCCAUAUAUUGGAUGUUUCAUACAUAAAAAUUUCAUGGGAGGUCCAAAGGUAAUUAAAUGACUUGUAGGCUUGCUGAAUUUCUUUGAAAGGCCCAAAGGCAAUUUAAAAUUCACAAAAUAAUCUCUAAAUACUGUAAAGACAAAUCAAAUCCACAGCAGCAUUUGCAAAUAUUACUUUGAUUUUGCAUGCAAUAUUGGCAAAACCCCCUCUUACAUUAGAAAAACAACAUAAUCCACGUAACAUUGAUAGCCCAAUACAAAUUUCAUCAAGAAAAAAGUCUCUUUGUUUUGUAGAACGUGAUAGUAAAGAUGUGGAGUUUCGUUCUUCUUAUUGGCCUCCUUUAGUUUUCCUUGAUCAACAGCCACAAGCCAAAAACACAAUUAGAUUAGAUUAUGAAUGAUACUUUCAACUAUGACAAUAUUAAAUACAAAACACUCCAAAUAACUCUAAAUAAAUGUAAAGCAGCAAAUUACCUGACGAGGCAAGCUAGCUCAAUNNNNNNNNNNNNNNNNNNNNNNNNNNNNNNNNNNNNNNNNNNNNNNNNNNNNNNNNNNNNNNNNNNNNNNNNNNNNNNNNNNNNNNNNNNNNNNNNNNNNNNNNNNNNNNNNNNNNNNNNNNNNNNNNNNNNNNNNNNNNNNNNNNNNNNNNNNNNNNNNNNNNNNNNNNNNNNNNNNNNNNNNNNNNNNNNNNNNNNNNNNNNNNNNNNNNNNNNNNNNNNNNNNNNNNNNNNNNNNNNNNNNNNNNNNNNNNNNNNNNNNNNNNNNNNNNNNNNNNNNNNNNNNNNNNNNNNNNNNNNNNNNNNNNNNNNNNNNNNNNNNNNNNNNNNNNNNNNNNNNNNNNNNNNNNNNNNNNNNNNNNNNNNNNNNNNNNNNNNNNNNNNNNNNNNNNNNNNNNNNNNNNNNNNNNNNNNNNNNNNNNNNNNNNNNNNNNNNNNNNNNNNNNNNNNNNNNNNNNNNNNNNNNNNNNNNNNNNNNNNNNNNNNNNNNNNNNNNNNNNNNNNNNNNNNNNNNNNNNNNNNNNNNNNNNNNNNNNNNNNNNNNNNNNNNNNNNNNNNNNNNNNNNNNNNNNNNNNNNNNNNNNNNNNNNNNNNNNNNNNNNNNNNNNNNNNNNNNNNNNNNNNNNNNNNNNNNNNNNNNNNNNNNNNNNNNNNNNNNNNNNNNNNNNNNNNNNNNNNNNNNNNNNNNNNNNNNNNNNNNNNNNNNNNNNNNNNNNNNNNNNNNNNNNNNNNNNNNNNNNNNNNNNNNNNNNNNNNNNNNNNNNNNNNNNNNNNNNNNNNNNNNNNNNNNNNNNNNNNNNNNNNNNNNNNNNNNNNNNNNNNNNNNNNNNNNNNNNNNNNNNNNNNNNNNNNNNNNNNNNNNNNNNNNNNNNNNNNNNNNNNNNNNNNNNNNNNNNNNNNNNNNNNNNNNNNNNNNNNNNNNNNNNNNNNNNNNNNNNNNNNNNNNNNNNNNNNNNNNNNNNNNNNNNNNNNNNNNNNNNNNNNNNNNNNNNNNNNNNNNNNNNNNNNNNNNNNNNNNNNNNNNNNNNNNNNNNNNNNNNNNNNNNNNNNNNNNNNNNNNNNNNNNNNNNNNNNNNNNNNNNNNNNNNNNNNNNNNNNNNNNNNNNNNNNNNNNNNNNNNNNNNNNNNNNNNNNNNNNNNNNNNNNNNNNNNNNNNNNNNNNNNNNNNNNNNNNNNNNNNNNNNNNNNNNNNNNNNNNNNNNNNNNNNNNNNNNNNNNNNNNNNNNNNNNNNNNNNNNNNNNNNNNNNNNNNNNNNNNNNNNNNNNNNNNNNNNNNNNNNNNNNNNNNNNNNNNNNNNNNNNNCUAUACAUAAUAGUUAAGACUAUUAGUACGACGACAAUACCAAUUGUUGGUAAACCAUACCUAAAAGCAUGCAAUAUAAUCAUUUGGGAGUUUUUGUGGAUGUCGUUUUUGCAGGGUGGGACUAGCAAUCUAGGUGGACCACAAAGUGCAUAAUUCUUCAUGAAUGAUGUGCUAGAAAAUUUUGAAAAACAUCCUUCGCUGGGAAUUUCCCCUUCAAGUCUAUUGAAAGACACAUUAAAAUACUUUAGAUAUAAAAGCUUUUCCAAAGAUUUGGGAAUGACUCCAGAGAGAUUGUUAUUGGAUAAAUCCAAGAAUUCCAAACUAAUCAACCCAUCAAAUGAUUCAGGGAUAUGACCAUGUAGUAUAUUAUUUGAUAAAUCGAAUGAAACCAAAGUGUGAAGACCCCCAAAUGUGGAUAAGUUAUCGCCCAUGAGAAGAUUCCUUGAUAAAUUUAGUCUCAGUAGACUCCUAAAAUUUCCAACAUCAAUAGCAUGCGAAUUGUGAAGAUGGUUUGAUGAUAAAUCUAUUUCUAAGAUAUUUUUAAGAUUCCACAAAGUUGAGGGUAUUGUGGAACUCAAUUUAUUGGAAUCUAUGUGAAGAUAUCUCAAAGAAGUAAUAUUACCCAAACAAGAGGGUAUGGAUCCAUGCAGCUUAUUCAACCUUAAAAAUAAGUUGUAUAAUCUCUCCAAAUCACAAAGGCUUUCUGAGAUGGGCCCUCCUAAUUUAUUAGAGGAAAGACCUAGACUUUGGAGAUUUCGCAGUUCUAAAACCAACAUAUUGGUUAAGUUACCUAUUUCAAUAGGAAUAAUGCCUUGAAGCUUACACCCAUCGGCAAAAAAGUAUUGAAGGGAUUUUGAAAGGUUCCCAAUAUAAGUAGGAAGAAUGCCACUCAAUGGAUUUCCUGAAACUGAUAUGGUUUUCAAAUUCUUACAAUUCGUAAAAGAAGAAAGAAAGCUCCACUCAUGAUCAGUAGCAGAUCCUGUGAUCAAAUUAUUGUCAGAGAUUUGAAGCACUUCAAGGUGUUGUAAGCUGCCAAGCAUUUUAGGGAUUGGGCCAGAGAAUAAGUUUUGUGACAAGUCUAGUAUCUUAAGCAUGGAAGCAUUGGAGAUAGAGUUGGGAAUGUUUCCGCUAAGUUUAUUUGUCCACAAUAAAAGAAUCUGAAGCUUUGGAGCAUUGGUGAUGGGUGGUAAAUUACCUAUAAAAUAGCAUCUUUUAGUAUACAUAUUCAUUGAAUACCAAAUUCACAAAAUAUAUAAUACAUUAAUAAUAAGAAGUUUUGAGUAGUAAUUAGUCCUUGUGAUUUGUAUAGACAAAACAUAUAAUACACUAAUAAUUUUUUAAAAUAUUGUAAAACUUGAAAUAAAAUAAAAAUAAAAGUUUGGCAUGAGAAUGUGGCAUCUAAUCAAUCUUAAAAAUGAGACUGACACUGAAUAAUAAUUAGUUAUGAUUUGGGAAACAAAAAUGUUAAAGCCAUUAUUUAUCUUUAUUAAAUUAUAGUGUAAAAUUUAAAGAUUAUUAUUUGCUCAAAAUUGUUGUAUUUUUCGUAUAUUUGAAAUUUAAUCUUUAUAUUUUUUAUUUUCUGUGAUUUAGUCUCUCUACUUUUUGAAUUGAAAAUUUUAGGUUGAUUCAUUAACACUGUUAAAAAAGUUUUUGUGUUAGUAUGGCAUUUUGAAAAAUAAAAUAAACUUGAUAUCUAUGUUUUUAAUUAUUCCAAAUAUUGUUUUACUAUUUCAAGAUAAAUUAUUUGUGUCUAGACCAAUAUCUUAAGAACUAUUGUUGCAUGUUUAAUUAUUCUAAAGAAUUGUUAAUUGAGUCUUAGCUUGAUUGGCAUGUGUAUUGUUAUCAAUGUAGGAGAAUGUGGGUUCAAGUAUACUGAAGUGUAUUAUCCUCUUAUUUAUAAAUUGGGGAGUUGAUAAAGUAUUAAAUUUUGAUAUAUUUUAAAAUAUUAAAAAUUUAUUAAAAUAAAUUUUAUAAAAAUUGAUUGUACCACAAUAUAAAAUUUUAAUAUAAAAUUUUUAAUUUUUUUAAAAAAUAUUAGCGACUAUAUACUUUAUUUCAAGUUACACAAUUUUUACUAGUUUUUAACUUUUUAAAAAAAAAUUUUAACGUCUUUUAUAAUUUCUAAUAAUUUUUUAUAAUUUUUUACAAUAUUUAAAAAUUUCUACCAAUUUUUAAUAAUUUUAUUAUUUAUUACAAAUUUAAAAUUAACAAAUUUUUAUUUUUUAAACAAUUAUAUAUUUAUAAUGUAGUUAUUUUUUAUAUAAUUUUACUUGAAAUUUUAAAGAUUUUUUUGGUUUUUUUCUAGAUGAUGAUGCCAUCAUGAUGUCAUCAUAUACCACAUGGCAAUUUAUGAUUAGUUGGAUAUCUCAAGCUAUUUUUUAAUGUCCAAUGGACUAAACCAAGAACACCUAAUAAUGUUAGAGACUACACUAGCAAUGUUUGAUAAUAUUAGGUACUAAAGUGGGCAAAAAAAAAUAUUAAGGACCAAAGUAAAAAAAAAAAAGAAAAGAAAAAAAAAUGCUGUAGGGAAUAAACUGUGCAUUAAACCAUUAAAAAUAUAUCAAUAAUAUAUAUAAAUGCAUGGAUUUUUUGAAACUUUUGAACUGAUAAUUAUAUAGUCUUUGUUGUUUACUAUAUUAUUGAAUUUAUUAUUUUAAAUAUAUAUUCUUUUACUUUUAAGAUUUAUAUAAGAAUUUUGGUUUUCCUAAAAUAUUUGGUUAAGUAAAUUCACUUCAUAAGAAAAUUUAGCAUCCUUAUAAAUAACAAUUUUGAUUAUAUUAAAAAAAUUAUUUUAAAAAUAUAUAAUAAUAAAUUAAAAUUUAUAUUGAAUUACUUUAUACUUCAAUUAUUAUUAGAAACUUUAUCAUACACGUACGUGUAUAAGAAUCACGUAUUUAGAACAUCAAUUUGUGUUUUAAAAUAACUUAUGAUAAAUAAUGAAAUGUAUAAUUUGAAACUAUUUAAUAAUAACACAUGGCAUAUCUACCAUAUUAAAAUAAAAUAGAUUAAAUUGUAAGUAAAAUAUAGUUUAAACAUAUGAAUACAUCGAAUUAAGAAUACUAAAUGAAUACAGUUAUUUAUGAUGAUGUUGUUGUCAAUUCCUAAGUUGGUGUCGAGUUAAUUUGUGACAUCAUAUAUUUAAGUGAUAAAUUUAAGGUUUUAUGUAUUGAUGUGGAUUCAAAUAUCACCAUAACUUAUUUAAAAUAAAAAACUAAAUUACCCCAAAUAAUAUAACUUAUUUUAAAUAAAAAAAUGAUUAUAUUCAACACUAAAUCAAUUUUUAGAUUUUGUACAAAUGAUUUAAUGAUGAUAAAAACAUUAUUACCACUAUUUUUGAAUUAACAAAAAAUUAGUGAUAUAUUUUAAUUUUAAUUUUUUUAUUUUUUAUUGUAUACUAAAUAUGGUACAUAUACUUUAAUUAUAACUUGAAAUUUUAUUAUAUAAAUUAAUAUAUUUUAAUUAUAUUCAACCAUUUGAAUAACAAAAUAAAAAAAAACUAAUUAGAAUAAUUUAAAAAAAAUUAUUUAAAAGCUAGUUAAAAAUCACGUGGUGCAACAGGUGAUAUGAGAAUCUAUGUAUAUAAAUGUAUAUGUAUAUAUAUCGUUCUUUCAUUUUUUAAAAUAAAUAUAUUUUCCACAUUGGUUUCUUUUGUUAUACAGACAAAUGAUUUCUAAUGAUUUUUUAAAAAAAAUGUACUUAUAUAAAAUAGAUUAGUUUAUGAAAUAAAAAAUAAUUUAUUUUUUAAAGUUUAAUGGAAAUUAAAAAUUAAAAAUAAAUCAAUUCAUAUAGAUCUUAUUAUUUAUUAUCAAAUUAAAAUGAUAAAAGUAUAUGACCAAAAUAGAAGAAACAAAUUCAACACAAUGUUUUUGGAGUUUGGAAAAAAUUAAAGUGAAAAACAUACCUUCUAAUUUGUUGUCAUAUAGACCUAUUACUUCGACCAUAGUUGAAUUAAAAAUACUUGAUGGAAUCUGACCUGCACACAUAGUCAAAAAUUAAAGUGAAAAACAUACCUUCUAAUCUGUUCAACUAAAAAUACUUUAAGCAUAUUUUUUAAGGUUGUUGCAUUUGCCCAUGCCAAAUGGAAUGUUACCGGAUAAUUCAUUCCGACUUAGGUAAAGCCCUUCAAGCUUGGGAAGAUGUUGACACAUAUCAUUAGGCAAACUACCUGAUAGGCUAUUGUUGGAGAGAUCAAUAGUCUUGAAAGAAGAAAUGUUAAAGAUCAAAGUCGGAAUCUGACCUGUAAGGCCUUUAAUUGCUUGAAUAUCAAGCAUUUCCAAACUAAAAAGAUUACCGAUUUCUUUAGGAAUUUGACCUUCAGACAUAGUCGAAACAUCAAGGUGUUAAAUUACCUAUUUUGUUAGUGUAAAUCAAAGAGGAUUUUUAUUUUUUUUUCGUUAUGAAAUAAUAAGGAUAUGUUAGAUUCUAAUCAUAUUUAAAUAUAUAUUAGUUCUUGAAAGAAAGAGUUCUUAUUUUUGGUAUUUAUAAUGCAAAUAUUUUUUUAAAAAAUUUAAAAAAAGGGGGGGCAAAUGUGUUUAAACUAAAGACAUCAAGGAAAAGGCAUACCUUCUAGGUUAUUUAACCCCAAGUAUAAUUGUUUAAGUUGUGUCAAAUUCCCAAUGCUUUUUGGAAUGAUCCCACUAAAUUGAUUAAUAGACAAUUCCAAAAUUUGAAGGUUGCAGCAUUUGUCUAUACUUGAUGGAAUAGAACUUGAUAAUUCGUUUCUACUGAAGUAAAGCUCUUUCAGCUUGGGAAGAUGGACACACAGAUCAUCGGGCAAGCCACCAGAAAGACAAUUAUGACGAAAAUGAAUCCUUUUCAAAGAAGAAAUGUUAAAGAUGGAAGAUGGAACCUGGCCAGAUAAUUGAUUGAAUCCCAAGUUCAAGAUCUCUAGAUUGGACAUGUUGACAAGUGUUUGAGGGAUUGUGCCUGUGAAGUUAUUAUUUCUCAUUUCCAACCUUUGAACUCUGUGCAAGUUCCCAAGCCAUGGUGGAAUUUCCCCAUUAAGACGGUUGUAGCUUAAUCGAAUGAUCCUCAAACGAUGCAAUUGGCCCAGUUCUUUAGGCAGAUGGCCAUAGAAAUUGUUGUUGCUCAAAUCGAGAGAAAAUAGAAAUGAAAGAUUUCCAAGGUGUGGAGGGAUAGUACCCCUAAGAUUCAUGUUUGUAAGAUUCAAAGCUACAACUCUCUCAUGGAUGAUGCCACAAGAAACACCAACCCACUUACAAACAGAGGUAGAGUUCGUCCAAUUGUUUGCCAACACAUUUUGAGGAUCGACAAUGCGAUCUUUCAACUCAAAGAGUGCAAACUGAUCGGAGUUGAGAUUCCGGACUGUCAUAGCCAAGGAAACAAUAGAGCACUGUAUGAAUAAAAGUGAAAGAAGAUGAAAGCAAGUGUUGUAGUUCAUGAUUGCAAGACGAAAUAAGCCAGGAAAAGAAAAAGUAGGAAAAGGGAAGUUGAAUUGAUGAAGAAAUACCCAGCGAACAUGCUUAAAUAGGCUUCAACCCUCGCACACUUCUCAUACAUAAAGUUCACUGCCAUUACAACAAGAAAACUCAUAUCUCCAUUCAUACCUAUCCAUACUUUAUUUGACUAACUUUUCCCUAACAAGUGUUCAGUAAGGAGACAAAUCAGUUUGGAGCUAUUCACUGAGUUCUCCAACCUUGGUUUCAAACUCCUAGCCCAUCAAUUCACUUUAAUUGAAACAAUAUACACGAGUCUUUCGGCUUAUAUUUUUAACUUACUACUUCUCUUUUUAAUUUAUUUUUUUGUUACUUCUCAUAAUAUUUUUUGAGAAAUCCAAAUAUUCCAGUCUGAAAUUUCUUCAUUGCCACGUCUAUCUCCUGGGUAAGUUCGUGGUUAGGCAGCCCACUUUGGGGGCAGGAUUGUAAUUUUAGUUCUAUCCGACUCAUUUUACUAUUUAGAAAUAUAAAAGUAAUAUUAUAUUAAUUUUUAUAUUUUUAUAAUUUUAAUUUUAAUUUUUAAACAAUAAAACGUGUCAUUUGUAUUUGCCUAGGCUAAACUGAAUCAGGAGUGAAAAUUUUUUUAAUCAUAAUUUACUUAUUUUAAUUAAUUAAAUUUUAAUCUGCUAUAACAAGUAGUUGCAUAAAAAAAUGUCAUUCCUUUAGAAAAAUGAGAACUUAUGAAGCAUUCAAUAAGAGUUGUUGGAAUACAUGGUAACAAAACUAUAAUUCGAUAUAAAACUAUAUAAAUAAAGUAAGAUUUGUGAUACCUAAAUUGUUAUCUUUUCUGUAAAUAUAUGGAGAUUUUUUAUUAGGAAAUAAUUUUAUAUAUCAACAUUUGUUAUUUUCUUUUGAUAGAAAUUUAAUUAUGUUAUCUGUAGAAAAAAAAUAUUUACGGAAAUAUCAUUAGUAGAAAAUCAUAAAUUUGUGUGUGGCAAAAAAUUUUCACCACCAAGAAAGGGACAAAUUAAACAACUUGAAAGUCAUUGGUUGUUUAAAAUAUUAGAUAAUAAUUUUAGUGAAGAAUCAUUAAAAUUAUGACAAAAUAACCCUAGAUAUUGUAGUAUUAAAUUAGAAAAUCUCAAUAAUAUUAUUAUAGUAAAACCUAUGAUCUAUCUAAACAAGAUAUAGAAGAAUUUGAUAUACAAAUUAAGGGCAGAAAUCAUGUGGAAAUAAUAAAAAACAAGAAAAAGCUAGUAUGGUCAUUAAUUAUAAAAGAUUAAAUCAAAAUAUUAUUUUUUAUAGUUACUUGAAUUAAUCAGGAUAGACAAACAAAAUAUUUUAGUAAAUUUGAUUGUAAAUCAGGAUUCUAGCAAAUCAUGCUAACAGAAAAGUCUAAACCUUUAACGGCUUUUAUCCAAUGGACAUUACCAAUGGAAAGUGAUGUUAUUUGAAUUAUGUAAUGCACCAAAAAUCUUCCAAAGACGAAUGGAUUUUAUAUUUAAUAAAUAUAAAAAAGUCUGUGUAGUUUAUAUAGAUGAUAUUUUGAUAUUUUCAGAUACACUAGAAUUACAUAAGAAAUAUUUAAAUAUUAUUUCUUAAGAAUUUAUAAAAUAUAGAAUCAUAUUAAACCCUAAAAGUAUAGAGUUAGAAAAAAGAGAGAGAGAGUUUUUAUAACAGUGGAAAUAAAAAAUUGUCCUCAAAAGAUUGAAGAAAAAAAGAACUUCCAGCAAUUUGUAAUAUAUUCCUCCCAAAUUUUCAGUUUCAAUUUUAUUACAGAAUUUCUUUGCCGACAAUAAGAAAAGAGCAUAUUCACAUUUUCGUCGCAAUUUCAACACCCUAUCUCUUGCCCACUUUCCUUUUUCGGCCAAUUUCAAACGUAGCUGUUUUUCGAUUUUUCCUCUUUAUUUCAUUAAUAAAAUGUCAAUCUAUUUGUUUUUUUAAUAUAUAAUUUUUUUAAUAUUUUUUUAAUUAUAAUAUAAGAGCUGUUGUUUAUUUAUAGUUUUAUUACAUUAUUUAAUCUCUUUUUUCUAUCAAGUUUUUUAAAUUAUAAUAUAAGAUUUAUUUUAUCAAAUUGUGGCUUAUCGAGUAUUCAUCUAUUUUAAUAAUAACUUGAGUUCCAAUCAUUAUUAUACCAGAAAGAGUUCCAUUUAUUCUUUAUCGUAAAUUUUAUAAAAAAAUAUAUUUUAUUAUAAUACUAUACGUGUUAGGAAUAAUAUUUUAUUUUGGAUGCCCAUAAUUUUCAAAGUUGUAACCUCUAAUGUAGUAACCUCAAUGAAAUUAUGAGGCUUUUAUAUUGUAAUCAAGCCUCUAUUUAUUCUUUGUAACUUAUAAACAAAGGCAUAUUUUCUAUUAUAUUGAUAUUUUCUAUAGAGGUAUAUACACAAGGAAUCAAAUAAAAAGUUAUUUACCUUUCUAUUAUAUUGAUAUUUUCUAUUUAAUUUGUUCUUUUCUUUCACUAUUCCAUAAUAUAUUAUCAGUACGAUUUUAAUUGAGAGUAACAGUUAUUAGAUUGUGUCAAAAUUUUGUUGGACUCCAAGUAUUGGAACUUAAUUGUUUAGGUUAAGAAUCAUUAGAAUCAGUGGCUAUUUGAGAUAUGCUUGAGGAUGAUCUCAUUCUCUUCAUCACAAAGGUGGAGGUUAGAAAAUCUUUAUGUUUAAACAUUUAUAGCUUCAAAGUUAUUUUAACCUCUUAUUGUGACCUUAUAAUAUUUUGUAAUUUUUUGUCUUAUGGUAUAUAAAAAAAUAUCUAACCAUAGUGAUUGAUUAGUAAUUUGAAUUUGUUAUUUGUUAUGUUUAAUAUAUAUUUUAUUUAUAUUUAUUCAUUUUAUUUUUAUAUGAGUAAAUGAAGUGUUUGAAGAUUCGAAAUUUUUAUCAUCCACGUUGAAAGUAAGUGCAAAUGUGUAUAUUAUUUAAAAUAAAUUACACAUUCAUUAAUGUUAUAUGAUAAAAUCAUUACAUGUUUUGAAGAACUAAUAUUGCAUCAAACUGUAAAAUGCUAAACCCUAAAAAGCUCUUGAAGAACUAAUAUUUUUCCUCCUUGUGAUGCAAAAUCUUCUAAAAUAUGAUAUUAUUUUUCAAAUCGAGAAGAUAUAUGUUGCAGGAAAUCUUUAUGUGUUUUACAUUAAAACCAUGAAUAGAAAUGACAUGAUAUAUGUAAUAGGCCCAAUUUGCCCGACCCGCUAUUAAAAUAAACCAAAUGAAAAAACAAAUGAAAUAACAGUCCAUUAGUCCAUAGUUACAAACCCAAGUUACAGUGGCCCAGUCACCUAAAAGACCCAACUAAAACCCAAACCCACUAAGCCUAAUGCCCAUCAGCCAACCCUAGCUCGACGGCCCAACACCAAAGAGGUUGCAGAAACCCUAGCAGCAAACAAUCUCUGGCGCCGCAGCCUUUGGCCCUCUCCUCGUAUGUGCUGGUCUCUCCACGUCACCACCCCUCCGUACGCCGUACCUGCAAGGAGGACAAACAAACAAGCAGCGAGACAUAUAGCAACAAAAAAAAUGGAGCAUAUAGCAGAUUGACAGCAAAUACUAGGGGAAAAUAGGAAGAAAAUGUAAAAUUUAGAAAAAAAUUUAUUCUUUUUCUCAGAUCGGCUAUAAAGAGGACCGAUUGAACUAUGUAUUUUUUUACGCAUUCAAAAUAUUGAAAGGUGACUUCCGAGUUUCUUUUACAUUUUUCAUUUUGCUAGUAUCAGUUUUCUUUUUUCUUUCUCUUAUUUUUUGUGUUCAAUAGCCAUUAGUUAAGAGAUAAAACAAUAAGAGAAAGAGAGGGACGGAUGUACCUGGUAGCGCGAUCUUAGCCCUCUUCGCCGUCAUCGGAGAACGGGCUAGGUUCGAAAGCCGUCUGAAUGCCCUCAAUGCGCAGAACGGUCUAGGGCUUUUGCUUUAGUUAAGGUUUUGUUUUGAUGUAGGUGAUAGUUUUUUAGGGUUUAUUUUAGUUUUAAAUGCAGGAUUUAAAAUGUCGCCGUUCAGAGCCCAUACAAUGGCACUGAAACGGCGUCGUUUGAUGGUCCGACCCAGGCGAUGACCCGAUCCGGGUAGGAUCCGUGUCCUCUAGUUGGUUGGUCUAUUUGUCUAAUAGGUCCCUCGGAGUUCAAUGGGAUUAUGAUUCGAUUUUCUUUAUUUGUUUGUAAUUUGUACUUUACAUUUAAUUCUGUAUUCAUUUAGAUCCGAAUUUAAAUGGCGUCGUUUCUGUGGUUGACUUGGAUUGUUAUGAUGUUUGUGUUUAAUUGCUAGUUUAGUCCUUCAAUGUUGAAACAGGUUUUGAUUUAAUACAAAUUCAGUUUUCUUUUUAAAAUUCCACAAUAUUUUUAAUUAAUUAAAUCCUACUUUCGUAUAUUAUAAUAUUUAAUAUUAUUUGUAACAUUUAUUUUAUAUAGUGUUUAAAUUUAUUAUUAUAGUUUAAAAUGUAAUAAAUUAUUAUUAUUUUGUUUAUUUUUUAAUUCAUUAUACACCAAUAUUUUGAGUCAAUUGUAUUUUAAUUUUGUCCUAAUUUAUUAUCAUUCUAAUUUUAUUUAAGUCUCGAUUUAAAAUUUGUUGAUUAUUGUUCGAAAUUUCAAAAAAUGUUUUGCAUAUUUAAUCCUGAUUUCAAAAGUCUUUUAAUAAAUCAAGUUUUAUAAUAAUUCAUAUUUUUAAUAUCAUUUUAAUAUUGGCUAAUAUUAUCAUAAUUGUUGUUAUCAUUUUUAAAAUUAUUUUUCUCAUGUCUAAUGUUGUCUUCAAAAGUUUUCUUUAGAUAAAUUAAUUCAUAUUUUAAUUCAUCAUUUUUAACCUUAUUUUAAUAUUUAGCUUAUUAUUGUAUUUUAAAUUUAUUUUUAAAUCUUCAUAUUAAUUAUUAUUUUUAUUUUAUUUUAUCGUUUAAAUCAACGUAUCCUUAGGAAUUUGAUUAUUGAUUUAUUAGAUGUUUAAUUAUUAAUAUGGAUGAAUUAUAUGUUUGGUUGCUCUUUAAUGUAAAUUUAGAUUACUAUUUAUCUUUUGCAUUACAUAUUGCUAUUUAAUUAUAUUGUUUGUAAGAAUUCCAUUUCAUUAAAACAUUAUAAUCGUUUUAUUUCAAAAUUCCUAAAAAAAAUUGGUGUUUAAUAAUGCUCGAGAGAAUUGUGCCCUAACUUACUGGGCUUCAAUUCUUCUCGAUGAAUUUAUAUCAUCAAGUAUCCAUUUUAUUUAAGCCAUACAAUUUUAAAAUAAAGCAUUUAAGAUUUCAAAAUAUUGGAUCCUAACUUACUGGAUAUGAUAUUUUGUUAUCUCGAUUUUAAAAUAAAGGCAAUAUUUGGUAUUUAGGAAUUUUAAGAAAAUUGAACCCUAACUUACUGGGUUUCGAUUUCUCGAUUGACCCAAAUAACCAAAUAUCCUUCUCAAAACGUAUGAAUUUUUAAAAUUAAAAAAGACGAAUCUAACUUCGAAGAUUGAAUCGUUGCACUCUAACUCACUGAGUGUGACGGUUUAUUUCUUUAAAGUGGGUAGGUCUUAUGUUCCACUUCGAUUAUUAAAUUUUCUUUUCAAAGGAUCGUAUUUUAAAAUCUUUUCAAAUUUUUGACACUAAGACAUUAAACAAUCGAUUCGGUACCAAUUUUGGGCGUAACGAGGGUGCUAACCCUUCCUAGUGCGUAACCGACUCCUGAACCUGUUUUUUUCAAACUUCGCAGACCAAAAUCAUUUUUAUGGUGAGCCGAUCACACUCCUUUAAAAGAUCGGUGGCGACUCCCAAUUUGCGUUUUUAAUUCGACAACUAAAAUUUUUGUUGUUUCCAAAACGGUGGGUUCGACAAUAUACUCGUGUAUUUGUAUUAUAAAUAUUCCUUGAAGGAAUACACUUCACUUGUAUGAUUGACAUAUGAGAUAGUGACAAGAAGUUCAUAGUGUUGGUAUGGUCUGCUAGAUCAUCUCAAGUCAAUAAUGAUGCAAAAUCAUUUGAAGAGAAUUUAUAUGAUUUUAUUGAAGAAUGAGAAGUUAUUUUCAUUUUGAUAAUUGUCAUCAAUACUAGUUCUUUGAAAAAAAUAUUGAACUAACAUCAACUAAAGUUAGAGGUUGGUUGCAUUUUUUGAUGAUAUCCAAAUAAUAUAUGAGCUCAUGUAUCACAUGUAUGCAACCCAAAGUUUACAGUAUUAUUUCUUGAAAUAAUUUGAUUCUACACAAUCUCUAUAGUAUGCAAUUUGUGCUAACAACAUUGAUGCAUUAUAUCCUAAGCUUGAUUUUCAUAGUUUUAGCUGAGAUAAUAUUAAGUUAUCUAUGCCUAUAUAUGUUAUACUUAAUGGUUAGCAAAAUUAUGCCUCCAUUUAAUUGCUUAACCAUUAAUAUAAGAAGAGCUUUAAAAUAAGCAUGUAAUUUUAUUUGCAUAGAGCCAACAUGUAAGAAAUGUACAAGCCCAAUUUCGUCCGGGACCAACCAAAUAAAACCCAAAAAAAAAAAGAAUAAUAAUUAACAGUCCAAGAAAUUUAAUAAUAACUUGAGUUCGAAUCAUUAUCAUACCAGAAAGAGCUCCAUUUAUUCUUUAUCGUAAAUUUUAUAAAAAAAAUUAUAUUUUAUUAUAAUACUAUAUGUGUUAGAAUAAUAUUUUAUUGUGGAUGCCCAUAAUUCUCAAAGUUGUAACCUCUAAUGUAGUAACCUCAAUGAAAUUAUGAAGCUUUUAUAUUGUAAUCAAGCCUCUAUAUAUUCUUUGUAGAAAAUAUUAAGUUGAUUUUACUUUAUUAAAAAAUUUAAAAUAAAUUAUCUUGUUUUUUUUAAAUGAGUUAACCAAAUUAACAUAUUUAUUUUUAUCCAAAAUUGUCCAAAAUAAUAUAAAAUAUUAUAUUAAUAAAAUUAAAACUAUGAAAUAAUAUUUUUUAAAGAUUAUUAUUUACUUUUAUCAAACAAUACAAUUAUAUUCAGUACUUAUAUUUACUAGUUUACCAAACAGUUUUCCAAUAUGAGUUCAACACUUAUCAAAUUCAGUAUUAAAAAUUCAGUGCUUAAUUUUUUAGCACUUAACUUUUCAAUUCAUCAAGCACGUCUAAUUCAAUUUAUAUAAUUCUCUAUUUGUAUCUCUAUGAAUUUAUAAAAUCCUUCUCGCAUUUAGUUGUUGGGAUCUUUAUAUGAAGAUAGAUGCUUUUAUUUUUUUAUUGGUUCAUUUUUAAUAAUUGUAUUGAUUUAUUUAAUUUAAUUUUUGAUUAAUAUAUAUAUGAUUAUUGUGGAAUGGAAGUAAAAGUAUUUACUUCUCAUAAACUUUGAAAUAUUCACCCUGUCUACAUAUUAAUUAUUGUAAAAUUUUAAUUGAAAUUAUGUCAUAAAAGGUGGAGGUUAGAAAAUCUUUAUGUUUAAACAUGUAUAGCUUCAAAGUUAUUUUAACCUCUUAGUGUGACCUUAUAAUAUUUUGUAAUUUUUUGUGUUAUGGUAUAUAAAAAAAAUCUAACCAUAGUGAUUGAUUAGUAAUAUAAAUUUGUUAAUAUAUAUUUUAUUUAUAUUUAUUCAUUUUAUUUUUAUAUGAGUAAAUGAAGUGUUUGAAGAUUCGAAAUUUUUAUCAUCCAUGUUGAAAAUAAGUGCAAAAGCGUAUAUUAUUUAAAAUAAAUUACGCAUUCAUUAAUGUUAUGUGAUAAAAUCAUUACAUGUUUUGAAGAACUAAUAUUGCAUCAAACUGUAAAAAGCUCUUGAAAAGCUAAUAUUUUACCUCCUUGUGAUGCAAAAUCUUGUAAACCAUGAUAUUAUUUUUCAAAUCAAGAAGAUAUAUGUUGAAGGAAAUAUUUAUGUGUUUUACAUUAAAAACAUGGAUAGAAAUGACGUGAGAUACUCGUGUAUUUGCAUUAUAAAUAUUCCUUGAAGGAAUACACUGCACUUGUAUGAUUGACAUAUGAGAUAAUAGCAAGAAGUUCAUAGUGUUAGUAUGGCCGGCUAGACCAUCUCAAGUUAAUAAUGAUGCAAAAUAAUUUGAAGAGAAUUUAUGUGAUUUUAUUGAAGAAUGAGAAGUUAUUUUCAUUUUGAUAAUUGUCAUCAUUACUAGUUCUUUGGAAAAAAAAUAUUGAACUAACAUCAAAUAAAGUUAGAGGUUGGUUCAUGGUUGUAUUUUUUUAUGAUAUCCAAAUAAUAUAUGAGCUCAUGUAUCACAUGUAUGCAACCCAAAGUUUACAGUAUUAUUUCUUGAAAUAAUUUGAUUCUACACAAUCUCUAUAGUAUGCAAUUUGUGCUAACAACGCUGGUGCAUUAUAUCCUAAGCUUGAUUUUCGUAGAUUUAGCUGAGAUAAUAUUAAGUUGUCUAUGCCUAUAUAUGUUAUACUUAAUGGUUAGCAAAACUAUGCCUCCAUUUAAUUGCUUAACCAUUAAUAUAAGAAUAGUUUUAAAAUAAGCAUGUGAUUUUAUUUGCAUAGAGUCAACAUGUAAGAAACAUUUGUCCCAUGAGAAUUAGCUUUCAUUUAUAAGCCAAUAGGUUUCAUUUAUGACUAUUUGAAUGUAAAAUAUCUAUUUUAUAUUCCACCAUAAUGCACUAAGAUGGACCAUCAAGUAUGAAGUUGAGAAAAAUUAGAAUUUUUAUUUGAUGGUAAAAGUUGAAAAGAGAUAUAUAUUUAUAAUUUUGAAAAAAAUAUUCAUGUUACAAAUUUUCUCAGUAUUAGGGGGAGACAAGUUGGACAAAUAAGUAUAAUUAUGUCAUCACUUUUUGUGAUCCCUUACUAAUCUUAUGUGCACAAAGUUUGAAAGAAAAAGGUAUUUGCUAGACAUGUUUAGUGAUGAUAUUUAGAGAUUGUAUAUACUAGAUGAUACAUAUACCAGCUAAAAUGUUCCAAAUAAUUAUGAGUCCUAGAAGGACAAAGUGAUAAAAAUAAUUUUUGGGCACACUAGAAGGAUGAAAAACUAGUUGGUUCUAUAAAUAAAAAAAAUCUUAAAAGAAAAGAGUAAGAAAUGAAGAUGGUCAUACGUUAAAGGAGACGAGUACUCAUGAAGAGACCCAAGGUAUAACUUUUAAUAAAACCCCAAAAGAGGUUCAAUACAUGAAAUUAUGAAAAUAAUAAGUGUAAUAACCAGAUUUUUCCCGGGCCCAAUGCCAAACAAAUAAAACCCAAACCAAAUAAAUAAAAUAAGAGUCCAAAUUACAAUCCAUCAGGGCCCAAUUCAGACCAGCCCACUAUUCAAUCAGACCAGCCCAACAAAAAAUAAACGCUAGUAGCCCACAACCCAACUAAGCCUAAAACAUUUUCAGCAAAAGACGAAACCCUAGCUGCCAUGCUAGCCGCCGCUCCUGCCCUAGCCUCUGCCCACUGUCGCACACCACCUUUGCCACCACCGUCAACCUCUGACACCUGCAAAACAGCAAACAACACGCAACAACAAAGAAGAAGACAACAAGCAAAAAACAAAUCGCAAAGGGACAAAAAUAAUGAUAACAAAUAGCCUUAGUUCGGCUAUAAAAACAAAAAAAAAAUGAAAACUUUGUACUUCUUCGGCAAGAUUAAUACCAAAAAAAAAAGAGAAAAGAUUUGAACUUUUUAAGGUGAUAUUUCAUUUUUUUACGCUUUAGAUCUAUUUUUUUUAUUUCACCUUCAUCUACGAAAAUUAAAAAAGAAAAGAAAAGAAAAAGACUUUGAUUUCAAAGUGAUAUUUCAUUUUUUUUUGUUUUAGAUCUAGUGUUUUUUAUUUAUUUUUUAUCUACGAAAAUAAAAAAGGAAAAGAGAAACGUACCUGAUUCGCCUCGUGGCUCCGUCGACGGAAGUCCCAUCGUCGUCGUCGGAAUCAGGCUUAAAAGGGGAAGGUUUUUAUUUUUCUUUGCUUUUUUUUUUGGAUUUUUCGUCUCAAGAAAGGGACUAAGGGAGGAGAAAUGGCCAAAAUGGUCUUUUUCCGAUGAACUCCGGCAACCGUAUGCAGCGGUUAACGGCGCCGGCGCUCGGUGGCUGCGAUGGAGCCAUGGUGGUGUCCCAUGGCCGGAUCUGGAGAGGAAGGCUUUGAGAGGGAGAGAGUUUCUAACAGUUUUUUUUUUAUAUUUUCUAAGGCAGAAAUGAAUUUUUGAAAAAAAAAGUUGGGUUUUAUAAGUGCAUGAAACGGCGCUGUUUUGCACAAGUGCACAUCGACGUCGAAACAACGUCAUUUACCCCUUUACCCGCGCGCCCGAGUCCGACCCGAUGAAGGUCCGUGUGUUUUCAUGCCUGAUGGGUUAUUUCCCUUCUGCUUUUGGGCUUCUUCUCAAUCUGGUCCUAAUCCUACUUUUUUCCUCCUUUUAAAUUGUACCAUUUAAUUUAAUUUCAUUUUCAAUUCGGUCCCUAGGUUGACCAUAGGAAAUGACGAGCACAAAGUUAAGGGAUAUUUUCCCUUUCAAUCCCCAAUAUUUUUAGCGCGAUUCCCUAACCUUUAAUUCCUACCUUUUACACAUAUUAUUUCAUUUUAUUCGUUUAUUUAUUCACUUAUCAUUUUUACCCUCUUUUUAUACUUAAAAAUAUAUAUUAUUUACACUAUUACUUGCAUAUUUUUUACUAUUAAAUUAUUAUUUUUAAUGUAUUAUUAUUCCCAUUAUUUUACCUUUUUAUUUAUUUUGAUACUUUCAUGUCACAUUUAUUUAUUUUAAUAUUUCCAUUAUUUAUUUUAUUUUAUUCUUAUGUUUUUUAGUAUUUUUUUUAUUUCUUUUAUUGUUCACGGUUUUUUUUUUCAUGUUAUAGAUAUUUAUCUUUCUAAUCAUGCAUUUUUCCUUUUUUUAUUUUGUUUUAGGUUACCUUAUUUAUUAUUAUUAUUAUUGUGAUAAUACUAUUAUAAUUAUAUUACCAUUAUUAUAGAAUUCCUUUAUUUGUAUAUUCCAUUAUAACUAUUAUUAUUAUUAGUCUUUAACUAACUUCUAUUUUUAUUAUUAUUUUUUAGAAUAGUAGUCAACAUGGUUAUCCUUAUUAUUAUUUGGUGUUGUUAUUAUGAUUUUAUCAUUAUUAUUGUUGUAUUUCAUUUUUUGUUCACUCUUUAAAUAUUUUGUUCAUAUAGUUAUUUUGCAUUAUUGCAAUAUUGUUGCAUUAACGCAUUAUGUUUCUUAUAUAAUAAUUAUUUCGCUUUCGCGCAAUGUUCGAAUCAAUUAAACAUGAAUCUUAUCAAUUCUUACAUUAAUUCUUACUUAAGUUCAAAAAGAAAAUUUUCAAAAUAAGGUAAUAUUUUGCGUUUUAGAAAUUCGAGAAAUCGUACCCUAACUUACGGGGUUUCAAUUUUCUCGUUAAACUUAAAUAGCAAAAUAUUCUUUUAAAUUUCAAAAUGCAUGCAAUUUCAAUAAAAAUCAAAGGCAAGCUUAUUCUCUAAGGUUCCAAAUAUCGCGUCCUAACUUAUAGGAUGUGACAUUUCGUUACCUCGAGACGAGUAGGUCUUCAACUCUCUUUUUGAUUUAUUCGGGCGUUUUUAAUAACAUUAAUAAAAAGGGAUUCUAUUUUAAAUUUCCGUUCAAGUUUUCAACCUUCGAAAUUAAGACAUUAAUUAAUCAACUAGGUACCAACUUUGGGCGGAUCUAGGGUUCUAAUCCUUCCUUGUGCGUAACCGACUCCCGAACCCGUUUUCUGGAUUUUGUAGACCAAAUAUUAUCAUUUUAGUAAAUUUAAAUUUUUAUUAAAAUGAUUAGAUUACAAGGUGACUGGAUCACACCUCAUCAAAAAGGAUUGGUGGCGACUCCCAUUUGCGUUUUCAUUUUUUAAAAAAAUCAAAGUCAACCCAUUUUUAAAAAAAAUGGUUUCGACAAUAAGAUAUCUUGAUUAGUUAUGUCAUAACUAAAGAUGAUGGAGUUGAUAAAAGGAAAUUGUAGUUAACAACGAAUAAUCUACGUAGAAUAUUUCAAUAUUAUGGAAAAAUGAGUAUUUACCAACCUUCUUUUAGUCAAAUUAUGCAAGCCUAAAAUUUUUAGCUUAAUUUGAGUUUGUUGACUAUGUCUAAUUCAAGUUUUAUUAUUAAGGACUAAAUUGUAACUUAAACAAAUUAGAAUACCAAUUUAAAGAGACAAAAAUUCAAAACCCAAAAACCCACACGGGCUUGUGGGUAAGUGACACGGGCGUGUGGAGACUGGACCUAUCACACACGGGAGAGUGGGAUUGAGAAAUAUGAAAUAAAUUAAUCCACUUAAUUUUCCAACAACCAUGCUAUACUACCAAACCAAAUAGCGCUUGAAGCUUUGAAUAGGGACGAAUCUUAAAAAAAUUAGAAGAAUUAGAAUUAAAUUAUAAAAUUUUGAAAAGUUAUCAUGUUUUAAUUUAUUAUUUUUAAAAGGGUCUUAAUAGAAUUUUUUUUUCCCAUUUUGGUUGGGCCAAUACCCCUAUUUGCCUCUUUAAAUUUGCUUCAAUCCUAAACCCAAUGUUCGAUUUGUUGUGGAAGUUUGACGCAUAAAAAUUUCUUUUUUAGAGGUUUAAAUUAUAAAUUUUUGAAAGUUUAAAAUAAAUUUAUAUUUUUUAUUAACAAAAUAUAAAAGAUAAAAAAACAUUUUUAGACAAGCCAAGAAACCUUUGGGAUCAUACGGGUGAUUUUGAUGAUGUUAAUGGUUAUUUUGGUGGAAAGGGUGAAAAAGAAACAAAUGAUUCAUUAUAUAUAAUAUAAUUAUGAAAUUCAAGCCAUAUAUUGGAUGUUUCAUACAUAAAAAUUUCAUGGGACGUCCAAAGGUAAUUAAAUGACUUGUAGGCUUGCUGAAUUUCUUUGAAAGGCCCAAAGGCAAUUUAACAUUCACAAAAUAAUAUCUAAAUACUGUAAAGGCAAAUCAAAUCCACAGCAGCAUUUGCAAAUAUUACUUUGAUUUUGCAUGCAAUAUUGGCAAAACCCCCUCUUACAUUAGAAAAACAACAUAAUCCACGUAACAUUGAUAGCCCAAUACAAAUUUCAUCAAGAAAAAAGUCUCUUUGUUUUGUAGAACGUGAUAGUAAAGAUGUGGAGUUUCGUUCUUCUUAUUGGCCUCCUUUAGUUUUCCUUGAUCAACAGCCACAAGCCAAAAACACAAUUAGAUUAGAUUAUGAAUGAUACUUUCAACUAUGACAAUAUUAAAUACAAAACACUCCAAAUAACUCUAAAUAAAUGGAAAGCAGCAAAUUACCUGACGAGGCAAGCUAGCUCAAUUAAGAUCAUUGUGUUAUACUUGUCUCUAAAUUGAAAAUUUUAGAAGGAAAUAAAGAGAAAGAAAAUACUUGAAAACGGAUAAAACUUCUAUGUCAUUUAAAAUAAAAAAAAUUCUAUUUAAGCCAUUUAAAAUUUUUUAGAUUUUUAAAAUUUUAAAAUGAUUAAGUGUACUCAUUACUCACCAUCUCUGUUAAAAAUGUUGGAUGUUGUUUAGCAACCUUUGUUUGAUUUUCUUCAGCUCAACCACAACAUCUUUCAUAUCUUUUCUUUCUUCUGGUAACUCAGCUGAACAAUUCAAAGCCAACUCCAUGAUAGAUGAAAUACAAUUUGCUUUAACAACCAUGUACUCAUCCUCUCUUCUUAAUAAAUCAACAUCUGCAAUUUCUAUCGCUCCUUUAGGCAAUGAACUUUCCAUCCAAUGCCUUAUACUCUCUUCUUCAACAAAAACAUUAUCAGUUGGCUUUUUCUUUGUGAAAGUUUCUAUAAGGACGAUCCCAUAACUAUAGAUGUCAGAUUUUAUAGAAACAAUUCCUGCUGAUCCAAAUUCUGCAUUUCAAGUAUAAUUAGAACAUCAUUCAUCCUCAAUUAUUUCUAAAAUGCUUAUUCAAAUAUAUAUCCACAUCCACAUGAAACAAAAAUAUAAAAUGCAAUUUAGGAAAAUAAUCAUACAAAAAUAAAAAAUAAUUCACCUGGUGCCAUAUACCCGAUAGUUGCAAGAGUCAUGGUUUGCUUCAUUACUUCACCUUCUCCCAACAAUUUGGCAACGCCAAAAUCUCCAACAUGUGCAACCAUGUCUUCAUCUAGUAAAAUAUUGCUUGGUUUUAUGUCACAAUGAAUUAUAGGUGUUGGAUGUCCAUUGUGGAGGUGUUCUAUAGCUACCGCAACAUCUAUCAUUAUGUCGACCCUUUGUAUGAUAUCAAGGAAACAAUUUUCAGAAUGUAACCAUUUCUCAAGGUUUCCAUUAGACAUGUAAUCAAGCACCAAGGCUUUGAAGUCAACACUUGAGCAGCAAGUAAUGACCUUCACAAUAUUACGAUGAACUAUAUUAAGCAUAGCAUCACAUUCAAUGUCAAAACUCCUAAAUGCUCCCUCUGUUUGCAAAUUGAAAACUUUUAUUGCAACUUCCAUUCCAUCUGAAAGCCUCCCUUUAUAUACAUAUCCAAAACUCCCUGAACCAAGCAUAUUGCUUUCCUCAAAUCCAUUAGUUGCUCGUGAAAGUUCAGCAUGUGAAAUUCUUCUCGGUGUCUUCAAAGACAACAAAUCAUCUUUAAUUGGUAAAGCUGUACUCCUCCUUUGGCAUCUUCUAUACAUAAUAGUUAAGACUAUUAGUACUACGACAAUACCAAUUGUUGGUAAACCAUACCUAAAAGCAUGCAAUAUAAUCAUUUGGGAGUUUUUGUGGAUGUAGUUUUUACAAGGUGGGACUAGCAGUCUAGGUGGACCACAAAGUGCAUAAUUCUUCAUGAAUGAUGUGCUAGAAAAUUUUGAAAAACAUCCUUCGCUGGGAAUUUCCCCUUCAAGUCUAUUAAAAGACACAUUAAAAUACUUUAGAUAUAAAAGCUUUUCCAAAGAUUUGGGAAUGACUCCAGAGAGAUUGUUAUUGCAUAAAUCCAAGAAUUCCAAACUAAUCAACCCAUCAAAUGAUUCAGGGAUAUAACCAUGUAGUAUAUUAUUUGAUAAAUCUAAUGAAACCAAAGUUUGAAGACCCCCAAAUGAGGAUAAGAUAUCGCCCGUGAGAAGAUUCCUUGAUAAAUUUAGUUUCAGUAGACUCCUCAAAUUUCCAACAUCAAUAGCAUGUGAAUUGUGAAGAUGGUUUGAUGAUAAAUCUAUUUCUAAGAUAUCUUUAAGAUUCCACAAAGUUGAGGGUAUUGCGGAACUCAAUUUGUUGGAAUCUAAGUAAAGAUAUCCCAAAGAAGUAAUAUUACCCAAACAAGAGGGUAUAGAUCCAUGCAGCUUAUUCAACCCUAAAAACAAGUUGUAUAAUCUCUCCAAAUCACAAAGGCUUUCUGAGAUGGGCCCUCCUAAUUUAUUAGAGGAAAGACCUAGACUUUGGAGAUUGCGCAGUCCUCCUAUUGAUGUUGGAAUGAAUCCACUUAAUUUAUUAUAGCCAAGUUCUAAAACCAACAUUUUGCUUAAGUUACCUAUUUCCAUAGGAAUAGUGCCUUGAAGCUCACAAUCUUCGGCAUAAAAGUAUUGAAGGGAUUUUGAAAGGUUCCCAAUAUAAGUAGGAAGAACGCCACUCAAUGGAUUUUCUGAAACUCCUAUGGUUUUCAAAUUCUUACAAUUCGUCAAAGAAGAAAGAAAGCUCCACUCAUGAUCAGUAGCAGAUCCUGUGAUCAAAUUAUUGUUUACGAUUCUGAACCAUUCAAGCUGUCUUAAGUUGCCAAGCGUUUUAGGGAUUGGGCCAGAGAAUAAGUUAUCUCCCAAGUCUAGUUUCGUAAGCAUGGAAGCAUUGGAGAUAGAGUAGGGAAUGUUUCCGCUAAGUUUAUUUCCCCCCAAAAAAAGAAACUCAAGCUUUGGAGCAUUGGUAAUGGGUGGUAAAUUACCUGUAAAAUAGCAUCUUUUAGUAUACAUAUUAAUUGAAUACCAAAUUCAUAAAAUAUAUAAUACAUUAAAAUAAAAACUGUAAAACUUCAAAUCAAUUAAGAAUAAAAUUUUGGCAUGGAAAAAUGUGAUGAAAUCAAUUAGAAAGUUGAGACAUAAUAAGAAGUUUUGAGUAGUAAUUACUCAUGAUUU
RNAcentral lists this long non-coding RNA (117748 nucleotides) under Gossypium raimondii (Peruvian cotton). RNAcentral describes it as "long non-coding RNA (GRAI_LNC007580)". The stretch from base 47476 to 47562 matches the Rfam family "MIR7486 microRNA precursor family". Lineage: Eukaryota; Viridiplantae; Streptophyta; Magnoliopsida; Malvales; Malvaceae. The record is from RNAcentral.